RNAcentral lists this long non-coding RNA (93357 nucleotides) under Gossypium barbadense (sea-island cotton). Its description in RNAcentral is "long non-coding RNA (GBAR_LNC008360)". Lineage: Eukaryota; Viridiplantae; Streptophyta; Magnoliopsida; Malvales; Malvaceae. The record is from RNAcentral.
GCCCAAAACCUAAAUAGAAAAUAUCUAGAUAUUUUCUGAAUAGUCUAGAAUGCUAAUUAAAUGUGCGUAAUCAAUGCCCAGUCAGAAAAUGCUAUGAAUCGUCUUGUCAUCUAAGUACCAUUUUUGCUUUUUCUUUCUAACGAUUCAUUUCUAACCCAUCAAGUACAGCAAUAUAGUUGUUUAUGAAGUCUACUAGUUGCUGCCCUGUACUGUUUUUCUGUUCAUGUAUUAUUCUGUUUCUUUCUCCCCAUAUAGUCCACAAUCCACAACAGAAAAGACAACUCUGAUGCGAAGAAAGCUAGUCAAAGAUGCAGGUAAUCCAUUGUAGAAAAUCCAUAUAAAGCUCCCGAAUAAUAUUCUGCAUUUUUAAUAGUGUCCAAACAUCCACUGUGACAGGGCAUUCACGAAAGAUAUGGUCGAUCAUUUCAGCUCUUUCUCCACAUCAAGGGCAACUUGUAUUGCUUACAAGUUUUCGAUGCUGCAUAUUAACCCUUGUCGGCAAAUAAUUCCAUGAGAUUUUCCAUAUUGUAAUCUUGAUUUUAUUUGGUAGAUUUAAGAGCCAUAGUUUUUUGUAGAAAUUUCUGUAGCCAGUUUGUAAUGCGUAAGCUCUAAGGAUUUCAUCAAAAGUUUGUAAUAGUUUAUAAGUGCUGUGGACUGAAAACUCGCCUGAAUGCUCGCCUCUCCAGACCAGUAGAUCAUCAUGAGGUGCGCUUGCUAAAGGUAUCCAGAGGAUUUUUCCAGCAUCAUCCUCUGAAAAGUUAUUGUUUAUAAAUUCUCUUUUCCAUGCUCUUUCAUUACUAUCGAUCAAUUCACUGACCUUGGCAUCUUGCAUAAAAUUAACAACUGAAGAUAACUUAAAAUUGACAGCAUCUGGAAUCCAAGCAUCAGCAUUUAUAAAAAUAUUUGUGCAUGUGCCAACCCUUCAGCACAUUCUUUUUUCCAAAACACCCUUCGCUGCCCAUAUGCUUUUCCAUAUAUAAGAGCUGGUUUUUCCCAAUCGAGACUUUAAGAAAUGAUCAUUCAGAAAAUAUUUUGCUUUAAAAACUUACGUAACUAAAGAGUCCUGAUUAGUAAUGAGCCUCCACCCUUGUAGCAAGUAGAGAAAUAUUGAAUUACGCCAUAUUUCUAAAUCCUAAUCCCCCCUCUUCUUUUGAUCGACACAUGAAUUUCCAUUGACACCAGUGUAUCCCUUUCCUACCUUGUCCUUUGUGCCACCAGAAUUUAGUGAAAAUAUUUUCUAACUCCCCUCAUAACGAUUUUGGUAGAAGGAAACAUGACAUAGCGUAAGUUGGAAUUGCUUGAAGAACUGAUUUUAUAAAUAUCUCAUUUCCCCCUUGUGAAAGUAACCUAGUACUCCAACUUACAAUUCUCAGCUUAAUUUUAUCUUUGAGAUUCUGAAAAGCUUCCUUCUUUCGCUUUCCUACAACAUUAGGAAGUCCUAGAUAUUUUUCCAUAUUUGUGGAGCUUCUCACAUUUAGCAAACUCGAUAUUUCUUCUUUCUCCUGUUCUGUUGUAUUUGUGCUAUAGAAAAUUGUUGAUUUGUUGUAGUUUACACAUUGACCUGAGCACUGUUCAUAUUCCUUCAAAAUAUCUUUGAAAAUUUCCCCCCUCGUUGUGUCGCCUCACCAAACAGUAUACAGUCAUUUGAAAAAAGCAAGUGCGAUUUUUCAGGUUCUCUUUUACUAGCUCUUACUCCCUUCAUCGAUCCCUCAUCUAUGGCCAUUCUUAUUAAAGACGAGAGUCCAUCACAGCAUAUCAAAAAAAGAAAAGGGCUGAGCGGGUCAUCUUGACGAAGCCCUCUAGUAGGCUUAAAAACCUCUCUUCUUCUCCCAUUGAUGUUCACUGUAUAAGAGACUAUAGAGAUGCACUUCAUGAUUAAUGUUACCCAUUCUAUAACAAAUCCCAUUUGAAGCAUAACUUCUUUUAAAAAAGCCCACUCAACUCUAUAGUAAGCUUUGCUCAUAUCUAGCUUAACUGCCAUCAGCCCUUUUUUCCCAUUCCGUCGUUGACUUAGCGUAUGCAAGAGUUCAUAGGCUACAAACACAUUGUCAGUAAUUAACCUUCUGGGAACAAAAGCACUUUGAACCUUAUCAAUACAUUUUCCAAUGACUUUCUGAAGAUGAUUUGAAAUUACUUUUGCCACAAUUUUAUAUAGAACUGUGCAUAAGUUGAUAGGUCUAAAAUUAACAAGACUUGUGGGGUUUGGUAACUUUGGGAUAAGCACAACAUCUGUAAGGUUUAGAGAGUCAAAAUCUCGUCCUUCAUUCAGUAUGCCUAAACAAAAGUUUUUGACAUCUAUACCUAUAAUGUGCUAGAAUUUUUGAAAAAAUAAAGCUGGAAAUCCAUCAUAAUCUGGUGCUUUAGUGGGCCCCAAUUCUUUCAAGGCUGAAAAUACCUCUUCUGCUGUAAAAGGUACUAGUAAAUCUGUGUUAAUAUCAGAUGAGAUAUUAGAAUGAAUACCUUUUAGAAUGUGGGAUAGAUUCCUAAUACCAUUUGACGAAAUAAAUUCUGGAAGUAAUUUGAGGCUGACUCAUUAAUUGCUGAUUCAUCAGAACUUUCCCUCCUAUCAUCAGAUUCCAGCUUAGUAAUCAUGUUUGUUCGUCUAUGAGCUGUGGCAUAUUUUUGGAAAAAGGCAUAAGUUUUGUUGCCCAAUUAAAUCCAAUUGGCUCGCGCCCUUUGUUCCCAAUACAUUUCAUCCUUAUCUAUCUCCAUAUUAAGAUGAAUUUUUGUAUCAAUCAGCUUUGUGAUUGUGUCAUCAUCUCUGUCGCCUGCCAAAAGAUCUUCAAUUUCCUUUGUGAGCUUACUCUUCAACCCAUCUCUACCCUUUUUUAUUGAGUUUGCCCACCUCCUCAAUCUUGUCUGCAGCCUUUCUAGCCUUUGAGCAAUAGUUCCAUUUGAUGACUCCCACGAUGUUUUAAUCUAUUGUUUAAUAGAUUCCUCCAUGAUCCACCAUGCCUCGAAUUUAAAACUUGGUAUCCUCUUAUAGCUAAUCUUAUUGUUGUUAUUGAUUAGUAAGGGACAAUGAUAUAAAAUCCAGUGUGUUAAAUACUAAAUAACUCCUUUUGGGAAAAGUGCCAGCCAUUUUUCAUUCGCCACUCCCCUAUCCAAUCGCUCUCUAAUAUUCAUUUUCGGUAGAUUCUGUAUCACUUCUUAACCCCGUCCCGUCGCCAGAACAGGACUACGAAGUAUUACAGGUCAUUACAGUACAUUUACACGUAAAACAGAAAUAAAUGUAAUACUGUACAUCUUAUUAUACUUUUAAUGUAUUUAAAAAGUAUAUCUUAAACAAACCGGGGCUCGAUCAGAAGCUUAAAAAAUUUUUCGUAAAAUUUCAAUGUAACACCCCUUACCCGAGACCGUUUCCGGAGUCGAGCACGAGGCAUUACUUAGCUUAUCUUACCAAUUCGGAGCAUAAAAACUAGGUUUGAAAAUUUAUUUCACUAUUUACAGCAAAUCUGUCCAAUCGCGCAGCAGUUGCUAAAUUAAUUAUAACUUGAGCUACAGAACUCGAAAUUUAAUUCCGUAAAUUUUCCCUGAAACUAGACUCAUAUAUCUACUCACCAUAAAAUUUUUAGAAUUUUUGGUUCAGCCAAUUAGUACAGUUUAUUAGUUAAAGUCUCCCCUGUUUCACCAUUCGACUAUUCUGACCUCUUGUUACUAAAAAUAAGUUUUCUCACUGUAGGAUUUUCAUAUGAAGUUCUUACUUGUUUCUACGGAAAAUAGACUCAUUAAGGAAUCUAAGCAUGUAAAUUUCAACUCAUAACCAUUUUUGUACAAUUUUUAAUUAUUUUCUAAACUCAGAACAGGGGACUCCAAAAAUAGUUCUGACCCUAUCUUACUAAAAUUCAUAUAUCUUAAAAUAUAAAUUUCCUUUUUCUACACCGUUAUUUUUCCAUGAAAAUAGACUCAUAUUUUAUUCUUUUUGCUUCCUUUUUAUAGUAUAUUCCUUUGUCGUCAUCUUCAAUUUCUAACUCCUCCGGUUUUCUUUUCCUCAAAAUACUCUCACCAUUAGCCAUGUCCGUCUCUCUAGUUGCCUCAACUCUCUUCCAGCUCGAUUUCUUUGCUAAAGAAUAAUGAGGACCAUCUCUAAUUUUAUUUUUUCUACAAGUGUAAACGUGAGGCAUUCAUUGGGCCCAUGCCCUAUCCUUCCACAGCCAAAACAAGAAGUUGGUAAUUUUUCAUAUUUAAAUGGGAUCCAGGACUUACUUUGAUUUUCUGUUGAGAUGAAAAUACCCUUGCGCAACGGUUUUUGCACAUUUAACUGAACUCUAAGUCGAUAGAAAUCACCAUUAAUUGUAGAUCUCAGAACACCUCCAAAAGUAACCCCAAUAGCAUGCAUUAAAUCUUUUUUAUCAAUUUCUGGUAGACAUGGGCCGAUCUUAACCCAGUAUGGAGAUGAAUUAAGCCGAAUUCGACUCCUCUCUAUCGAUUUAGUCAACUGAUCAAACAACAUUAAAAUUUUCCGAAACAAUCAAGGCUGCCCCUCCAUAAUUAUCUCCAGAUCUUCUUCACCUUCAAACACUAUCAAUAAUAAAUUCUGCCCUGCCAAUUGGAUCUCAAACCUUUUCCUUGUCUUCCAUAUAUUUUUCAUCUGUGCCCUAAAGCUAUCUGGAUUAUAGGAUUUUUUGUCCAUAUAGUGCAAAGUAGGGUUGGCUUAUCACUGGGUGCCACCAUCGAGCUUUUAACUGAUAACUGAAUGAAUUCUUCUGCCAAAAGGGAGAUCUCCUCUCCUGUGAACCCCUCUUCGCCACCACUUUCCUUCAUCCCAAGCCGCAUAAAGACCUGUUCUCGCUAGGAUGCUAAGGAAAGCACUCUUGACUAGGGUUUAAUUUACUAUCUAAAAUUGCAUUGAAGCAUUUUCUAAAUCCAGCACUCUUAACAAUUUUAAACUUGAGGUAGGUCUAAUCACUUGAUAAGUAUUUGUAUUAUUUAUGAUUUAGCAAUGGUUUUUAUUUAAUCUCUAAGUAAAUAUUUUGAUGAGUCUCAAUAAUCAUUAUAUUUUGCUCAAAAUUUCAAGUUAUUUGUGUAUUUGUUUAAUGAUGUAUUUUUUAUUUCUUUUAUCUUUGAUGUAGGGAAAGAUGCCACAAGGAGAGGCCGGAAUUUGGAGGAGAAAGAACUACCAACCCUCUCAUCUUAGGCAACUUUUACUUCAACUGCGGUUAGCUGAACAGUUAAUCGAAUCAAACUAGUAUUAAUUGAAUUAAUCAAACUUUUUAAUCGUUUAACCAUUAACCAAACCAUUUUUUUUGUUAAAACAAGUAUAAAACAUAUCAAUUUUUUUUAUAAUGCUUAUUUGACCGAAUAAAAACUACAUAUCAUUUGUAUUAUUAAUUAUUAAGUUCAAUUAAUUACCCGAUUUUGUAUCGAAUUAACCAAUAACCAAACUUUUAAAAAAUCAUUAACUGACCUUCAACUGAAUUAGAUCGAUUAACUAACUGAUUAAUCAACUUAAAUUAGUUCGAUCAGUUAAUUUAGUUUUAACCGAAAUUUGAACGCCCCUAAUUUUUAAUAAAUUUUCAAUUUGAAUGAGAAAAAGAAUAAAAUAAUUAAAUAAUUAAAUAAAUAGGAAACAUUAUAAAUUGGACAUUUACAUCUUUAUUAAUUUCAAUUGUGGUGAGUUUUAUGUGAUAUAUGUAUAAUUCAUUGCAAUCUUAGAUUUCAUUGUGAUAUUUGUAGAAACCAUUAAUCGGAUAUAAAAUUUGGCUUAUAACUUGUUCAAAUUUAUUCCAACAUAAUAGGCAAAUGGUUGAUAAAUAAUCACAGUAUACUUGGUUUACUAUUAGUCUUUAAAUAAUAAUAAUUAUUUUUAUUACACAUUCUCACGUAAUUCAUUACAUUGUAACUUAAUUAAUAUUCCUAUAAAAAAGAAUCAUACAUAUCAUGUAUUUUCUUUUUCAAAUUCUAAAAUAUUCGUCUUUGUUACAAAAUAUCUUUAAUUUCAAAAUUUUAAGAUUUUAAAAGUUUUAAGUGAGUUACAUUAUUUAGCUCAUAAUUUUUUAUUUAAAAAUAGAAAUAAAAAUAUAUUUAUAUAUAUUUAUUAAUAAAAUUAAAAUCUGGAAGCACAAAAUUAUAUUUUUAAUAUUUAAAUAAUAACUCGAAUUUAAUUGAGAGAAGUACUGACUUCAAUCCUUUGUUGGUAAUGUUAACAUUGUCUCCCUGUAAUUAGGGUUUGGUUGAGAGAUGAUUGUAAAGUAAGUGACUAAAAUUUAUAAAAAGAAUAUAUUAUAUUUUAAAUGCUAUUGAAAGAAAAAAGGAAAGGAAUCCACUUAGCGCAUUAAACACUUCAUUACUUCAAAAUGGAGAAGGGUUUAAGAAAAACCUCGCCUUUGUUUCUUGACGAAAAAGCCAGGUUUCUUUGCUGCCACUAGCGCUCCUCAAGCUUUCAAGCUUCUUCCUUUUUCUUCUUUACGAUCAAUCCAAAAAAUACAAGCAGAUGGAUAAAAUGAAGAUAGAAGAGGUUCAAUCAACGGCCAAAAAGCAAAGAAUCGCUACUCAUACUCACAUCAAAGGCCUUGGUCUCGAUGUAUUCUCUUCAUUCCUUCCUCCCCUUUUUAAAAUUUUUUUUCUGAGCUUAAAUGUUUUGCAUUUUAGUGUAUUUCUGCAAUAUUGUUGUAAUUGUCAGCAUUUUGAAGUUUUUUUUUUGAGCCAUGGAAAUUUACCUUUUCUUGGUUUUAGGGUUUUAAGCUUAAAUAGUCAACUGUUAAUUCAAUUACUGGAGAUUUGUUGUUAAUGGUAUACUUUUUCAGUUUUAGAGUGGACAGAAAUAUAGUUUUAACUUAAAUUGAAGGUCCAGAAAUGGAGAUAAUAAUAAAUAUUGAACUAACUAAUUCUCAAUUACGGACUAUGGAAAGAAUUGGAUGGCUUUUGAGGCGUAGAUUUUUGUUAAUUGUAUGAGUUUUCAAUGCAUAUAUGAGUUGAAUAAGUGGUUUUUUUUUCACUAUGAAGUUUCAUUGAUAGAACAUAGUAAUUUGCUUAUAUAUUCUGAACCAUAUCUUUUGCUUUCAUUCACUUGUUGUUUUUACUGGAAAAAUUGAAAUCUAUGCUUACCUUUUUGACCAAUUUCAAAACUUUACGAGCAUUUCUUUUCCUUUGUUUACCAGCCCACUGGAAAUGCCGUUCCUUUGGCUGCAGGUUUUGUGGGGCAAGCAGAGGCAAGGGAAGCAGCUGGUCUUGUGGUGGAUAUGAUAAGGCAAAAAAAGAUGGCUGGCCGUGCACUUUUGCUGGCUGGGCCUCCCGGUACUGGGAAAACAGCUUUGGCCUUAGGAAUUUCCCAAGAGCUUGGGAGCAAGGUUCUCGUUGUCUUUUCCCUUUAUUUUUGAAUGUAUUUGAAAUUUGAAUUAUUGUAUGCCAGUUCUUUUGGAGGGAUUGGCAAUUUUUUUUCUAUAUGUGUUCCUCUUACAUUAUUUUCAGGUUCCAUUCUGUCCAAUGGUUGGAUCUGAAGUAUACUCUUCAGAAGUAAAGAAAACUGAAGUUUUGAUGGAAAAUUUCCGACGGGCUAUUGGUCUACGCAUCAAGGAAAAUAAAGAGGUCUAUGAAGGAGAGGUAAGUUACACCUAAUGGCAAUUCUUUAUCCCUGAUUUUAUUUGAUUGUUUUCUCUUUGGACUGCUGGGAUAGACCCUGAAUCCUAGCUGUUCUUGUUUCAGGUUACUGAACUCUCUCCUGAAGAAACAGAGAGCGUAACAGGUGGUUAUGGUAAGAGCAUUAGCCACGUAAUUAUUGGAUUGAAAACUGUCAAAGGAACAAAGCAACUGAAGUUGGACCCUACAAUUUAUGAUGCCUUGAUUAAAGAAAAGGUAAGCCUUUAAGUUUCUCUGCAUUAUUAUGUGGAAAAGAUUGUUCAAGUUUUUUAUUUUCUGGCUUUUUCUAAACUGUAUGAGGCACUAUAGCGUAUAAAAAUAUUUGUCUCUUUCCUUAGGGACCUUUCGAUGGUUAUGUUUUUUAUCUGCCUAAGAGUUUUGGCUUCGAUUUGAAAUCUUGUGAGGUUUUUAACUUGACUGGCAGGUAGCUGUUGGAGAUGUUAUAUAUAUUGAAGCAAAUAGUGGAGCCGUUAAAAGGGUGGGCAGAAGUGAUGCUUUUGCCACAGAAUUUGACCUUGAAGCUGAAGAAUAUGUGCCGCUUCCCAAAGGAGAAGUUCACAAAAAGAAGGAGAUAGUGCAGGUUUGACGCUACUGAUAUUAUGCUUUUCCCUGUAGUUCCCUUGGCAUUUAUUCUGUAAUAUAUUCUGUUUGGCCUUGAAGACUUGUUUCUGCUUAUAUUUUUAUACUGAUGGGCUUGGACGUUUUCCUACUUUGUCAACAAGUCUUGUUUGUAUAUAUUAAUGACCAUUAUCAUCGUCCCUUUGAUUUCAUAUGAGAAGUGAGGAUUCUUUUAUGAAUUUUCUUACCAACAUUUUGCCAAUUACAAACUGUUAUUUGUUUGCUUAAUAGUUGCAACCCACUUCAUGAAGAAACAAGGGAAAACAAAUCUAUGAAUUUGAUGCCUUCUGCAUUUGCCUGAUAUGUUACAAAUAUGCUUUGGUGGGCUUGGUGUCAUUUCCCUUUCUCUGGUUCUAAAUUUAUUGGUUUUCUACCCAUGCUGAAAUUCAUUAAAAAACAAAAAGAAGCUUUCUAUUUUCUUCACCACCAGGAUGUAACAUUACAUGAUUUGGAUGCUGCUAACGCACGACCUCAAGGGGGCCAAGACAUUUUGUCUUUAAUGGGUCAGAUGAUGAAGCCCAGGAAGACAGAAAUCACUGACAAAUUACGACAAGAAAUAAAUAAGGUAUUAUUUUCCAAACACAUUUGGCAUCCACCUAUAUGAUGAAUUUUUUGUGGACAAUCUGUGGGAGUAGUCUUUUACCAAUGCUAUAAUUUCUGUGGGCAAUAGCCAUUAGUAGGAGCCCUGCAAACUUCACUUAACUCUAUAUGUAUCUUAUUUUUCUUGUUAAGUUUUUAGAAUUUUGCUUGUAUCUUUUAUGUGGUUUAGAAAAUGGUAGGAUCAUAAUAUUUUAAAAGCAAUGAAAAAACAAUAUGCCUUAUUGAAAAGAUUGAGAUUUACCUCAUUCUGCACCCCAAUCAUAAUAUUGAACAACUCCAGAGUGAAACAGAUGAAUUGAUGCAAAUUUAAUGUGAUUGAAUUUCAUUACCUGCCAUGGUUUCCCAUAAUAGGUUUAUGUUUUUUCAUCCCUUCUUGUAUGAGUAAAUCCUCAAAUCCUAAUGGUUUAAAUCUUACUUUUUAACUCUCUUCAGCUAGUUGGUGGCUUAUUUUAUGCUCCCUAGAAGCUAUAGCUAUCCUGCAUGGACGUGACAUUAAGAGUCAUAUGGAUUGGUUAUUCAAGUUGGUUCAAGCUUAUGAUUUGGAUUUUGAACUUGGCCUCUAGGCUAAAUUCUUUGCUAGAAAAAUGGCAUGCCUUUUGAUUGAAAUGACAAUGUUAUUUGUGCCAGGUUGUUAACUGGUAUAUUGAUGAAGGUGUGGCAGAGCUUGUCCCAGGAGUUCUAUUCAUUGAUGAGGUUGAGUUCUUUCCUGCUUAUGAUACAUGUCCUUCGAUGCAAGGAUACAAUAUGUAUUUUUCUGUUUAUGUGCAUGCACAUAUUUAGAUCGAAGAUAUUUAUCAUGACCUGUGCACAUGUUAAGCACAUUUGCACAUCGGGCUUGCUUAUGCUUUCCAAGUCAUGAUUUGCAGGUUCAUAUGCUGGACAUGGAGUGUUUUUCAUACUUGAAUCGUGCUUUAGAGAGCUCACUAUCUCCAAUAGUAAUUUUUGCUACAAAUAGAGGAAUAUGUAACGUAAGGUAAUGAAAAUUGUUUCUGAGCCAUAUGAAUUUUUGGUUUAUCGUCUGUUCUUUUAAUCACAUCUAUAUAACUUUACCUCAAAUACAAGAUGAGCUAUUAUUCUAAUCAUCUGGACUUAGUUUCAGUACUUCAGAUCCUAGUGAAACAAUGUCAUUGGUUUAGUCUUGUUUUCUAUAAAUCAUAGCAUGCAGAAAUAGCUUGAUGCAACAAUAAUAUCAACCCUAAAGGGUUUUGGUUAUUGGGGACAAUUUUUUCUUGUAUAUAUUCAGAAUUUAGGCUCUCAUAAUUGAGGAGCAGUGGUAGGUUGAAACAUAAAUGUGAUACAAAAUUGAGAUGUUCACACAGAAUUUAGGCUCUCAUAAUUGAGGAACAGUGAUAGGGUUAGCAUAAAUGUCCCAGGCUUGAAAUUUAAGAAUCAAAAUGAGUGAUCUUCUGCAAGAUUGUUUUUUUCUGGGAAUACCUGAAGAUAAAUUUCAUAUCAGCUGUUAUAUUUUUCGGUUGGCAUAGUUUUUACAUGUUCAUUUUCCUUGCAUAAUGUUGAAUAUCUUCUACAACAUGAUUUCUUUUUUGACAUGAAGAUGGAACUUAUGUCAAUUUUUAUAUUUUAUAAUAUAUUCUACAUUGCUUAUGCAUUGCCUGAUUGGUUUGAUUCUAGUUUGUGAAAAAUGAAUAUGCAUUUUGCAGGGGUACUGAUAUGAAUAGUCCUCAUGGCAUACCUGUUGACUUAUUGGACAGAUUGGUGAUCAUCCGCACACAGAUAUAUGGUCCUUCAGAAAUGAUACAGGUUAGGGCCUGGUUAUAUGUAAUUUUUGACAUCGGCAUUUUGUUAUUUGUGGCAAGCAUCAAAUGAAAACUCAGCCAAAAUUUUCACUUAUUUGGUGUAUGCAGAUUUUAGCCAUCCGUGCACAGGUGGAAGAACUGGUUGUGGAUGAAGAAAGUCUGGCGUUCCUCGGAGAGAUUGGACAAAGCACAUCUUUAAGGUCAGGUUUAAAAUAUAGAUUUACUCCACUAUCAGUUGCACUUUUCCAACUUGAAGCAUACUUACAUGUUACUGUUUCUUCAGGCAUGCAGUUCAACUGUUAUCACCUGCUAGCAUUGCGGCAAAAAUGAAUGGUCGAGACAACAUAUGCAAGGUAAUUAAAUAUUCAGAAGAAGCUGUUUUUCAUGAUUGUUUACUUAUCAUCAAUGCAAGGAGUAAAUGUGAAUCCGUUAUUAUGUAUUUGUUUUUAGGCGGAUCUUGAGGAAGUGAGCAAGCUAUACAUAGAUGCCAAGUCUUCGGCAAAAAUUCUUCAAGAGCAACAGGAAAAAUUCAUUUCAUGAUAAUCCUAUUUUUAUAUCUUCUUUCCUCUUGCCCUUCAGUUUUAGGUUGAAUUUUGUUGUGCAUUGUUUUCUCUCAGUUGGACAAUUGAUCAUUAGUAUGUGCAAUGCAAGAUGAUUAAAUGAUUUAUUAUUGAUUUGCUUUAAGACAUCUAGGGUUCUUUGAACAACCUCAUGUCUCAGGCCAGGUAAAUCACAUAUAAAAUGCAACCAACUCCUCUCCACCGUUAUAAGAAGUAGCAGAGGUGUCAUAGAAAACGGCUGAAGCUUUGAACCACGGUAGCUCCAAUGUUAAGGUUGGAGGUGUCGCCACCCUGGAAAACCUCAGCAAAGAGCGGUCCGUCAGGUUGUGGGGUGGCAUAGAGUUAUCAAUGUUGGAAUCAGAAAUUAAUCCUGUUAACUUUUAAUUAUAACAAAAAAGGGUUUACAUGUGCUUGAAUAUAAAACCAAUUUUGUCAUCAAGCUUUGUAAAACUUGCAUUUGAUAGAAGGUGAAAAUCAUAUUGUUAUGAUUGGGUCGGUAGUAAAGAAUUCGAAGUCUUUUUAAACAAAGUUUUCUGAAAAAUCAUUUUUGGAGAGUUUUGACAUUAAAUUGAGUAAAAAAUGGAGAAAACCAAAAGUCAGUUCGAAUUGUACUGUUUAGUUUAGUUUAGUUUUAUUAAAUUAAAAAAUAAAUAAAUUCAGUUUUGGUUUGGUUAUUGGUUUUAUUAUAGGAACUGAAUUGAAUUCUUUUAUUUAUUUAUUAUUUUUAAAACAAAAAAUAAAUAUUUUUUACAAAAUAGUAAAAAAUAAUUUUAAAAUUUCUAAAAAUAAUGAAUUGAACCGAUUUGAAGUAAUAAAAUUGGGUUUAAUUCGAUGCUCUUGAGAUUGAGUCAGAUUAUGGUUGGAUUUUUCAAACCUAAACCGUUAUCCCUCAGUUGAGAGUUGAAUGCAACUACAGAAGAUGUUAGUGAAAAAGAAAAAAUAUUAUCAGUGUUUAAAAUAAAUCCUGAACAAAGGGAUUAAGCAAUGGAAGAACCUUGAGGAGAGCGGUGGAAGACGUGACAACCUACGAGUAAAGCUCAAAUUGACUUGAUGAACCCUUAAACGCGGUGAUGGAGGUCUAAUCAAGUACUUUAAUGGUACGAUACUAUUAUCAUAUCCCUAACCUCAAACGUAACGCAACGCCACGUGACGAUACAGGUCCGUACCAACUGUCAAAACAAUCUGUCCUUCACUUGUCCCACAAUCAGACAUCACAUCACAUCACAUCACUACCCCUUCCAUACGCAAAAACUGAGAAACAAAAAUAACCAAGUUUCCAACUUCAAAAAACCAAACCCAGAAGCCAAAGCAAAGCAAAGCACAACUUUUAACGUAUCAUCAAUCCCUUUCCUCCAAGCAAACCCAACCAAAAGCCACGACAAACAAAACACUUGUUUUUUCUUUACACCAAAUAAAGAAGAAAAAGAACAAGGAACAAGGACAAGUUUGUGUUUCGGUUGGAUCAUGAUGGCAGGUGAAGGGGUUUCAAGAGAAACCCAAAUGUCUAUUCAAGCCUCUUCAAUGUUUCCAGGGUUUAGAUUUUCACCAACUGAUGUUGAGCUCAUUUCUUAUUACUUAAAAAAGAAACUGGAUGGUUAUGACAAAUGUGUUGAGGUCAUUCCUGAGAUUGAAAUUUGCAGAUAUGAGCCUUGGGACUUGCCAGGUUAACGGCCCAUUUUAAUUCUCUAAUUUCUUAUAAUGAUAUUAUACAUGAUGCUAUUGCAUUUAGGUUUUAGUAAUACAUGCCUGGAGGAUUCUACUUUGUUCUUGUUAUAUAUUCGGUGGUGUGAUUUCUGGUGUUUUUUUCCCUGUAUCAGCUAAGUCCAUCAUAAAGUCAGAUAAUGAAUGGUUCUUCUUUUGUGCUCGAGGAAGGAAGUACCCAAAUGGUUCACAAAGUAGACGAGCAACCGAACAGGGUUAUUGGAAAGCCACAGGGAAAGAACGUAAUGUGAAGUCCGGUUCGAAUGUGAUCGGCACGAAGAGGACUCUCGUCUUCCACACAGGUCGUGCUCCGAAAGGGGAAAGGACCGAAUGGAUCAUGCAUGAAUAUUGCAUGAAAGGAAAAUCCCAGGUUACUAAUUCUCUUAUAAUACUAACAUAUGAACAAUAAUUGCUCUUGUUAGUCAUUGACAGUGUUUUUCUUUUUUGCUGUUGGUGAUUUUUAGGAUUCCCUAGUGGUAUGCCGUCUUAGGAAGAACAGCGAGUUUCGUCUGAAUAACAAUUCGAAUCGGGUUGCUCGGAAUCACAGGGAGUUGUCAAUCGUGCAUGACAGCAACCAUGCUACCUCAGAUGGUGGAACUGAUCUAACUGGCAUCUCUGAAGGGGACAAGGCAAUUGAAUUCUAUUCAAAGAAGGCUACUAGCAGUAACGAUUCUCAUUCUAUAGAGCAAAUCGAUUCGGCAUCCGAAUCCGAGCAAAAGCUUUCCAAUGAAGUUGCACCAACAGAGUCUUCUACACUUAAGAAGGUUGUUAAAAUCAACAAGAUUGGUGGUUUUAAUUCAUAAUCAUAAUGCAAAUGAACACGAAUAUAAUCAUGUUUUUUUUGCUUAAAAUUUACAGGAUUCUGAUGAUGAAGAAGAUUUCUUCGCUGAGAUACUGAAAGAUGAUAUAAUCAGGCUUGAUGAAACUUCAUUGUCAGCCUCAACACCUGAGAUUUUGCCUAUGAUAGCCACCACUACCCACCGUGUAUCCCUUCUCCAGGGCGGAGCAAACCGGAGAAUCAGAUUGACGAGGACUAAAGCAGAUGUCAUCCAACAUGGCACCGGUGGGAUCUCGACCAAGAAAUGGAAGUCGGAGGGACCACCAAAAUGUUUGCUAUCUGUAUUCUCACCGAGGACUGCCAUUUUAGUCAUCCUGAUAACUUUACUGGCUUUGUUGCUGCCAUGUUCCAACUUCAAAAGCAGCAAAGUAUUUCAAAUAUGAUGCAUUGUAGCAGCAGAAGUUAUGGGAAUGAAUAGCGUUCAUAGUUGAGGGCAUUUGAUUAUUUCAACAUUGAGUUCUUUAUCUGGGGGUGUAAAAGAAUCCAGUUUGGUUAGUUUAAAUGGUCAUGAAUAAUAUAGUUAUUUGUAUUCAAGUUUUUCUUCUUUCAUAUUUAGUCUAAAAGCUAGCCAACAUAAGUUUGUUUAUGGGUGAGGCUGUAUCCAACCCAGGACCUAGUCUUUUGUUCUUACAUGAGAAGCUUUGUUGAUAAAAACAUGUUCAUAAAAAUAUAUUAUCCAAUAAAUUUACAAAUAAUUAAAAAUAAACUAAUUCAAUCAAGUUAAUUAUUAAAAUAUCCUUUACAUAUGAGAAUACUUUUAUUUUUUCAUUUAAAAGUUGCAAAUGUUGGUCUAGUCGGUGGUGCUGACUAUUCAUUUUACUCGUUUUACUAGCAUUGGGUGUUGGUGUUGGGAGCUUCUAUUUUUCUUUGCAUAUUCGGAGUUGGCCGAGGAGAGCUCAUCAGAGGCGGUUGGGAUUUUUGUGCUCCUUUCUGAUUGUUUCCUUGUUUCUUUAGGGUUUGUUUGUUUCCUUUUGUUGUAUUUGUUUUUUGGUUUUUAUUUUGUUGUACGGUGUCCUUUUGUUUCCUUAAUAAAUUCUAGCCUUCAUUCAAUAUAUAUAUUAGAAUUUUUUUUAAAACAUGCUAUAUGUGUAUAUAUAUAAUUUUUAUAAUUUCUAAAACUUUUAAUAUUUAUUUAUAAUUUUUAAUAAUUUAAGAAACAAGCUCAAAAUAAAUUUGGACAAAUGGUUGUUCAGGUUUAUUCAAGUCUGGACAAUCAUAUGUCUAGAUUUAUUUUGAAUGCAUAAAAAAAAUAUUUAAUUUUAAAAAUAUUGUUAGGCUAGCAAGAGUUACACAUUGCCCGUCAUCUAUCGCUGUUUGAUUGCUACUCAACCUCGUUAGCACUUAACAAUAGAAAUAGAUGAAAAUUUUAACAAAUUAGCUAAUUUACUUUAAUUUAAUCUACAUGAUUUAAUUUGCUCAUUUUUUAAUUAGUAGUUAGACAAAAUGUAAUCCAAUUUGUACGGGCUUGAUGGUACUUUUACUAAUAGAAGAAUAAUGGGUAAACUAAAUCUAAUGUCACUAAACUAUUAGUAAAUUUACACUUUAGCCACUUAACUUCAAAAAAUUACAAAUUGAUAACUAAACUAUUUGAAAGUUACAAGUUGGUCUUAGCCUAUUAAGUUUCUAACCGAUGUUAGAUGUGAGGAUGGCUAAUCUACAAUUCAGUCAUGAAAUUAUUAAUAAUUUUAUAAUUUAGUCACUCAAUUAUUAAUAAAUUUAUAAUUUAGUCACUCUCAACAUAAUUUAAUAAAAGAUACUAUUAAGUUAUUUUUUAUUCUCUCAACUAAAUAAAAGAAUAUAUAUUCUAUAGGCUAAACCAAAAAAAUAAAAUCAUUCUCAAUAGCAUGUUAACUAAUGAAGGAAAUUAACAAAUUUGACUAGCUUUUAUCUUGUUGAUUGAUUUGCUUCUAACCAUUACUAUGAAAAAGAAAAGGGUAAUUACACCAACAGUCACUCAACUUUGGGAUAGCUGAUAAAACAGACAUGUUGGUUUCAUUUCAGUCACUCAACUUUAGAAAAAUAAUAAAACAAUAAUUUUUACUGUUUUCUAUUACUGACGUAACGAAAAAAUAACAUGGCAUAUGACAGCGUACUUGGUGUCAUUAAUCAUCCAGUUGGCAUAUGACAGCGUACUUGGUGUCAUUAAUCAUCCAGUUGGCCGAUUAGCACCAAUAUAAACAACCCCUUCAGCAUUAAUUUAGGGUUUAUGCAAUAGAAAAAGAAGAGAAGAAGAAGAUGAGAAGGAGGAGGAGAAGGAGGAGAAAAAGAAGAAGAGAAAAAAAAGGGAUUUGGGAUGGUUUCUGUCUAAGGCAAAGAGGUUAUCAAAAGGAAAGAAGGGUUUGUUGUUAAGGAUUGAAGUAGGGCUAUUGAGAGAUUCAGUGUCGGGAAAGGCUUUUGAAAUGAAAGCUUUAAAUCGUGGAGAAUCGAAGAAAGAUGGGAUUUGUUUAGUGCAAUUCUGGGUAGGGGAUGAUGCUUGAGAGCUGUGAUCAGCCAUUAAAGUUUACUUGCUAGUCACUGCUCUGGACUUAUUCCUCAGCAUACCUACCUAUCCUCUUUUUAUUAGAUGGAUAUCAGAAUCAAACCCGCCAAAUUUCUAAUAUGGAACAACUGCAAAAACAAGGAAACAAUCAGAAUUUGAUUAGAAAAAGAAGAAAAAAAAGUGGGGAAGCAAAAGAUGAAAUGGGAGAACCCAGAUCUAAAAGCUCUUUUUUUAUUCUUAUUUGUGUUGAGUGUUUUUCUUUUUCAUCUUGUUUGUUUUCUCUGUCUAAUCACUUUGUCAAACUUGUUAGGCAAAAAGAAAGGACAAGACAAUAAGAAGAAAUUGAAACCAAAAUUAGGAUUUAGAAAUUGGUAAAUACUAAAAACCCAUAUCUUUCUCUCUUUCUCCAGCUUUAUUCUUCUUAUUGUCCUUCAAUCUUUGUUUUUUGUUCUGGUUACUUAUGUACUGUUAUUGACCAAAAUUAGGCAGAGAAGACUUCUUUUUGGCGAUUUAGUAUUUCAAGAAGAAAUUUCUCUAGUGGACAAAAUUUAGCAUUUGAAAUUGAUCCAUAAUAGAAGAAGAAGAAUAUUGAGGAAAAAAACCUAAUCCAAUUUAAUGGUGGUGCAAGUGGUGAUGGCCAGAGUACUUGUCGGUGUUGCUGGUUUGUUUGUAGGGUCAGUUGUAUUGGGGUCGUUGGCGACUUUGAGAGGGAUUUUACAUUCUCUUCUUCUUCUUUUUCUUGGACAGUUGUAUUGGGGUCGUUGGAGACUUUGGGUUAGUUAAUUGGCCACGUCAGCUAGUUAACUGGCCACAUCACCUAUCCCAUUAAGUUUAUAACUAAAAAUGUUAGUGGGUGACUGAUUUGUCACUUUUUGAUAACACUAGUGACUGUUUUGUUAUUUUUCUAAAUUUGCGUGACUAAAAUGAAUCCAAAGUGACUGUUUAUCAGCUACCCCAAAAUUAAGUGACUGUUGAUGUAAUUUACCUAAAAGAAAACCUUUCUUCAUAAUGAUUGAUUUUCUUCUUAUUUUAGCACCUAUAUAUCUUCGCAUCACUUUUAUCAUUAUUAUUUUAUCUAAUUAAUAACUAAAGAGAUUUGCUACUAGCAAUUAAAGACUUAUUACUUCAUUAUACAAUUUAUCAACUCACUUUUUAUUUGAUUAAUUGACAAAAAAUAAAAAUAAAAAACCCUAGGAUAUUAAUUUGGUUGAGAAAAUAUAAAGUAACCUAAUACCACAUUUUAUUUAAUUGUUUCAAUGGAAAAAUUAUUAAAUUAUUCUAAUAGUGACUAAAUUGUAAAUUUACUAAUAAUUAAGUGAUCAAAUUGUAAAAUUACCUAUCACGACGUUUUAUCGUCGGUUAGUAACUUAACGGGCUAGUGACCAACUUGUAACAUUCCAAUAGUUUAGUGAACUUGGUGUAGUUUACCCAAAUAAAUGGCUUUAUUUUUCUUUUCCGCCAUUGAUAAUUGCUUCCUUCGUUGUAUAAACGAAAGUAAAAGAAAAUCGACUCAGAAAAAGAAGUACAAAAAGAAGCCUUAGCUUCAAAACUCACUUAGAACUCUCCGAAGAGGAGUUGAGAAUGUGUUGAUCGAUCAUGAAUUCAGGGUUUCCUCAUUAACUUUGAUCUGUAAGUUUUUUCCCGACUUCCCUUUUUUAAUUUGGGCAUUUUCUUCAUUUCUUCAAAUAAUUUGGUCGAAGAUAGUAAAUUCGGUUUCUUUUUUGGUUGUUAAGAUAGUUUAGGAAAAUACGAAGUGCCGAUUUCCGAGAAUUUCUUUAAGAAAAAAGAAAUUGGAAAUGCCAUUUGGGGCUUUAUAUGAAAAUUUAUUUUUACUUUAUUAAUUUUUUUUUGGGAUAAGUUAUCUAAUUUGAAUAUAUAAAAACGUGGGAAAUUUUGUUUUACUUGGAUUUUUCUUAAUUUUCUCGGCAACCGAGCAGAAAGUUGAGUUUUUUUAGCUGAAUUUGAUCCUUAAUAGUUGCUUUUGAGUUAUUUUUACGUGUUAGGAUUUGGUUUGUAUGAAAUUACUGCAUUUCUUCAUGAAUAUCCAUCUCAAUCUUGGGUUGGAUUUUUUAGUUUAAUAAGUUUGGUUAAUCGCGUUUCAAAUGAUUAUAAUAAGAAAUUUAGAUCGAACAAACUAUAAAUAGUUCUUUCGGCAUUCCCACUGUCUCUUAAUAGGAAUGUUUAUGGUAUGGUUUCAUAGAAUGUUGAAUGUGGGUUUUUUUUUUCUCAAGUUACAGGUUUCGUAAGAGACUUAGAUAAAAAUGUCGAGACCGAUGUUACUUGUUUUCCUAUUUAUUAUAAUCAUAAUCACCUCACAAUUUGAGUGGAGGCAACCACUUGUUGUUGAUGUUGACACGACCCCGAGUGUAUCGCAGAAGCCGCAACAAAUUUCAAGGAGGGAAGAAGCUGUGAAAGAAAAGGUGACAAGCCUUGUACUUUUUUUUUUUUUACCAAUUCUAAUUAAAAUUUCAAGUUUAUCUUCUCUUGAUGGAAAAGAGUUGAAUAAUGAGAUUAGUUUCAUUGAAAUGCAUACGUCUUAUGUGACAUAUUAUAUGUAUAGUUGGUAUGUAAACUUAAGCUGAAUUGCAAAAUGCAAACCCUUUUUUAUCUCUUAUCUUUUCAUUUUCUAAUAAGCUUGCUACCGUUGGUUUAUUCAGUGUAGGAAGUUAGUCCGUUUAAAUGCAAAGCAAAAUGUUUUAUACCCUUGUUUAGCAAUUGCUUCUGUAAGCUUCCCUCUCAGUGUUUUGUUUGAGUUUUAUCUUUAUCUUUAAGAUUUAUGUUUGCUCAAAACAUGGUAUAGGAUAGAAGGAACUGUGCUAUUGCAACCUCUGAUAUGCCAAAAGGCAGAAACUAGGUACUUGGGAAAUGUUUGCCUUCAGUAGCAAAGUAUAACGAGGGCGUUGUCUUGAUCCAUAUCUUCCACCAGCAAUUUUACUUCUGAUUGACUUUGAGUGGAAAUUUGUCAAUUGCAGAUCAUCUUAUCACAAGAGAAGAAGAUUCAGAGACUUAAUGAACUUGUGCGGAGUCUUGAGCAGCAACUGCUGCAGUGCAAGGGUGAUAACAAGACAACUAAUGGCACUGUAAGUUAUUUGACUGAACGGAUUCUUGAGCUUGAGAGGCAACAGAUCUUAGAGGACUAGGCAGGGUAUUAUAUCGCAAAACAUAUGCUCUGAUUGUGGUGCAUUGAAGCUUUAAAAUCCUUGUUUAUCCAUGUAAGUGUAAGUUCAAUAUUUCAUUUGUUGUAAGUUAUAUGGUUUUUCCCCUUCAUUUGUGUCCACUCCAUCUCUUCCAAAUGGAAGCGGUGAAAGCUAUGCACACAGUAUAAAUCAUCCAUUUUACAAUCCUUAGUCAUUGCCAAGUGGCUGCUGUUAUUUGACUCAGCUACUUUGAAACCAAUCUUCUGUUAUUAUACUGUAUUAGAAUUAUCAGCAACAUUUAGCCGAUUGAGAAUGAAAAAAAGCUAUGAUGAGUUUCAUGGUGUAGGUAGUCGGCUCAUAUAUGAUGCUAAGAAAAAGUUAUUUUCUGUGUUUACAUGCUACAUGAUUUUGUGAGUUGACUCCAAAAGUUCUCAUAUAUGAGCUCUAGAUUCUGCUAUUUUGCUCUGGAUGUAUUGUUUCCAUGAUAUAUUGCUCUGUUUCCAUGGUGUAGUCUUCUUGUCAUGCAUGCAUCGGAAUAUAAGCAGAGACUCCGCUGCUGUGUUCUGCAUGUAUCGUAGCCCCAAUAUAUUGCUUCAAUUUGCCUCAUGUUUAGGGCUUUAAGCAGAAAUUUCAAACUCCUGCAUCUGCAUAUGCUAAUGACAACUUCAGAAGAAUAGUUCAGAUUUCACAUGGAGUGGAGUUCAAGAAGUAUUUGGAUAGACAAGGUUGCUUCUGUACUGAGGAACCUCUCUAAAUGAAAAAUUCAAGAGGCCAACAGUGAUCAAAGUGCUAAAUACAUAGCAUAGAACUUGAACGAACAAAAGUUUGAGCACUUAAUAUUAUUAGAGAUUUAUGGGAUUUUUAAAUUGGCCCGUCUGUUUUUGGUCACUCAAGUAUGAAUUUUUUUAUUAUUAUAAAAAUUGGUCACUUAAUUAUGGGUUUGCUUCUUUUUUUGUCAUCUAACUAUGUAUAUUUUUUAAAUUGGCUGCCCAAUAAAUCAAGAAUUUUUUUUUGGGUCCAUUUUCGUUAACAUAAUAGUUAAAAAAAUCAGUAGUUUUCAAUUUUUACAUAUGAUAUCGGUUUAGUCAUAAUUUUUAAAAAUUAACUUUCAAAAUUUAUAAAUAGUCUCAAUUUGAUCUUAAUUCUAAAAAAAUUAAAAAAAUAUAAAAAAAUACAUAAAUAUUUAAAAAAAUAUAAUAAAUUUUUAAAAAAUGUAAAAUAAAAAAUGAUUUAUAUUAAUAUUAAAUAUAAAUAAUUAUAUUAAUAUCAAAUAAAAUAAAAAUACCCCAUCCCCAUCCCAUCUCUCUCUCUCUUUCAGUUCUUAGUUUCAUAUGAACUUGCAAUGGUUUCAUAUGGGGAGGGAAUAAAUUUCUUAAAUCUGUAGUUCUAUUUUGUUUUUCAAAAUCUUGCAUUGUAUCAAAAUGUUGCAUUGCAAGUUGAAAUGAAAAAUUAUAUAAUUUCCACUAAGUGGUAACUUGCAAUGGUUUCAUAUGGGGGAGAGAAUAAAUUUCACUUCGAUCCACAUUGAAGUUUCAUUUCAUCUUAAAUUAUUUGUGUUGUAUUAAGAUAAUUCAUGUCACUAAUAUAUUUGCUUACCUCUAAUCAAGCAACUUUAAUUCAUCUCUAUUGCAAAUUCUAACUCAUUUCCUUAAACUUAAAAUUAGAAAAUUGUGUCCAAAACUCAGAACAUACUCCCUAAAAACUUAGAAAUUUGUUUGAUGCUUAUGGGCAAGUUCUCAAUAUUGUUUCCAUUUAAAUCUAUGUCUCCAAGGAAGAUAACCCAUGGAGAUUUAACAUUAAAUGUUAUCCAACAUUGAGUUUGUCAAAUACAGAAAUGAUCCAACCUCAAUUAACAAAGAACUCGAGUCAAUUUUUUUUUUUGUGCUUUUAAAAGUUAUCUUUGUGAAGAUGAAAACUGUGAAGUGAAAGUUGACAACACCGUAAGUUGUAAUUAUAUUUAUCAAUCAAUAAUGGCACCAUAGGUGAGUGUAUAAUAUUAAUUUUAUGUUUUUAUAAAUUAAUGAGGUGUCGAUAUUCCUCAAAAGUUAACUUGAACAAAAUUAAUUAUAUUUAAUUUUUUUUAAUUUUUAAAAAUUAAUAUUAUAUUAUUUUAAUAUUACAAUAUUCAAUAUUACUAAACAUAGACAUAUAUAUGAAUAAUAUUUCAUAUAUCAUUUUAAUAAUAAAUUGUUAUAACCAAUACUAUUUAUUAUUUGAAUAAAAAUAUUUUGAGUAUUAAAAUAUUUAAUAAUAGAUAGUAUUUUUAAUAUUUUAUUUUAUAUUAUUAAUUUUUUAAUAAUGAAUAAUGUUAUUUUAUGUAUUUAAUAAUAAAUACUAUUUAUGAUAAUAUUUGAGGAAUGUGAUGAUGCAAACAAGAUGGGGGGCAUAACUUAGAAAAGGCUUCACUUAUCAUUAUAGUAAUGCUUGUGAUUAUGUUAGCAAAAGAUUUAAAACAUUCACAUGGUAUUUAAAACAAAAAUAAAUAAAAAAAGAUAAAAGCUUUUUAGGUGCUUUAAUUAAAACCCUUCUUCUCCAAAUUCAAAAGGGGAGGCUUUCAGGUUUGAACACAUCAACUCUCAACAAAUCAUCUUUAAUUGCUACUCAUAAAUAAAAACAAAUUAGCAAACAUUAAAUGAUUUUUAAGUUAUAUAAUGAUGAAUUAAUGUCUUUUAAAACCUUUUCACAACUUUGGUAUCAAUUUAGUUUCUUGGAUUUGUUAUACUAAUUUCAGUUUUUAAUGUUUGAUUUUUCAGCAUUCAAAUUAAAGAAUAUGGAUUAAAUUUACAAUUUACGUAUGAUACAUCAUCAAUAGCAAAAAUUGAUCUAACAAAAUUAAUUGUUAUUGUUUGAGUUAAAACUGAAAUUUCAAAAGUUAAAAAAUAUAAAAACUACAAUUAACUAAAUUUGAAUAUAAAAACUAAAUCCAUAAUUACACAUAAUACAUGGACUAAUAAUAAAAUUUGACCUUUUUAAUUAAAAGGACCAAGAUAUUAAAAAAGAUAUGAAAUAAGUUGGUUUAUGAGUUGCAAUAUUCGUGAAAACUUAUCCCAAAUUAAUUAUCUAAUUAAAAGUAUUUUUAUUAAUUAUCAAAAAUUAUUUUUAUUCAUUUUAUGGAUAGUGAAUUAUGGAGACAAAAUAAUCUUUCAUUGGAUAUUUAUUUGAAUAUUCGAAGACAACGUAUAUAUUUGAUGAAAUUGUUUAUUUGUUUAUUAAAAUUAUCAACAUUUAUUUAUGAUAUAUUAUAGUAUCUAUCCAAAGGUGAGUUGAGAUAUACUUGAUUGUUGUUUAUAUGAAAUUAUGAAUCAACAAAGUAAAUUUAAUAUUUAUAGCAUUUGCAUAUUAUUUUGCAGUUAUUUCUCUUUAUUCAUAUGACUUAUAUGUUCUAUUAGUUAAUCAUUUAAACUUCUUUGACUAGAGUGAAUUAGUUAAGUUCCAUUUAGGUGUUUGGAUAUUAACUUGUCACUAUUAGAAGAUAAAUUGCUGCUAUCGCUAACUUAAGCAAUUAGGAAAAGAAGUUGUACUGUAAGCAAUGAGGACGGUCAAACAAUUGAUCAUUAUGUUCUUGCAAAUGAAUAUUGUUAACAACAUUAUGAUUAUAAUUCCACAAAUUAAGAGCGUAAAAAAAUUUCUUAUGUUUGUGAAAGAAUGUUCCUGUUAUGCAAACAAGUCACCCACUGGUAUUUUAAUGGCAUAACUCAUGCCCAUGAUGUUUGAUGGGUCGAGGGGAGUGCAAGAACAUAUCAUCAAGAUGAUUGAUAUUGUAAUAAGGUAAAGACCUUGACGUGAUGGUGGAUGACUCUUUCUCAGUGUAAUUCAUUUUGAACUUACUAUUUUCAAAUUAUGAGUAAAUCCAAAUUAGCUAUAACAUUAUUAAAGUUGAGUGGAAUGUUAAUGAAUUGACUAGUAAGCUCGUUCAUGAAGAGAAAAGAAUAAUGAAUAAAAAAUCAAAGGAAGUUAUUCCAUCAACCUUGUUGGUAAAAGAGUUGACAAAGUACUUAGGUGAAAACCAACAAAUUUACAAAGAAAAAUACACAAGUUAAUGUAUCUAAUAGAGAAAAAAGGGAAUGAACGACAAAUAAGUGUCACUUAUGUAAGAAAGUAGGACAAUUCAGAAAGAUUUUAAAAAAUGUAAAGCUUGGUUUGAAAAGAAAUGUAACUUUUAUGCUUUUGUAUGUUUUGAAUCAAACUCAGUUGAAGUUUCUUAUAAUACUUGAUGGCUUGACUUUAGCGUUAAUGUAUUCAACAUGAUGUAGAGAUUCUUUUUUAUUCAAACCACAAAUCACAUGAAGGUUUUAAUUGAAGGCAUGGGGACUUAUUAUUUGGUAUGGGAUAUUGGGUAUCACUUAAACUAUUUUAGAACCUUUUAUUACUUUUAAAUAUUAGGAACUUUAUUAUUAUUUCAAAACUUGAUGUUAUUGGAUUUAAUAUUAAGUUUGGAUAUGAUUGUUUUGGUUUGUAUAAGAAUAGCAUUGUUGUCGGUUCUAGGAAACCUUGUUGAUGGUUUAUAUAAAAUGAAACUUGAUAAUAUUUUUGUUGAAUUCGUACUUAUUUAUCAUAGAAAUGUUGGAAUUAAAUGUAGUAUGCUAAAUGAAAUCUCUACUUAUUUGUGGCAUAAAUGCUUGGGCUAUGCAUCCAAAUAAAGGCUAGGAAAUUUAGUACAAAAAAAUGAUAAUCUAUUGAAAUUAGAUUUUAUUGAUCUUGGUGGGUGAGGAUUGCAUUAAGAAAAAGAAAGCCAAACAUACCAAGAAAGACAACACAAGAAGUACUCGACUUCUUGAAAUAACACAAAUUGAAUCGAGACAAUGUUUAGAUCCAUUUACAAAAUUUCUCUUCAACAAAAUGGUGUUGUAAAAAGGCAUAUUAGACUUUAAUAAAUUUGGUUAGGAGUAUGAUGAACAACUCAUUACUUAUUCAUUGUGGAUACAUGAACUCAAAAUCGUUGUAUAUUUGUUAAACAAGUUCCUAGUAAGAUAAUUCCUAAAACUCAUUUUGAGUUGUGGACUGGAAGAAAACUUAACGUAAGACACCUACAUGUUUGGGAUUACCAAAGGAGAGUAAGAAUAUAUAAUAUAUGUGAAAGAAUAUAUGACCUAUUAAUGAGUUUCUUGAUUAUUUCUUCCAAAAUUUUCAACUUUCUCAAGAAUUUUUCUUAAUCCUCACAAUGGCUCGUGUUAAAAUCACUUCCCAAGAACAUUAUGAGAAAUCUCAACAAUAGAGGUAAAUAAUGAGAGAGUCCUCUAUGUCUCAAACUCGAGUACAAUAGGUAAUAUUCGUAAUGGUAGCUGUAAUAGCCACUACUAUAGACACAUUGUAGGAGGUUGUUACCCAGAAGGCCUCCAUUACUCUUAUCCCUUAUGCCUCCUCAAAGGAGUCUAUGCUUGUAAUGACUAUUGAGGCAGGCGGAGAUUUUUUUUUACCAUGGAUGUUAAAAUUGCAAAGGUUCAACCUUCUGAACAGAUUCAACAUGCAAUUGCUGAAAUUGAUACUUUUUUUUAGCAAUCCACUUGUGCUUGAGCACUCUCCUAUGCUUGAGGAGAAGAUAGAUGCCCUAAUUCAACUUGUUACCAACUAAGGUAAUAUCGUUUCAACCAUGAUGAAACCUUGGUUAAUAAUGCUAGCAAUUUUGAUUUUACUAAAUCUGAUAGUCUUAUUGAUACAUAUGCUUUUACCACUACUAUUAUUGAGUUUGAUAUUGUACGUAAGAGAGUUGGAAAAGAUGCAAUGCAAGAUGUUAGUGCCUUUGAAAACCUUAAUCUUAAUCUCAUUGGGGAUGAUGGUGAACCUGAUACAUAUGAAAAAGAGGUUCAGGUCAUUGCAGUUACUCCUGCAGGGCCCACUUUCACAAGCAUAACAUAAUACAGAAAAGGAAAACUUAUUCUAUAAUGGCUAAAGAAUUUCAGAGUUUUCUUUUGCUACCAAGUCUAAUCAAAUGAAAGCACCCAUUCAACUAAAAGCUUCCAAGAAAAGGAGAGUUGAGACAAAAAGUUCAUCUAAUUCUUCUAAUGAAUUAGAAACUUAAAAUGAAUUAAAAACUUAAACUACCCCUAAUUUUGAUGGAUAUGCUACUUUAAAGGAGUUAUUUGGAGAAAAAGCUAGAACAAGGUGUCUUGAUGUUCCUAAGGUAGCUCAAGAAAUAAAAAAGAAGAAGGUUGAAACGAGUUGGAGUGCCCUCAAUGCUUGCUGUAGCCAAAGCCAUAGAAGAAGUAGCUUUAUUAGAAACACGUGACCAAAUCUUUUUUACUCAUGCAUGCUCUAAGAGGUAUUUUUCUAUUUUGAAAAAUAGCUUUAUUAAGAAACAAAAUAUUGAUGAGUCUAGCUUUGCUGAGCAUAGGAUCGAUUCUUUACUUGAAAAAAUAAUCUAAUGGGAUAUGUGAGUUUUGUCAAGCCAUAUAUCAGAUAGGUGUGCUUGAGUUCUAUAGAACCCCAUUACGUAGUAUAAACGAUGAUUAAAACAAGGUUUUUCACGAAGUUCACAUAAAAAAGAAGUGGUACGAUCCAGGAAGGUGAUGAACUACUAUUUUCCAGAAUAUGAUAGAGCUUAAUAAGUCCUUGGAUACUACAACUUCAAUCAUCACCAACAAUAUCCACCCAACUUAGCCAUUAAAGGUAACAUUCAUGUCUCAUCCUAAGUAAUACUUAUGCUACAUCGUUUGCCAUUUGCAUAGGAAACUGGUUGCUAAAUAGUUAAAGGGAUAUAGUUAGCGAGAAGGCACAAUGCUCAUCAGGAAAGUAGUUGAAAUGGUCGAGUUUGACCUAGGCCAAAUUGUUUAUGAAGAAGUGAUCAAACAUGCUGAAAUAGUACAUACCAAGUACCUUCUACCAUUUCCUUCCUUGAUAUUUCAAGUAUUUUUAAAGCAAAAAUCCCUAAACUUGUUUGAGCCAUUAAGAAUAUUGAGAAACUAGUUGCUAAGUUAAAGCUUUUCCUUAAAUGGAUUGAAGGAAAGCAUGCAUCCAUAGACCUUGUUGAUAAACCAGAAGUUGAAAAACAAAAACUUGCCAAUGAGACUACAUAAGUGGUUCUUGAAGUGUCCAUUGCAACAGGACUUGCGAGUAACCCUACGGGAUUGUGACACCUCACACCUGACCGGGUCCAUAUGUGAGACACCACAGUUGUUGUCGGGGUAACUCAAACUACUUAAUAGUUUCAAUUCAACAUGAGAAGUAAUCAAUAACACAUUUAAAUCAAACCAUUUCAAUAGCUUAAAUUCAUUAUUAAGACUUUUAAAACAAUUCUUAGGAGUUCGGAGGUGAUCGAGAUUGAGUAUGAGUCUUUAGGGGUCGAAGCAACUAAAAACAAGGGAGGGACCCCAUUUUGACCUAGUUAUAUUGGUAAAACCAUUAACUCUCACAAUCGAGUCAUAGCCAAACAUAUUUUGUUUACUGGCUAACUUCUUAGGGGAGAAUUCAAAGGUGAUAGAUUUAUGUCUUUAGACACAAAAGUGAGGUUGUUAUAUUGGGGUAGAACUUGAAUCACUUGUUGUAUUGAGAUUAAAGAUAGUAGAUUAACUCAAUGAGCUAGGCUCCACAAAUGUAAGGAAAUUGAAUUGCAUAAACAAUGUUGUGUGUUCUAUUUUUUUAGUUGUGUUCAUUAUAGUGGCAUCUAUAGUGGCAAUUGUAGCCAUCAUUUCCAUUCAAGUGAUCUAUUUUUCUUAGCAAUUAUCGACUGUUCAUUUCAAUAGGAAUAUAAGAUAACAUGUAAUAGCCCGAUUUUCAAUGAUGUCAAAAAUAGUGGUUCGAGACCACCAAAUCUGACAAGUGAGUUCAUAUAUUUUAUUAUUUAGUGUUUAUGAGCCAAAUGAGAUUUUAAGAAGACAUUUGAAAUAGUGAAUUGUGUUUUAGAAGAAUUUAUUAAGUUAAGUGGUUUCGAAAACGAGGUAUCGAUACCUCGAUUUCAUAAAUUGAGCCGUGAAUAUUUUUAUAAACAUUUUCGAAGUAUCAUUAAGUUAGUAUUAAAGUUUCAUUAGAAAAUUUUAACGUUUGGAUAGUUAAUUAGUUAAAAAGGACUAAAUUGAAAAAGGUACAAAAUUUGUUAAUUAAGGAAAUAGUGAUUAAAUAGCCAAAUGGUAAAUAAAGGAGGACUUAAGUGUAAAUUGGCCUAAUGAUAUGGCUAAGACGGCAUAAGUAUGAAAGAAAUAAGGAAACAAUGUGAACUAAGGGCAAAAUUGUAAAAUUUAAAAAUUAAACAAAUAAAACAACAAUUAAAAGAGUUUAUAGCAAUUUGUUCACAAUUCUCAGCCAAAAACACCAUAGAAGAGUCUCCAAAAUUUGGUUUUUCAUAUUUUUACAUCAUGUGAGUUCAAUUAUUGCUCUUUUCUUGAAUUUUUUAUAUUUUUAAGACUUUUACAAUUAGGUCUAACUAUAUAUUUCAUUAGUUUUUGAUUUUAUGGGUAAUUUUGAAGUUACCAUUGAUGAGUAUUGGAUUUUUAUGAUGAAUUAACAUGGAUUUAGAGCUUUAAUUUUAUCAUAUGAUGAUUUUAUGAAGUGAUUUCAAUAGAAAUUGAUUUUAAGACCAAAUUGUGAAAAGAUUUAAUAUUAGGGUUUGAUACUAAACUUCUAUUGAUCAAAGGUUGUAUAAUAUUUUAGAAUAUUUAGAUAAAUUGUCAAUUGAGAAAAUAAUUAGCUCAUUUGAUAGGUUAAUUGGUGAGGGACUAAAUUGUAAAAAUUGUAAAAAUUAGUGUAAUUGUGCAAUUUCAAAAAUUGAGGGAUAUUAAUUGUGAAUUGAAUUGAAAUUGAAUUAUAUGCUAAUGAAUGAUUAAUUUUAUAUUUUAGAUCAAGAGCCCGUAGAUAAUUGUGAAAAGGGGAAAUUAGCAUAAUAGUCUCUGAACUACUAUAAAUUCCACAAUUUAACCCAGGUAAGUUCACAUGGUUAAACUAUAAUAAUUAUAUUGAAUUGAUGAAUGAUAUUAAAUAUUUAGUAUAUUGUUGAAAAAUGGAAAAUUGUUAAAUUAUAAAUUUGAAGUGAAUAUACGGUUUAAAUGGAACACGAGAUUGAGUACAAUCGUUGUGUGGCAAAAGACAGCAAAGGAAGAAUUGACAGUAAAUUACCCAAGUAAACUGAAGUUCAACAUUUGUUGCAAACUCUCGUGUUUACUUUCCGUUUAGCUCACAUGAGCUUCAGUUAACUCAUAUGAGUUUCAGUUUAACGCUAUUGGGUUUCAGUUUAACUCUUAUUGUAACAUCUCGUUUUUAGUCAAAUUAAAAUAGUAGUUUUGGGAACACAAAUCCGAAGUCAAAAUAAUUAUUUUAUUAUUAUUUUAAUGUCUAUAACAUGAUAGUAUAGUUAUGUGAAAUUUUCGUUAAGAAAUUUUAUUAUUUGAGUGCUUAAUAUGAUAAAAAGGACUAAAUCGCAUAAAAUGUAAAAUUUGUGUUCUAUUAGCUAAAGGUGUCUAAUAGCUAUGAAAUUAAAUGUUUGAAGGGUUUAUGUUGUAAUUAGACCAUUAUUUAUUUGAGUGGACAAAGAUGGACUUGGUUAGGUAAAUUUUAAUUGUUAUACAUUAAGGUUAUUUAAAUAAUUUAGUAAUAAAUGUUAACAAAUUAAAGAAAAAACAAAGUAUUUUGUUGCUUAUCAUUUUAUUUACCGAUUUUGGAAGAAAGAAAAAGCCAUUUUUAGGGCCUAGAAGUUUGGCUAUCAUCUAUUGCUUGUAUGGUACAAAUUUUGAUCUCGUUUUUAAUUAUUUCUAUGUUUUUGUGAUCGUUGCAACUAGGUCUAGCUAGCCCAGGGACUAAUUUGAAAAUUUGUUAAAGGUUUACGAUGUUGUCAUUGAUGAAUAUGUAUGAGCUUUAAUGAUUGAUGGUAGAUUAUGAAUGUUUGAUGAUAGUUAUACAAGUUUUGUUAAGUGAUUUUUAGUAAAAAUGCAAAUUAGGGAUUAAAUUGUGUAAUGUGGAAACUUUAUAGUUAAAAUGUGAAAUAAAUGAAAAAUAUGGGUUUCUAGGGACCUAAUUGAAAUUCGGCUAGCAUGGGUUUUGGUUGAAUUGCAUGGAUUUGUGAUUUUAUGAAAUAAGAACUAAAUUGUAAAAACGUGAAAUAUUAAGGGCAAAAGUGUAAAGUGGCUUUAAAGUGUAUUUUGGAUUAAAUUGAAUAGAUAGGUAAUUAAAUAAGCUAAAUUUGAUAUUCUAUAGAUCAAGAAAAGCGAAAUACGGAAUUAGAUCGGAGAAAGAACAAGGUGUUGGAUUAAUCUACUCGUUUUUCCGUUUUUGCAUCCGAGGUAAGUUCGUAUGUAAUAAGCAUUAUCUUUAUUGUAUUUUAAAUGCUUUAAUAUUGCCUAAAUUAUGAAUUACGACCUUGCGGACACAUUUGACGAAGAUUUGGCAUUAGAAAUCCCGGUUGAAUCUUAGGAACAGAGUAGGAUACAAAUGACAUGUCAUUAGGGGUUACAUUGAGUUGGCUUCGGACCAUGAUAUUGACACUUUGGGUGCGAGAUAUAUUGAGUUGGCUUUAGGCCAUGAUAUUGGCACUUAGGGUGCAAAACUCUCGAGUAUCCGACUUAUAUUCCAAAUGGUUUAACGGGUAUAUCGAAGAUAUGAAAUGGUAAGAAUAGAUACGUAUCAGAAUAUGUAUGUACGGAAACUGUAUAUGUAUCGAACUUAUGAAAGAAGUGAACUCAUGAUUAUAUAGAUGAAUGAAUACAUGUUAACAUUGUGGUUAAUUAUUAUGUGGUAUGUUAUAUGCAUGAUUUGAAUAGUAAAUUAAAUAGUGAGAUUUGCUUAUUAACUUCAUACGAGCUUACUAAGCUUUAUAGCUAACUUUGUUUAUUUUUCGUGUUUUAUAGUGAUUUCAAAGCUAGCUCGGAUUGGGGACCGUUAGAGACUUCAUCACACUAUCCUACUAUCACUUGGUGCUUUUGAACUUAAGUAUAUUGAGUAUAUGGCGUGUAUAUGAGUUUAGUCAUUUUGGUAUAUAUGUUAACUAUGAAUUUAGCCAUUUGAGUUGGCUUGUAAAUGUUAAUAUUUGGUUUUGUAUAUAGCCAUGUAAGUUGGCUUAAUUUUCUUGGUUUGGUUGUGUAUAUAUAUUUGUGCAUAUGUCUUGUGUGUGAACUUGAUAGUGGAUACAUAUGAUACUUAUUGAUAAUAGGUAUUGUGGAUGUCAAUUGGUUGAUGAAUUAAGAUUAAGUAUGCUUGUGAGUUUAGACAAAUUGAUGCAUAUUUGAAAGUGGCUAUGUAGUUGAAUUGGGGAUGUAAAUUUGGUAUAACAUGCAAUAAAAUUUUGUGAUACAUGUGAGACUUAUUGUUGUUGGUAAUAUAUGCUAUGUUUUGGUGCCAAAUGGGUUGGUUUAGGUGUGUGCAAUUUGGGUGACAAAUUAGCUUGGUAAAUAGCCUAUUUUUGUCCACACGGGCAGAGACACGGACGUGUGUCUUAGCCGUGUGUGACACACGGUUAGGUUGUACAGCCGAGUGUCCCUUGGUGUUGAAAUUAAAACCAAGUCAGUAUGCUUCACGCGACUCAACACACGGGCGUGUGACUUGGCUGUGUGGUAUAAGUCAGUAUACCCUACAAGUUUGGCAUGGCCUAACACAUGGCUUGGCACACGGGCGUUUGUGGCCAUUUUUAGGGCACACGGGUUAGUCAUACAGGUGUGUGCGUUGGCCAUGUGACCCAAGUCAAAGAGUUACAUGGGGUAGGACACGGGCUGGGAUAUGGCCAUGUGCUUCCAUUUUGAAUGUCCAAACGACCUGUGACACGGGUGUGUCUUUGGCCAUGUGAGACACACGGGCAUGUGUCCCCUGUAUUUUUGAAAAAUUUUUAAGUUUCAUAAAAAUUUCCUGAGUUGUCGGUUUAGUCUCGAACCUUUUCAAAUGCAUAUUUUGGGCCUCGUAGGUUAGUAUUAGGGACAAUGUUAUUGAAUUUGAAUGAUGAUUUGCUUGAUAUUUGAAAAAGUAUAUGAAAUGAAUGUUUAAUUGUUUCUAUAGUCUGGUAAUACUCCGUAACCCUAUUUUGACAUUGAAUACGGGUGAGGGGUGUUACAUUUAUGAGCUUCUGUUCAACCCUUAUGGGUUUCCGUUUAGCACUUGUGUGCUUCUGUGCAGCCUUCGGUUUUUUGUAUACGAUGUACUCAUAUUUGUAAGUUGUUCUCAGAUUCGGUAAUGUUGGUAAGUGACAUAUGAAAUUGGUAUAUGAGAACUUAAAGUUAUUGAUAGUUUUGAUGUGAAUUAAGUGAAUUCCUAAAUUAAAGUUGUGGUUGGCAGGAAAUGUAAUUUGAAUGAUUUAUUUACUUGAUUUGGUUAUAGUAUGUUCAAUGUUUGGUAAGAUUUAUGUUUAAAACCAACGAACUUACUAAGUUUCAUUAAGCUUACUUGUGUUUUUUUAAUGUCUUUGUAGAUUAACGUGAGGUCGGGGAAUCGGAUCAACACAUCGAGCCACACUAUCCAACUUGUUUUGGUAGUUUUUGCAAUGUAUAUUUUGGUUUAUAUGGAUGUAUAGGGUGAUAAUGAUUUGUGUAAAUAUUAAGAGUCAUAUUUUGUUUACAUAUCAACCCAACUUGUAGCACCCCAAACCCGGCCCAGACGUUAUGGCUGGAUCCGACAUGCCACAUCGAAGCGUUAAAAACAUUUUAUAUUGUUGAUCCAGAAAAAACCUACUUAGUGUUUUAAUUGAUAAUUUCAUUAUAGGUUAAAGUGAAUGGAAGCUGUGCACCAUGUAGGAAACCGUAAAAGAGGUGGUGAGUCCAUCGGACUGCUUAAGUACCAAGCUCCCUUCGGAUCCAAUCCUAGACAUGCAUACCGCCAUUGCCACACCUUAACGUCAUGGAUAUUUCUAGGAAACCGAUUUGAUUAAGUCAUUUUUAGGAAAAGUGAUUAAUUUUGGAAAAUACUUUCAUUGCGGAAGCUUUGCUUGUUGUCGUGUUAUUUUGAAAUCAACUGUUGUUUUUGAAAACGCGCCCUAAAGCUAUCCAAUUUCAACAAUUAAAAUAAGUAAUACCUAUCUUAGUAAUACAUAUUAAAACCAUCAAAAAUAAUUAAGCGGCCUUAUUACAUUUAAAAACUCAAAACUUCAAACGUAAAUAAAAGGAUGUCCAGUUCACCAGAAGAAAAUCAAACUUUCAGAACGGGUGGCCACUCCGAAUUCCUUCACAGCUCCAAGCCCACUAUGGUUGGGGAUUACCUGCGUGGAAGAAAAUAAAAGGGGUGAGUUUGGGGAAACUCAGUGUGUAAGGAAUACCCAUUCAAAGCCCAAGUCAGCUCAAGCCUAUUGGGCCUAAGCCCAUUCAGGUAACAGUGGUACUGGGCCAGAGCCCUUUUCAGAUUACAAUAAACUGGGCCUUAGCCCCUUAUUCAGAUAACAGUAUGGCCCAUAGGCCCAUUUCAAAAUACAUGCAACAUCAAUAACAUAUGCAAGCCCAUUUGGGGAGACUACUCAACCCACCAACCACUACACUCCACCUGUACCAGCCAUACACUCCAUGUGGGGAAUAGCUCAACCCACCCAGCCCAACACUCCACAGUUGCAGCCUUGCUACUCAGUUAACAGUAAAUUGAGGCAAAGCCUCCAGUACGUGGACAAGCCACUUUCAGUACUUCCUCCGUCAAUAUCCCAGUCCCAUGCAUCAGAUAAUAACAACAAGGUAUGCAGUAAAUAACAACAGUCAAACAUGCAUUUAGGUCAAUUUAACCCUAGGGGUAUUUCGGUAAUUUAUCUCUUAGGGGUAAAACUAUAAAUUUUUCACUUUUAAAGGUAUUUCAGUAAUUUAUCUAUUUUAGGGUUUUUCAUGCAUAUUCCUACUUUUCACGUACUAACAGAAUCACGUACCGAUGGUUCUUACCGAAUUGGGCCCGUUGGCCCAUCAUUCUAAUUUUGGCCCAUUAAUCCCAAAAAUAUCGAGGGCACAGAAAUCAUGCACUUUGCAGUCCAAACAUUGCAGCUUACCAAAAACAUUAAUCGAUUUACCUCACGAGCAUUCGCACACUCGCAAAUCUACAAAAUACCGGUUUUCAGCAUUUCGGCUUUUCGGCUUUUGCCGAUCUAGACUAAGAAAGAGGGUGUUAGUUACACACCUGUUUGCGACGAUAUGCUGACGAGAUCCACACACGAACCGCCUACAAUUGGAUUACUAACACGUUAAUCUAACUAUUCAAAUACAAACUACGUAUUAACCCCUUACAAUAUUCGGCCAACCACACCUAUAGAUCAUAGUAAGCUUAUAAGAAAUCAAUAAGUAACUCAUUAACAAAUUUUUGUCAAUGUUUACCACAUAAUCAUAAUUUCACCGCAAGCUGUCUUCCUGAGCAACAGUCAUUAAAUUAUUUAUAACUGGAGCUACGAAACUCCAAAUAAAGUUCCGUUAAUUUUCGCUGAAAAUAGACUAAUAUAUCUUCUAUCCAUAAAAUUUUCAGAAUUUUUGGUUUAGCCAAUCAAUACCAGAUUUUUCUCAAAGUUUCCCUUGUUUCACUGUUUGACUAAUCUGACCACUCUUCAUUACGAAUCAAAUUUAUCAUUGUACAGAAUUCAAAAUAUGUUAUUUUUUAUUUCAUUAGAAACUAGACUCAAUAAGCUUUAAUUACAUAAUUUAUUCAGCUUCUAAUUCAUCUUCCACAAUUUAUGGUGAUUUUCCAAAGUCACAUUACUGCUGCUGUCCCAAGCAGAUUUAUUACCAAAUCACUCUUUCACACAUACCUUGCAUGCAUGUUAUUUAAACAUGUAUAUCACCAAUCAAUCAUCACAUAUCUAUGAUUUUACUUAAGUAGAAUCUCCAUUUCAUCAUUUUAAAGCACAACAUGUUAGCUGAUUUUUCCCUUUAACAUCUAAGGCACAUGCAUGCUCAUUUGUUUGGCUCAACUUCACCUAUCUUCCAUUUUUCAUCAAAAGAACAUGAAACAACAACCAUUUCCUUCAUUUUAAUUCAUGACUAAAUGCUCACAAUACAACUAAAAACCAAAAUAUGCUUCAAGAGUUAAGGUAGAAUCAAGAUGAACUCAUGAACCUCAAAAUAGAAGCAAGGUACCAAGAACUUACCUUCAAUUUUCCUCCUCCUAAUGACCGAAUACUCAAGAGCUUUCUCCUCUCCUUUCUCUUCUCUAACUUUUAGCUAUGAUGAAAAAAGAUGGACAAAACUUUGUUCUUUUCACCCCUUUUUCUUUUAAUAAAACUUCAUAUUUCAUCCAUUUAAUUCUUUAAUACAAAAGACAUGAAAUUCUUAUCAUGAAACAUUUACCUAACCCAUUAUCAUGAAACAUUUACCUAACCCAUUAUCAUGGAACAUUUACCUAACCUAUUAUCAAUUUGUAUCAAUUUGUACCAUAAAUUAUGGAUAUCAAGUGCACAUUUUGUCUACAACAACAUGAUGGCUGGCCACUUAAUGUAAAAUGGGAGGUUUGUCAUGCAAAUCCUCCUAUUUUGCACUCCUAUUUAUUUGGCCACUUCAAUUUAGCCUAUAGCAUUUUCAAACAUUUUCACAUAGGUUCUAUUUCAUAAUUUCACCCCCUUUUUCUUAUGGAACAAAAAUUAACUAAAAUUAUCGGGUUCUAUCUUAAGUUUGGGCUUUCUAGAGGCCCACUAACAUAAUUAAACCUAUGCCAACAUUCACAGGAUUCUCGAAAAUUGAGGCGUUACACAACUUAUAUGAGUAAGGAUAUUUCAUGUAUGAAGCAUGUUUGAAAUGUUCAGAUGAUGGACAAAUAAUAGAUCUAUUGAAGCAUGGUUGCAUAUACACCUAGGUGUAAGUUGUUAAUUUGGUAAGUUAAGAUAUUUGAUUAUAUGUGAUGAUAUGUUAGUUAUAAGAACUUGGUAUUGGCUUAAAUUGCGGGUCUUGUAUGAUUUGUGAAUGUAAAAUUUGUUGUGCAUAGGUUGAUACCAAGAUUGGGUGAGAAAAGUGGCCUUAAAAUGGCCUAUUUUCGUCUACACGGGCAGAGACACAGGCGUGUGUAUCAGCCGUGAAUGACACACGGCCCAACACAUGGGCAUGUUGUCUGGCCGUGUGUCCCCUGCACCUUGAAAUUUCGAAACAGAAUUCCCAGGUUUUUGUACACGGUCUAGCACACGAGCAUGUAGCUUGGCCGUGUGACCCCUGUACCUUACACACGACCGUAUGGUUGGCCGUGUGACUUAAGUCAGAGAGUUACACGGGUAUGGGCAUAGGUUGGGACACGGCCGUGUGCUUCACAUCGAAUGCCCAUUUGGCCUAAGACACGGGCAUGUCUUCAGGCCGUGUGGCUCACAUGGCCGGCCACACGAGCGUGUGUCCCUUGCUCCUAAGAAAAUUUUUAAGAUUUUGGGAAAAAUUCUUUGAGUAUCCGAUUUAGUCCCGAUUCACUUCUAAGGUGUAUAUUGGGCCUCGAGGGCUUAUACAAGGGAUAAUAUUAGUAUCUUAUGACUGGUUUUUGAUAUGUUAUUAAGUGUUAUAAAAUAUUCAUAUUUUAUUCCGUAAAGUCCGAUAAUGCUUCAUAACCCUGUUUAGGCGACGGAUAAGGGUUAUGGAUGUUACAUAACAGUAGCCACCUUCAACGAAGAGAAGAAAUAGAAGCUUCAAGGAUCUCUAACUUUUCUUAACAACUUGUUUUCUUCACAACCAAAAAUUCAUUAGAUCAAACACAUUUCAAUAACCACAAGAAACCAAAAAAAAAAUUUGUCAGAUCUAAGUCAAGGCCAAGAAUUAACACCACACGGACUUACAAGAAUUGAAACAAUUAACAUUGCAACAUGAUGAAACUUAUGAAGAAUUAAAGAAAACAAAGAAUUUCAUGAAAGAAUUAAUGACUUGUUGUUAGGUAAAAGCUCUAAUACCAUGAAAGCAGUUCAUGAAUAAAAGAAAACUUGAAAAUCCAAAAGAAACAAGGUAUGAUCAAAGGGGAAAAUGGGUUUACUUAUUUUAAUAAUCCAACUUUAAUAUCCUCAAUUGAAGAUGAGUCUAUUUAUACAAUUGGUAAGAACUAUCUAGAAAUGUAUACUGGUCUAACAAACUUCCUAAGUAAUUCUUUUCCAUUAGAUUCUAGAAAGAAAUAGUUGUAAUCAGAUUCUAGAAAGAAAAGUAUAGGAUCUUUGUAAUGUAUGUUUUGAUAUGUUUAACCUUUUGAGGUAAUAUUGGUUUGGUACACUUUAAUGCCUUACCAAGUUAUGUCAUUUUGGUCACUUUUAAGUGCUUGUAAAUAAGGUUCUUAUGGUAUGUUUUGGUGGCUUGCAAAUGGUCAUGUAUGGUAGUUAAAUGAACUAGGUUGUGUGUUUGAGACAUAGUCAAAUUGCUUUGGUUUGAUUCAUAAUAUUUGAUACAAUUGUGGUGCCUUUGAAUGGCAUAUAGGUUAAAUGAUUUAGGAUGCUUGAAAUGGCAUGUUUAUGUGUGUUUGAAUGAUGUUUGAAUCCCUUGAAUGUGUGCUCAAAUGGUUUUAAGGGUUAGGUAUGAAUUGAACUUGAAAUGACUUGAUUUUAGCUAAAUUUUUGAAUUCACAAGGUCUGGGACACAGGCUGUCACACGGCCGUGUGUCAUUUGAAAUUUCUUAGUGUUCCAAGUCAGUGAGUUACACGGCCUAGCACACGGCCUAGGCACAUGGGUGCGUGUGGCAACUCAAAGAGCUACACAGCCUGGCACACAGGCGUGUGUGGCAUCUCAGUCAGUUACACGGGUGAGGACACGGGCUGGGACAUGGUUGUGUGUCCCUUGUUCGAAUGUUGCAUGGCCUGGGCCAUGUCAUAAGGCCGUGUGAUCCUUGUUUUCCAAUUUUUGUAACUUUUUCUCAAAAUUCCUGUUUUGUUUCAAAUUAGUUUCGAAUCGCUUCUAACUUAUUUUUAGGGCCUCGAGGGCUCAAUUUUGGGAAAAAUUUUCUAUGAUUGAUUGGUUUAUAAUGAGUUUAAUUUAUUUAAAUAUUAUGAUGUUAAAUGUUUUUUAUUGUACGAUAAUGCUCUGUAACCCUACUUUGGCGACAGAGAUGGGUUAGGGGUGUUACACACCUAUUCUUGUUGUGGCCUUUUUUUUGUUCUCUACAAUACUUUCCUUCCCCAUGUUACCGCCCAUGCAUGGGCCAUGCAUUUCCUUAGCCACUUUAGACGAGACUUGGCCCCAGACGCUAGGAUUCUUGGGAGCUGGAAAAAUAAAAUCCUAUGAUUUAGGGACUACCAUAACCUAAUUGCUAAUCUUUAAAAUUUGGCAUUAUCAUUUGAAGAUUCAACUCCCGAGUUUUUAGCAACAUUAUCCUAUGGCAUUGUCUUUCCUCUUUCACGACGCCAUAGUACCACUGGAUUCUUGAUUUGCCUUUUAUACUCAGCCCUAAUUUCUUCCAACUAGCCAUAAACCACCACGCCAUCCGUUGCUUCCAACAACUUAUGGCAAUGGGAUUCAUUAUGAUCUAGCCUUCCACAAAUAUACCAAAUAAUAAGUAUACGUUCAUAACUAAGGAAGUUCAAAAUAAUCUCCAUUAGGCUCACAAAUCUUCUUCUUUCUCAUUAACAAUUCCUAUCGUCAAGAUGAACCCGGAUCCGCAUAAAAUAAUUCAAGGAAUUCAUGCGCUCAAUCGUGUCAUAGUCAAUACACAUACUCAUAACAUCACCCAAACUCUUUGCCAAACAUAGACCUAAAAAUCAGUAUACAAAAACUCCACAUUUUCCAAGUCCUUCCCUAUCGACAAUUGAUAGAUCAAUAAAAGACAAUUAUUGAAAGACCACAGACCUCCUAAGAUCAUCUUGGUGAGAUCAACUAUAUGAUGAAACUAAAUCAAGUAAAUUCCUGAGUCACUCAAAGAUUUAAUAUAAGCACCUUGAAGAGGUUGUGAAGUGGUCUCUCCGUGACCGUGAAAUUAAUGGCUUACUCUCCCAAAAACUUACCAACUAAAUAUAAUCGUAAUCAAUAUCAUCAAGUAGAUUAUCAUCCGAUUCAAUGACCAAUUUCACCUCUUCUCUAAUAGACAAAUGUUGAAACUCUUCCUCCAUUGGAACAACGGACAAACAAAGCAAACAAAGAAUCAAAAUAGAAGAACCUUGACUAGCAAGGCAAAACCUUGCACUCAAAAUAGCAAAACCCUAGAGAGAGAGGGGCAACACAACGUAUUAAAUAUAUUAGAAGUUGAGAUAUUAAUUUCAUCCUCAAAGGGCUUACAGAAUCGGAUACAUAUGCUUGAAGUACACACGUGAAUAAAUAAAUUCAUUGAUCUAUUCCUAUAUAAAUAAAUCUAAUUAAGAUCACAUAGUUAUGAAACCUUAUUGUAUAAGGUUUGCAUUAAUAAUUUGAACCACUAAAUUAUAAAUAAUAUAUUGAUGAUCAACCUCAGUAAUAUUAAUUUUGCUGAACAGACAUAUCUCAUUUCUUUUGUAAUUAAUGUAUUUUAUAUAUUAUACAAAAUUAUGUUACUUUUAUUUAUGAAUUUUAAAAUUUUACUCUCUCUUUUUUUUCUUUCUAAAUCUAAAAAAUCCAAGACCUCUGACUGCAGGGAUAAACUAUAAAAUUUAUUGAAUGAAGCAUUUAUGUUGCAUUGUUUUACCAUAAUCAUUCCACCUAUGAUCAUUAAAUGUUAUUUAUAAUUUAUUAGAUUCCGAUAUGUAGAUUGUAAAAAUAUACUCAAAAUUAUGUAAGAUAUAUGGUAAUUCAUAUCAUAUUCAAUGUUAGAGAUUAAUAUUUUCAUUAUGUAUGAGGCUAUAAAGGUUUAAUUCUAUUUCUAUUUCUUGUAUUUUUUGAAUAUUUGAAUUAAUCUCGUUUCUUUGGUUGGGUGGAAAAGUGAAGGGAUAAAAGGAGGGAAUAAAAAAGUGGAAAGAAAAUAAAUUUUGAGUGUGUUUGUUUGAGAAGAAAAGUGAGAGGAGAGAUAAUCAUUUUCCAUCAUAGUCCUUCCAAAUUGAAAAGAUGAGAUAAGAGAAAAUUAUAGAGAGGUGUAUGUUAGUUUAAAAUUAUGUAUUUUUCAAUGUUUUAUUUUCUUUCCUUUCGUUUUUCAACUCUACUAAGUAAUUGAUGGAAAGAAAUUUACUUUUUGUUUCCAUUUUUUCUAUCUUUCCUACCAAGCACACAUUCGGAAAGAAAAUUUAUGUUUUCCUUCAUUCUAGUUUUUUACCCCUUCAAAUUUUCAUCCUUCCAAUUUUUUUUUCACUCUACCAAACAGAGCCUUAACUCUAAGAAUUUAAUCUUAGUGCUCUUUUGAUUUAAUAAUUGAAAUCUAAUUGAUAAUUUUAUCAAAGAACUUUCGUUAAAUUGAAUUAUGUGUCAUUUUUAAAACAAAAUGCUUCUGUGACCAAUUUAAAGUCAAGUAAAAGCUCUAUAAGUAAAUAUAUAUUGACUAAAUUCUUAAAAAUAAAAGUAAAGAGAUCAAAUAUCAAAUAUAUAAAAAGUAUUGAGAUUGACAAUAUAAUUAAAUGGGGCUAAAAAUAGAGGUAAAAAGUACAUAUCCAAUACAUUUAUAGCUAAACUUCAUAGUUUCCUUACCUUUUCUAAACAACAUGCCCUAAAAAAAGAUUUAUACACUUGAGUGGUCUCUUUAUUAUACAGAAUUGAUUAAAUAAGUCCAUUUAUUAUUAAAUGGAUCAAUUAAGUUUUUUUACCAUUAAAAAAAUUAAAUAAAAUCAAAUUAGAAUAAAGUUAACAUUUAUUGUUUAAAAAACAUCAUUUACUGUUUAACAAGUUAAUAAUUUUAAAGUUUUUACGGUUCUGCAAAUGAAAUAUUUUGUUUGAAAUUGAACUUCAAUUGAAAAAUAAUAAUUUUCAAGACAUUUUUAUACCGUAAAUAUAAACUCUAAUACAAUUUAAACUUAUUUAAUUCUUUUUAAUAAUAUAGGAACUAAAUUAAUCUAUUUAAUAAUAAAUAAAUUACUCCCAUGACUUCCUAGAUACUUAACUAAAAAAACAUAUUAUGUUUUGUUUGGAUCUGGGGAAAAAAUAGUGAGAAAAAAGUAAAAAAAAUCGUAUUUGGUUCAUUAAAAAAUUAUCCUUGAGAGUGGUUGAGAAGCUCUUAAGUUUGUCCAAAUAGGGUGGUGGGAUGCCAUGAAACCCUUGGAAUCCUUUACCUAGCUUGUUAAGGGUUUAGGGUUCAAAUUAAUUGUGGCUUUGAUAAUUUAGGUGUAGACCCUUCGAUGGUGAAGGUAAUUGUCAGCCCAGUAGACUAAUUUUGGGGUAAAAUAUUUUAUUUAAAAUUAAUUAGGAAAAUAAGUUAAUAUUAUUAUAAAAUAAUUUGACGUUUUUUUUAUAUAUUUUAAAUAGUAAAAUAAUUAUUUUUUAGCUAGGAGUGAACAAAACUCAAUUUCACACAAAAAUUAGUUUUUUUUUUUCUGAAUUUUGAGUUAAUGAAGUCGAAUUAUUUGAGUUAUAUGGUUUUAUGAAUCAACUUCAGUUUUUUAGAUUCGAGUCAAGUUGAAUUUUACAACUUGAAUGGCAAACUAAUGUAAAUACUCGUUGGGUCCCUAUCAAUUUCAAAAACUAGCAAAUUAAUCCCUUAAAAAUUACAAAAAAUUCAAAAUUUUAAUAAAAAUUUCCAAAAAAUUAUAAGAAUAUUUAUUUUUUUUAAAAAAAAAUCUAAAAUGAUAAAUUUAAGACCUUGAAUAACUAAAUUAUCAAAUCAAGUUUAUCGCACUAUAUUAUCUUCUCUUUCUUUUAUUUUUUACUUUGAAAGAGUUUUCAAAGAUCUAUGAUUUCAAAUUUAUGUACUUUAACUUGAAAUUUAGUGACAUUGUCAACAAGAUUUAAAUUUACUCUAUUCGAUUUGACUCGAAAUUUUUUUACUUCAUUCGAUUCGAAAAAAUUUCAAAUUGAAUUCAGUUACUAAAAUAGGAUUUGUCAACUCGACUAACUCAAUUUAUUUUACUCAAUUCGAUUCAACUCGAUCAAAUGCUCACCCUUAAUGACAAACACAAAGGAAUGUUGUGACACUUAUCAAAAACCUUCUAACUAUUUUCAGGGCAUAUCAAAAGCCUUCUAACUAUUUUCAGGGUAUUUUUGUACUUUUCUCCAUCCGAAUCCUACCAUAUAAAUAUGAGCUUUUUGCUAAUUUUCAGCAAACUUUUGAUAUUUUAAUGGAGUAGAAUAGGGUUUAAAGAGUAUUUUUGGAGUGGGUUUAGAUGGACGGUACGUUUAUUUGCAGGUAGUGUAAAAAUAGCGGUGAUGAUGAAAUUAGAUAUUGUAAUGAUACUAUAGUGUAAGAUAAAAAAUAAAUUAAACGCACCGCACCGCACCGCACCACACUGCACCACACCACCCAUUCAAAUUUACCCUUAAUAGUUUUAGUAUUUACUUUUAAUUUCAUUGUAUUCCAUUUAAAAUUUUAUGUAAUAACUCUUCUUAGUUAUUAAUAAAAUAUAGUUUUCUUUAUGUUCUUUGGGCUCAAAAAAUUGGAGACUAGAAGGGAGAAUACAUGGGAUUGAGCUUCAACUUCACCAAUAUUGAGCCUUAACCCCACUUUGUUAUUGACCUUGAAAAAUGGAUGUUGUGGUCGAUAAGAAGAUUUUGCAUGCUUAGUGUCCAUGUUUAGCUAAAUUUUUUAUAUGGCUAAUAAUUUGAAGUGAUUUUGGAUUGGUUUGUUGCCUAUGAUUGCGAUAUGCUUGGUAGUUAGAAUGGCCUAAUGCUUCAUGAGAGUAAAGACUUAAAGUAAAAUUUAAUUUAGGGAAUAUUACAGGUGUCGGCCCUAGUUGAAUUUCCUAAUUAGCACAUUGAGUAUAAGUAUCAAAAGAGUUAGUAUAUGUUAGUUCAAAUUAGCAAGAGCAACAAGUUAAAAGACGACUAUUGCAUUAGAAGCAUAUCAACAAAGCGUUAAAAUGUGUAAGUAGCAUUACCAGUCUUCUUUAUCAAUCAAUUGAGCUUAGGAUCAUCAAAAUAUGCUAUUCACUCUAUUAGUAACUACUUUUAUCAUCCAAUCAAUAGUAAAUUGAGAUCAAUUUAACUAGUUAGUUAAUUAGAUUAUAGUUGUAAUUGUUAAUUCAAUGCAAAUCACAAUCAGUUAAGGGCUGAAUGAAUUAUGCUUAUUGGUUGUUUGAUUGACCCUGUUGAUGUGCGUAGAUACUUAGUUUUUGCUAUUAGUAUUAUACAGCCCAAUUUUGGCCCGGGCCUAAAUAAACCAAACCCAACUAAGCCCUAACCUAAAACUAAAACCCUUGCCCACAAAAUAUUUUCCAGCAAUGAAGGGAGGGAGAACCCUACGCGCCGUACCAGGUCACUUCAGCCCCCCCACACGCGCCGUACCACCCAUGUGCCUCCCUGCUGCCACCAGCGUGCACACCGCUCGAAUCUGCAAACAGAGAAGAAAAGACAACACGCAAGAAAAGAAAAAUAGGCAACAAUAGUGAAAACAAUAGCAAAAAAUAGGGUCUUGUAAAUCGGUUUAAAGGCCAAAAAGAAGCCAAUGUAAAAGGGGGAUUCAUCAUUUAAUAAAAAAAACACAAAAAGCAGAUUCAAAAGAAAAGAAGGUGAUUUUCAGAUCUAGCUUUUUUCGAUUUUGUUCUUUUUUUUUUCUUUUUCUCGAUCUUUAUUUGCUGUAGAUAUAAGAAAAAAUAAAGAAAGAGGGACUUAUCGUAGUUUUGGCCCCCUCGAGUCUUUGCUUGCUUCGUUGAAAUCGGAGUCUAGGCGAAGAUUCUGAGGCUAGGAGCGAGACCCUCAGGUUCAUGGUCGAACGGGGUCAGAUGAGGCCCUCGCGAGGUGGCUGUUGGUCGAACAUAGAGGCAAAACGGCAGUUGAAGGGUCUUCUUUUUUUUUUUUGGCCGAAUGAGGAAGAUGGAGGCUAGGUUUUAUUUUGAUUUUCGAUAACAGAUUGUUGAUUUAGGUGUUUUUGUAUUUUUGAGUUAUGGCUAGCAUGAAACGGCACCGUUUAGGGCCUAUUCCUGCGGUGAAAGGAAUAUUUGCAAGAUUGAUCCCUCCUUUUCGCAUGGUUAUUCUAUUGAGUCAUAUUUGCAUUUUCUUUGUUUUUUAAUUAUCCCUAGAAUUUGCACGUUAUUUCAAUUCGGUCCGCACCUAAGCACCGUGUUUUGGGAUCGGGAUUAUUUCCAGCUUUGGUCCUUGUAUAUUUUCGCGUGUUGCGCGCUGGUCCUUUUUUCUUCUUUUAUUUAUUUUCCCUGAAUUUUUAUUUUAAAUUCGAUGUAGUCCUUUCCUAUUUAUUUUCAAUAUUCUAUUCUAUUUUCGAUUAGUUUAAUAUUUUCCUUGUUAUACUUUCCUUUUACAUUAAUUUAUUUGUUUUAUUAUUAUUACUAAAUUUUCGUAGUACUAUUAUCAUAGUUUUAUAUAUAUAUGCACAUAUAUUUGUCUACUGAAAGUCAUAUAUACAUAUUUAUACCUUAUUUUUACUGUUUAUCUACGUAUAUAUUUUGAUACAUUUUUUUAAAUCAUUUUACUUUUCUUUAGUCCCUCUUUUAUACACUUGCGAUUAUCUUUUUUGAAUUUGAACUUUAAAAUUUCAUCUUAUUUUCAAUCGAGCCCUUAUUGAUGUAAAUUUAAACUUUUUCAAUUUUUUUAAAAUCAUUUUAUUUAUUUCAAAUUUUUAUAUUGAAUUGUUUUAUGUCACUUAUUUCGAAUAGUUUUAUAUAUGUUAUUUGUUUCAAAUAUUAUAUAUAUAUAUUUAAAAUUUUUAAUUAUUUGUUGUAAGUUCUUGUAUAUUAUUAUUUUAAACUUUUACAUGUAUACAUUUAUAUUAUCUAUUUUAAAUGUUUUUAUAUAUAUAAUAUUUAUAUAUACAUUCUUUUACUUCUGAUUUCCUUUUAUAUAUUAUAUAUUUUAAACUAUUUAUUUUAAAUUGUUAUAUAUAUAUAUAUUUUAAACUCUAUUUAUUUAUUUCAAUACAUUUUAUUUAUUAUCCAUUUUAAGAUUUUUCUUUCAUAUUCUUUAUCUUAUACUUACAUAUGUAUACAUUAUUUAUUUCAAAUUUCUCUUUUACAUGUUAUUUAUCUUAAACCCUUUUAAAUAUUAUUUCUUUUAAAUUAUUUGAUUUAUUUACUUUUUAUAUACUACCAUGAAAUUGUUUUAUGUUUAUUUUUAAAUUGUUUUAAACAUCGACUAUUAUAAAUGGCUUCAUAUAUUAUUUAUUUACCUUUUUCAACGUUAUAUACAUUAUUUUAUUUUAAGUGGUUUCAUAUACAUUAUUUACUUUAGAUUUUUAUAUCUCGUUUCUUUGUAUAUGCUAUUUAUGUUAAAUAGAUUUAAGUUAUUUAUAUACAUUUGUGCAUUUUGAAUCCUUUUCGUAUUAUUUAUGUGCUUUUUCUCUCACGCAUUAUUUAAUUUAACUCUAUACAUGUUAUCUACCUCGAAUUGUUGUAUAUGUUAUUUUGUUUUCUUUGAUCGUUAAGGUUGAUUUUAAAAUAGUGUAUUAUGUGAAUAUUUUCAUUACGUGCCCUAUAAAUCAUUUAGAUUUAUCUUCAUAUUGUGACAUUCAUUAAUAGUGUAUCUAAUUCGUAUUUGAUUGUUCCACGCCCUAUUUUACACUUUUGUUUUACUUAGCUCAAAUCAUAUUGUGUAGUAAACCCCAAUAUAUUUAUCCAAUUUAGAUCGCUUUAUUGUAUUUCAAACAAAAUAAGUGCAUGCCUUCAAAUGUUGUAUUCGCUAUUACUAAAAAAUAUAUAUUUUUAAAUAAGGCAAUAUUUCGCGUUUUAGGAAAUUCAAGGAAUCGUACCUUAACUUGCUGGGUUUCGAUUUUCUUGUUAAUCCUAAAAAGUCAAAUAUCCCUUUAGAUUUCAAAAUACACAAGCUUUCGAUAAAGAUUAAAGGCAAACUUGCUCCUGAAGAUUUAAACGUCGCGUCCUAACUUAUUGGAUGUGGUACCUUACUAUCUCGAGACGAGUAAGCCUUUGAUGCUCAUUUCUACGUAGUUAGGCGUUUUAAAACGAACAUUCAUAAAAAAGGAUCGUAAAAAAUUUGAAAUAAGGUAACAUUUCGUGGUUGGAAAUUUCGAGAAAUUGUACCCUAUGUGUUGGGUUUCAAUUUAUCGUUUGACCGAACGACCGAAUAUCCUUUUUAUAAUUUCAAUGCAUAAGUUUUGGAAAUCAUGAGAUGAUUUUGGUAUCGAGGGUUUGAAAUGUCGUGUCCUACGUGCUGGAUGUGAUAUUUUAUUUCUUCAGAACAAGAGAAUCUUAAUAUCCACUUCGAGUUAUCCAAACAUUCAUAAAAAAGGAUCGUAUUUCAAAAUUUAUUUUAAAUCUUUUCAAUUUUCGACAUUAAGACAUUAAUUAAUCAAUUAGGUACCAAUUUUAGGCGUUACGAGGGUGCUAAUCCUUCCUCAUAUGUAAUCGACUCCCGAACCCAUUUUCUCAAAUUUUUUAGACCAAAAUCGUUGUUUCAGUAAACCAAAAUGUUUUAUUAAAAUGACCAAACUUCUUGAUGAUCCGAUGUAAUGGCCUAAAUUCAAGGUUAUCGGAACAAUGGUUUCGUAACCAUAGAUCCGAUUUAAAGAGAAAUUUAUUUCAAUAUUUUUUUUGAAAAUCUAUAUGAUAGGAAAAUCGUAUGAAAAUAUUGAUAGGAAAAUUUUAUCGAUUUAGUGAUUAGUUAGAAAAAAAAUUAUUGAAGAAAUUGGGUAAAAUAAGGUAUCGGGACCUCUAUCUCGUAAAACCGAAUCGAAAAUAAUUUUAUAAAUAUUUAUGAAAUGUUAUUAAUGUGGUAUUAAAAUUUCGUUAGGAAAUUUUAAUGUUUGGGUAGUCAAUUAAAUGAAAAGGACUAAAUUGUAAUAGGUGUAAAAGUUGCUAGAAUGAUUAAAUAGCUUAAGAGUCUAAUGAGAAAGGAUUUAAAAGGCAAUUAGACCCAAAAGUUAUUUGGGCUGGACGGAAAGGGUAUGAAAUCAGCAGAAAAAUUGAUAAAUUAAGGGUAAAAUUGGAAUAUUGCAAAAUUAACUAAAUAAAACUAGGACUAAAUAGGAAAUAUCUAGAUUUCUCUUCAUUUCUCUUCAAUUCCAGCAGCUAAAAACGCCAUAGGAGGGUUCUCUAAGCUGGUAUUUCAUAAUUUUUGCACCAAAUCCAGAAGAUUCAAAUACGAAACUAGAUCGAGGAAAGGAAAAAGUUCGGGAUUAAUAGAUUUUUACUGUUUACAAAUAAGUAUCAAGGUAAGUUCGUGUAACUUGAAUUAUAUUCUUAAAUGCUUGAAAUGCAUGUUUUUGAUAUGAAUAUGAUUUGAAUAUUCAUUAUAUGGAAAUUUAUGAAACAUUGAUAUAUUUGAUAAAAUGGGAAGAAAUCCCGUUUGAAUGAAAGGAAAAUUCGAUGGAUCUCUGAAAAGGAAUUGACGGUAAAAAGGAUCUAGCCCGGACGGGUGAUCCUAUCCUGAUAUAGCCCUCCCGAAGAAUAUGUGUAAAAUGGAUUUAGCCCGGACGGGUAAUCCGAAUUAGGGUCUGAAUUUAGCCUGGACUGGUAAUUCAGAUCCAAGCUCAUUAGAGUAAUUGUCGUUGCAGGGGAUUUAGCCUGGACUGGCAAUCCCGACAAAACUUUAUGAGUUUAUAUUGCAGGGGAUUUAGCCUGGACUGGUAAUCCCGCUGCAAGGUUGAGGUUCGCGGGAGUGUGCUCUCUGAAAUGGAUAUGUGCGCACAUGAAUAUGAAUUGACGAACCCGGAAUUGUACAAUAAAUGUGUACCUCUGAAAAUCCAUCGAAAUUUUGAUAAAUUCAACGGGAUAAAUAUGGAAAAAUAACAAGGAAAUGGAAAUCAUGGUAUUGACGAGCUCAUCAAUCAUAGUAUAUAUUAUUGGUACAUUGAAAUUAUUGUACUAACUUGAAUGUUGAGUUUGUGCAUAUUAGGGUAAUAAUGCAUUGAAUGGAUAUAUGGAUGUUUAUUGUAUUGUAUUGAAAAUAUUAGGUAAGUAUAAUUCUUAUUACAUGAGCUUACUAAGCACAAAGUGCUUACCCCGUUUCCUUUUUCCCUGUUUUGUAGUGUUAAGAGCUCGGAGGUAGGAUUUGGUCGGAGACACAUCACACUGUCAACCUCAGGAUUUCGGUAUAUAAAGAAACUUUAUUUUGAAAAUCAAUGGCAUGUAUAAGCUAACAAAGUAAAUGUUAACGUGAAAUGAAUGUAAAGUUAGCCAUUAGUAUGGUUAACAAACCUAGUUAUAGAUAUGUGAUGACGUUAUCUCAUAUAAAUGCAUGAAUCUAUCAUGAAAAUAUGUUGAAUUGAUUUGGUUGAUGUGGAUUGGUCUCGAUUUAAUAUUACAGGGAAGGUUAGAUAUUUAUAAAAGGGCUAUAUUGAAUAUAAAAAAAAUUUAAUUCGUAAACUCCGGUAAUGCCUCGUACCCUAUUUCGGCAAUGAAUACAGGUAGGGGUAUUACAUUUAUUGGUAUCAGAGCUACGGUUUAGCCGAUUCUAGGACCGAUGUAGCAAAUACGGGAUUAGCUAUACAUGCCAUUUAAAUUAUUAUUGAUAGUGUGAUAUCCCCUGACCAUUUAAAACGUGUUUUUCUUAUAGUAAUGUCAUCUGACAGAGCUCAAUCUGAGGAAGCUGGGAGUCAUGCUCCGGCUUCAGUACAAAGAGAAGAAACUAGCAGUAGAAGGCCUGAGACAGAGGGUCGAGGGGAGGAGGCAAAAACAGCCUUCUUUCAAAUGAUGAAUGAAUGGUUUAAUCAAUACUUAAGAACUAACCCUGUAGUGCAGCAAGUUCAAGCUCCCCCUCCUGCUCCUCCACCGGUUCCCGAGAUCCCACAAGGUACAGGUACUGAAUCUGUCAGAAAAGGGAAAGCUCCAGUAGAUAAAAUUCGAAAAUAUGGGGUCGAAGAAUUUUGAGCAGCAGUUGAUGAUGAUUCCGAACGGGCUGAAUUCUGGUUAGAAAACACUACUCGGGUUCUGGAAGAAUUAUCUUGUACACUAGAAGAAUGUCUGAAAUGUGCCAUCUCACUGCUAAAAGAUACAGCUUACCAUUGGUGGAAUACUAAAGCUUCAGUUGUUCCGAAAGAAGAAAUUACAUGGGAAUUCUUUCAGACCGAGUUCAGAAAAAAAUAUAUCAGCCAGAGGUUCCUUGACCAGAAAAGAAAAGAAUUUCUUGAACUGAAACAGGGCAAUAGAUCAGUAUCUGAAUAUGAAAGUGAAUUUGUUCGAUUGAGUAAAUAUGCUCGAGAAUGGGUACAGUCAGAAGCUGAAAUGUGCAAACGAUUCAAAGAAGGGUUGAAUGAAGACAUUAAGUUACUGAUCGGAAUUCUUGAAAUUCGAGAGUUUGCUACAUUGGCAGAGAGAGCUUAUAAAGCAGAAGAAUUGAGCAAAGAAAACAAACAGGCUGAGAGGGAAGCUCGAAUUUUUAGUAAAAGACCGAUGGGAAAAUCCAGUUUUCUGCUUCAAAGAAAUUGAAGAAAUAUUAGGAUCGUUCUACUUCAGCCAUUGGGUAUUCGGGCAAAGAGCGAGGUUCUCAAUGCACUAAUCCAAGGCCUUCUACUCCAUCAGUGACCAGUGUUGGUAGUGUUGGCACUCUUAAACCGAGAUGCCAGUACUGUAAUAAAGCUCAUUUUGGUGAAUACCGAUUUAAGAGUGGGGCUUGUUACCGAUGUGGUUCUUUUGACCAUUUCCUCAGAGAUUGUCCAGAAAGGGUUGAAAAAGAAGUUGAACAUAUAUCGAAGGCGAGUAAUCUAGUUUCGAGGGGCAGACCACCUCGACCAUCCGGUAACGUCAGUGGUAGUCGAGGAGCUACAAAAGAUACUAUAGGUAGGCCUGAGGUACGAGCACCUGCUAGGACAUAUGCCAUUCGUGCCAGAGAAGAUGCUUCAGCACCCGAUGUUAUUACUGUACAUUUUCUUUACUUGAUACUGAUAUUACUGCAUUGAUUGAUCUUGGUUCUACGCAUUCAUAUAUAUGUGUUAAACUUGCAAUUGUUAAAAAUUUAUCUGUUGAACCUACUAAAUUUGUGGUUAAAGUCUCGAACCCCUUGGGCCAAUCUGUGUUAGUGGAUAAAAUUUGUAAAAAUUGUCUACUGAUGGUAAGAGGUUGUUGUUUCCCGGCUGAUUUGAUGUUACUGCCAUUUGAUGAAUUUGACAUGAUAUUGGGUAUGGAUUGGUUAACCCAGCAUGAUGCGGUAGUAAAUUGUAAACAAAAAUAUAUUGUGCUAAAAUGUCAGAAUUAUGAGUUGCUCCGGGUUAAAUCUGAUCAGACAGAGGGGUUAUCUGAUAUGAUUUCAAUAAUGGCAGCACAGAGGUAUGUCAAAAAGGGGUAUGAUGCUUACUUGGCUUAUGUACUCGACACCAAGGUAUCUGAGUCAAAGAUACAGGCAGUUCCAGUGGUAUGUGAAUUUUCUGAUGUGUUUCCAAAAGAAUUACCAGGAUUGCCACCAGAAAGAGAAGUGGAAUUUUCUAUAGAUUUGAUUCCGGGAACUACUCCGAUCUCUAUAGCUCCGUACCAGAUGGCUCCUAUAGAAUUAAAAGAGUUAAAGACACAAUUGCAAGAGCUUGUUGACAGGGGUUUUGUCUGACCGAGUCAUUCACCUUGGGGUGCUCCGGUUCUGUUUGUGAAAAAGAAAGAUGGGUCUUUGAGAUUGUGUAUCGACUACCGGCAGCUUAAUAAAGUAACCAUAAAGAAUAAGUACCCGUUACCUCGGAUUGAUGAUUUAUUUGAUCAGCUGAAAGGUGCUACUAUAUUUUCAAAGAUUGAUCUUCGAUCAGGUUAUUAUCAGUUACGGGUAAAGGAGUCAAAUGUGCCAAAAACAGCCUUUAGAACCAGGUACGGGCAUUAUGAGUUUCUAGUUAUGCCGUUUGGGCUAACUAAUGCACCUGCAGUAUUCAUGGAUUUGAUGAACCGGAUAUUCAGACCGUACUUAGAUAGAUUUGUAGUAGUAUUCAUUGAUGAUAUUUUGGUUUAUUCUCGGGAUGAAGAAGAACAUGCAGAACAUUUGAGAAUUGUGUUGCAAAUUCUACGAGAGAAGCAAUUGUAUGCUAAAUUCAGUAAAUAUGAAUUUUGGCUUCGAGAAGUGGGUUUUCUUGGACACAUUGUAUCUGCCGAAGGCAUCAGGGUAGAUCCAAGUAAAAUCUCAGCUAUUGUCAAUUGGAGUCCACCGAAGAAUGUAUCUGAAGUUAGAAGUUUCUUGGGUUUAGUUGGUUAUUAUCGGAGAUUUGUAUAGGGAUUCUCUAUGAUAGGUUCUCCAAUGACUCGAUUAUUGCAGAAAGAUGUAAAGUUCGAGUGGACUGAUGAAUGUCAACAAAGUUUCAACCGAUUGAAAGACCUAUUAAUGAAAGCACCUGUAUUAGUGCAGCCUGAACCAGGUAAGGAAUUUGUUAUUUACAGUGAUGCCUCAUUAAAUGGUUUAGGUUGUAUUUUGAUGCAAGAAGGUAAAGUAAUAGCCUAUGCUUCAAGACAACUUAAACCACAUGAAAGAAAUUACCCAAUACAUGAUCUUGAAUUAGCUGCUAUUGUAUUUGCGCUGAAGAUAUGGCGGCAUUACUUGUACGGUGAGAAAUGUCAUAUUUAUACUGAUCAUAAAAGCUUGAAAUAUUUGAUGACACAGAAAGAUUUGAAUUUGAGACAGCACAAGUUGCUUGAACUGAUAAAGGACUAUGAUUUGAUUAUUGAUUACCAUCCGGGUAAGGCUAAUGUUGUAGCUGAUGCUUUGAGCCGGAAAUCUCUGUUUGCUUUACGAGCUAUGAAUACCCGGUUAUCAUUGACUGAUGAUGGUUCAAUCCUAGCUAAAUUGAGAGCUAAACCGACAUUUUUACAGAAAAUAUGUGAAGCUCAGAGGAAUGAUGAGAAGUUACAGGUUAAAUGGGCACAGUGUGAGUCUGGUAAUGAUUCUGAAUUUCAGAUUGGUUCUGAUGAUUGUUUAUUAUUCAGAGGUAGGGUAUGUGUACCUCAGAAUUCAGAGCUCAUACAGAAAAUUCUACGCGAGGCCCACAGUAGUACUAUGUCUGUACAUCCGGGGAGUAAUAAAAUGUAUAAUGAUCUGAAAUAGGUGUACUAGUGGUCGGGAAUGAAACGUGAUAUCUCUGAGUUUGUAUCAAGGUGUUUAAUAUGUCAACAAGUUAAAGCUGAACAUCAGGUACCUUCGGGGUUACUUCAGCCAAUUACUAUACCGGAAUAGAAAUGGGAAAGAAUCACUAUGGAUUUUGUAUCGGGGCUACCUUUGUCUCCGAGGAAAAAAGAUGCUAUUUGGGUGAUUGUUGAUCGAUUAACAAAGUCAGCUCACUUUAUUCCGGUACGUAUGGAUUAUUCUUUAGAUAAACUAGCUGAACUGUACAUAUCUGAGAUUGUCAGGUUACAUGGAGUGCAUGUCUCCAUUAUAUCAGAUAGAGAUCCCCGAUUUACGUCUCGUUUCUGGGACAAAUUGCAAGAAGCCUUGGGUACUCAGUUGUAUUUCAGCACUGCAUUUCAUCCUCAGACAGAUGGUCAAUCUGAGCGUGUAAUUCAAGUAUUGGAAGAUAUGUUCCGAUGUUGUAUACUAGAGUUUGAAGGUAAUUGGGAGAGGUAUCUACCUUUGAUUGAAUUUGCUUACAAUAACAGUUAUCAGUCUAGUAUUAAAAUGGCUCCGUAUAAAGCUUUGUAUGGUAGAAAAUGUAGAACACCGUUAUAUUGGACAGAGCUCAGUGAAAGGAAGAUACAUGGGGUUGAUUUGAUCCGAGAAAUAGAAGAAAAAGUAAAGGUUAUUCGAGAUAGUCUAAAAGCAGCUUCCGAUUGUCAAAAAUCAUAUGCCGACCUUAAGCGAAAAGAGAUUGAAUUUCAAGUCGGUGACAAGGUAUUUCUGAAAGUGUCUCCUUGGAAGAAAGUUCUUCGAUUCGGUCGAAAGGGUAAAUUGAGUCCAAGAUUUAUCGGGCCCUAUGAAAUCAUAGAAUGAAUUGGACCGGUCGCUUAUCGAUUGGCAUUACCACCGGAACUUGAUAGAAUCCAUAAUGUUUUUCAUGUAUCUAUGUUACGACGAUAUCGAUCAGAUCCUUCACAUGUUAUUUCUCCAAUAGAAGUAGAGAUUCAACCGGAUAUGACUUACAGUGAAGAACCGGUCAAGAUAUUGGCACGGGAGACAAAAGAGCUUAGAAAUAAAAAGAUAAAUUUGGUGAAAGUAUUGUGGCAAAAGCACGUGAUUGAGGAAGAAACAUGGGAACUGGAGGAGGCAAUGAGGAAACAAUACCCAAACCUCUUUACUGGUAAGAUUUUCGAGGACGAAAAUCUUUAAAAGGGGGGGAGGAGAGUUGUAAUGGCCUAAAUUCAAGGUUAUCGGAACAAUAGUUUCGUAACCAUAGAUCCGAUUUAAAGAGAAAUUUAUUUCAAUAUUUUUGCUUGAAAAUCUAUAUGAUAGGAAAAUCGUAUAAAAAUAUUGAUAGGAAAAUUUUAUCGAUUUAGUGAUUAGUUAGAAAAAGAAAUUAUUGAAGAAAUUGGGUAAAAUAAGGUAUCGGGACCUCUAUCUCGUAAAGCCGAAUCGAAAAUAAUUUUAUAAAUAUUUAUGAAAUGUUAUUAAUGUGGUAUUAAAAUUUCGUUAGGAAAUUUAAUGUUUGGGUAGUCAAUUAAAUGAAAAGGACUAAAUUGUAAUAGGUGUAAAAGUUGCUAGAGUGAUUAAAUAGCUUAAGAGUCUAAUGAGAAAGGAUUUAAAAGGCAAUUAGACCCAAAAGUUAUUUGGGCUGGACGGCAAGGGUAUGAAAUCAGCAGAAAAAUUGAUAAAUUAAGGGUAAAAUUGGAAUAUUGCAAAAUUAACUAAAUAAAACUAGGACUAAAUAGGAAAUAUGUAUAUUUCUCUUCAUUUCUCUUCAAUUCCAGCAGCUAAAAAUGCCAUAGGAGGGUUUUCUAAGCUGGUAUUUCAUAAUUUUUGCACCAAAUCCAGAAGAUUCAAAUACGAAGCUAGAUCGAGGAAAGGAAAAAGUUCGGGAUUAGUAGAUUUUUACUGUUUACAAACAAGUAUCAAGGUAAGUUCAUAUAACUUGAAUUAUAUUCUUAAAUGCUUGAAAUGCAUGUUUUUGAUAUGAAUAUGAUUUGAAUGUUCAUUAUAUGAAAAUUUAUGAAACAUUGAUAUAUUUGAUAAAAUGGGAAAAAAUCCCGUUUGAAUGAAAGGAAAAUUCGAUGGAUCUCUGAAAAGGAAUUGACGGUAAAAAGGAUCUAGCCCGGACGGGUGAUCCUAUCCUGAUAUAGCCCUCCCGAAGAAUAUGUGUAAAAUGGAUUUAGCCCGGACGGGUAAUCCGAAUUAGGGUUUGAAUUUAGCCGGACUGGUAAUUCAGAUCCAAGCUCAUUAGAGUAAUUGUCGUUGCAGGGGAUUUAGCCUGGACUGGCAAUCCCGACAAUACUCUAUGAGUUUAUAUUGCAGGGGAUUUAGCCUGGACUGGUAAUCCCGCUGCAAGGUUGAGGUUCGCGGGAGUGUGCUCUCUGAAAUGGAUAUGUGCACACAUGAAUAUGAAUUGACGGACCCGGAAUUGUACAAUAAAUGUGUACCUCUGAAAAUCCAUCGAAAUUCCGAUAAAUUCAACGGGAUAAAUAUGGAAAAAUAACAAGGAAAUGGAAAUCAUGGUAUUGACGAGCUCAUCAAUCAUAGUAUAUAUUAUUGGUACAUGGAAAUUAUUGUACUAACUUGAAUGUUGAGUUUGUGCAUAUUAGGGUAAUAAUGCAUUGAAUGGAUAUAUGGAUGUUUAUUGUAUUGUAUUGAAAAUAUUAGGUAAGUAUAAUUCUUGUUACAUGAGCUUACUAAGCACAAAGUGCUUACCCCGUUUCCUUUUUCCCUGUUUUGUAGUGUUAAGAGCUCGGAGGUCAGAUUUGGUCGGAGACACAUCACACUGUCAACCUCAGGAUUUUGGUAUAUAAAGAAACUUUAUUUUGGAAAUCAAUAGCAUGUAUAAGCUAACAAAGUAAAUGUUAACGUGAAAUGAAUGUAAAGUUAGCCAUUAGUAUGGUUAACAAACCUGGUUAUAGAUAUGUGAUGACGUUAUCUUAUAUAAAUGCAUGAAUCUAUCAUGAAAAUAUGUUGAAUUGAUUUGGUUGAUGUGGAUUGGUCUCGAUUUAAUAUUACAGGGAAGGUUAGAUAUUUAUAAAAGGGAUAUAUUGAAUAUAAAAAAAAUUUAAUUCGUAAACUCCGGUAAUGCCUCGUACCCUAUUCCGGCAAUGAAUACGGGUAGGGGUAUUACAUCCGAUCACACCUAAACAAAAAGAUUGGUGGCGACUCCUAAUUUUUGUUUUCAUUUUCAAAACCAAAGCCGAUCCCCCUUUUUCAAAAAAAUGGUUUCGACAAGUAUUUUAUCUCUUCUUAGAUAUAAAUAAGAUUUUGUUUUUGAAAAUUGCAAUUUCAAUGAUAGUACCAAAGUUAAUCCGAAAUAAUUAUUAGUCUUGUUUCACUUCAUAUCUCUUUUAGAAGAACAAGUUUUUAUUUAGAAUAGUUUUUGCUUGGAACAAUUGUUGUUUAAGAAUAGCUCUCCUUCAAACAAUUCUUAUUCGAGGCAACAUUUACAAAGAACAACUGUACUUGGAAUAACUCAUAUUCGAAAUAACCUCUAUCAAGAACAAUUAUUUUGAUAACAAUUCAUGUUUGGAACAACACUUGUAGGUAUGGAGACAAUUGUAGUUGGAAAGAACUCUCCAUUAAAAUGUAACCACAAUCUUAAGAGUAUAUAAAGUGGGUGAUUUGCAUGAAAGGGGAUCAUCCUUACCAUAUAUUUGUUGAGCAGUGUGUGUGUAUUCUUUGCUGCAUUGGUUUAUUACUACUAAGGGUUUGCCUUUUUGUCAUAAUGAUUUGUAUUUACCGUGAGUGUCUGUUCAAGAAUGCAGAGCAUGACUCGUGUGAUGUGGAUUGCAACUAACCCUCAUUUACUUGUUUCCUAAGCAUGUUUGCAUAAGGCUAAUUUGAUGCCAUUAAAACCAUUUUAUUGACAUUAUUAAAUCAUAAUACAUGAACUGUCUUUAUUCCAGCUGUUGAAAUUUAUGUUGCAAAUGGUAAUGGUCCAUGCCUAAACUGUGAAACCAUCUUAAUAAGGUAGUUGAAAAUUCCCAUAUCUACAAUUUCAGCACUUACCUUGUCUAAUAUUUCAUCAAAUUUAUUAUCUAUCUUUCUAACUUAUAAAUUUAAUUUUUAUACUUAUUUAAUUUUAAAAUUUCAGUUUCAAUCUAAACAACAAUUAUUUCUAAAAUCUUAUGCAAUAUCAUAUCGACUUGCUAUUUCUAUAUAACAAUCAUAAAAAAAAUGUCACAACAUUUUAUCUAAUUAUUUAAGUUAGUAUUAAAAUUUUAAAAUUAAAAAAAAAGUAUUAAAGAAAAAAACAAUUAAAUUGGAAAGUAGGAAUUACAUCCACAACUUACACAUAUUACAAUAUUAAUAAUAAAUUUUUACAUAACAUACUUUAUUUUCACCGUUUAAAUUAAAACUAAAAUUAAUCAAAUUAAGAUACAUAUACGCCAUUGUAUUAAUAUUUUACUUUACCACUUUCACUUUCACUUGUUUAAAAUUAGCAUGAUAAUUUUUUUAGUAUAUUCUUGUUUAGAUAUUUUUAGUGCAUUUUUUAUUUAAUAUUAAUAUAAUUUUUAAUUUUAAUUUUACAAAUCAAUCUGAUCCAACCUUAUCCGAUUAAAUUAUAUCCAACUUGCAAGAAUAAUGUUUAAAUUUCAAAAUACUUGUAUUUAAAGUGAGUUUCUUUUUUAAAAUUAAGUUUUAAUAAUAAAUACAACAAAGUAAAUAUGAUUUUAAUUUACAUUUGAUUUUUUUUAAACAAGACAAUAUAUUAUUUUACCUCUAUUUUUGUUUUUAAUAAUUUAUAAAAUUAAAAUAAUAAAAAAUAUAAAUUUAUAUUAUUAUCUACAUAUUUUAUAAUUAAAUUUAAAUAAAAUUUUUUAAUUGAAAAUUGAGCCAAAACCGAGGACAAAAAAAAUCAAUUUAUACAUAGUUAAUAUACCUUUCCUUUUAAUUUUUUUAUAUUUACUUAAUAAAAUUGAAUCAAUAAAUUAAAAUUAUGAAUCAAUAGAAUAAAAAUAACAUCACCUUUAUUUAUAUUAUAAACUAUUUAUCUAUUUCAUGUAUGAAUUUUUUUUUAUGAACUUUAUUAUAAAAGUCUAAGUGAAAGACAAUAAUUAAAAAAUAAUUUAAUUGGAGAGUUGCAUUGCGUCGCAGAAAUUUAAGAAAACUAGUUAUCCUCAUAAAUUUGGGUUUUACUAAUUCAUUUAUAAUAAUUAAUUUUUUGGGUUGCUCAACUAAGUCAGCUGACAACUCUAAUUACUUAUGCAUAUUGCCUUAAGAAAAAUGAACAAAAAAAAAAAAAAGAAUAUUUGAAACCGAAAUUGGUCAAGAUGUUUAUCCACAUUUAUAGCAGCUAAAAUAAUUAGAAUUUUUUUUAAAGAAAAAAAAUAUUAAGAAAAUUUAAAAUGCUCCUAAAUAAUUGUCCUAAUUUGUUUUAGAUUAUCAUUUAAGCAAUAUUGAUUGCAAUUUAUUGAAUUUCAUUAAUUUAACUUUUGUAUUUAAUACAAAAGAUGUUAUUUCAAAACCUUUGCUUAAAAAGUAAUAAAUAAAUAAAUUUAUAUUUUGGUAGGUUAGAAAUAUUAACUUUAAUUUAACUAAGUAGUCUAAAUACAAUUUUUACAUUGAGAUAUUCAAACUAUAUGCCGUUAAAUCUAGAAUUAAAUAACAUCAUAUCAAUUAGUCAAACAAGAUUUCACAUGUGGUGUGCCAGUCAAAUCUCACAUCGAUAUACAAAAAUUAAUUUUUUGAAUAAAAAAACCAAAUGCAAUUCUACUUCUUCCUCAAAACUUCAUGUGAUCCCUUUUUAAGAAUUUGGAGUGAUGAGCAACUUGGGAGAUUUGACUUGAAUACGUUAACAAACAUAUGAAGAAUAUAAAGAAAAAAAGAGAAAUGGUAGGUAUUGGAUAAGAUGCAAUUUAUAAAAGAAAAUUGAAUAUACUUUUUGAAUUUAGGAGAGCAUUAUUAAUGGAUAUAAUUUUUUAUUUUGAUAAAUAAAUAAUUUUAAUUGAUACUUGUAGUAAAAGAAAGGAAACUACAUAUGAAGGAAUCAUCAAUAAUUUUAAUUAAUUUAAGUUUAUUUUUAAAUUUUAUUAAAUAAUGUAUUUCAUAAAGAAAGAACAAAAAUACCUUUUUUUAGUAGAUCAGGUUAUUUGUUAUGGUUUAAUGAUAAAUUUGAUAAAUAUAAAAAAAUAAUAUUCCGAAUUGGAUGUAAUAAACGGAAUGUUAAUUUUUCUUGAUUGUAUUUAAAAAAAAUGCAGAAUUUGAUUCAAUAGAUUUUUUUGUUAUUUUAUUUUGAUUUAAGUAAAAUGAAUUAAAAUAAAUAAAAAUAGAUGCAAAAUUGUUCAAAAAUUUCACAUUACUUAAUUAAUGUAAAAUUAUUUUGGUAGUGUUUGGAACUAGUAACUAUUUGUAAUUACACAAUGAAAUUUUAAUGCGAUUAUGUAGUAUUAAUUGGUAAGUUAUCUAGUAAUUGGAUUUGAAUGUAAUUACUUAUAACUAUCUAGGAAUAACAUGUCUAGAUAAUUAGUAUAAUUGGCGAAUCUCAUUGAAUUUGAGUGCAAUUUGAGCAUCUCAAUUACACUCUCCAAUUUUUAGGGUAGGUUUAGAAUUAAAGUAAUUACAUGAGUAAUUGCAAAUAAUUAAUAAUUACCUUAUGACUUUCUAAAUAUAUAUAAAUUAUUUAAGUUUACAAAAGUUAUUUUUACACAAUAAUAAAAUAUUUUAUUUUCAAAAAUAAUUAUAUAUUUAUUAUUGAAUAAAAAAUAUUUUGUUAUUUGACCUAAUUCCACCUAUAAAUGAAGUUACUAAAUAUGCAAUAUGAUAUCACAAUCCUGAUAAUCUGAAGGAUACAAAUUCGUAUUAUGAUUAAGAUGAUGAGAAAAUUGGUCAAGGAACAACAAAUGAAUGAAUAUAUGUUAAAUGUUAGGAGGGAAUAACCAAAUACAUAUGAAAUAUUUGACCAAUUAGAUAAAAUUACAUAUUAUGUUUAUUUUCUUGUUAUUUUUAUAUAUAAUUGUAUCGUCGACUAUUUUUAGACUAAUAUUACACAAGAUUAUAUUUUAAUUUUGUAAAUUGUUUAAAGGUUUUUAUAGCAAUUAAUAUUUAAAAAAAAUAAAAAUUAUAUAAGCAUGUAAUUAGAAAAUUUAAAAAAAUAUAUAUUUUGUAAUUAGAAGAGGGUAUGAUGUAAGUAAUGUUGAUGAUCCAAAUAUAAAAUCAAUAAAAUUAAAUUCCUUAAACCGAACAUCGUUUGAAGCAAUACAAAAACAUUAGGAAAGAAGGCAAACCAUUCAACCUUUCUGUCGAGUACAAUUCAAUGUUAUCCAACUUGUUUUCCACUCUAAAUUCUCCUUACCCUCCAUGCCUACCAUAAUUAAUUACCAACAAAUAAGGGAAAGAAAAUCCAUCUCUUUAAUUAAUUACCAACAAAUAAGGGAAAGAAAAUCCAUCUCUUUCUCUUUCUCUCCUGAAAAUCAUUGCAUAUAUAAUGGUCUAAAUCUUUCCAAAAUCAAUCUGCUCGAGAAAUCCAAACUAAAAAUCUUGUUCCAAGAUCCCUAUAUAUUUUUCUGGUUUUUUUCUCAGUUCCCAAACACUUCAAUUUCCCAGAGGUGAGAAAUUAUACGUGUUUUCAAUUUUCAGUUCCUCCUUCCUGUUUCAUCGAUUUCUCACAACUGAUUGUUUUUGUUGUUGUAUGUGGUCAGUUAUCAAACAGUUGAAAUACAUAGAAAGCAAUGAGUCGGAGAGCAAACAGUCCAAAGCUGGAAUUGACGCUGAAGUUAUCACCACCACCACCAAGGGCGGCGCCCAACCAACAAGUAGGUUCGCCCAACACAUCGGUUUCGUCGUGGGAAAUGUCUCUUGAAAGCUCGUGCGUGUCUUCGGAGCCCGACAACUCCACGACGACGAUGCAAUACCCCAGCAGUCCUGAAGAAACUUCGAUGGUGCUGGUGGGAUGCCCUCGAUGCCUCAUGUAUGUUAUGCUAUCGGAAGUGGAUCCCAAGUGCCCCCGAUGCAAGAGUACCGUCUUGCUUGAUUUUCUUAACGAAGAGAAUACCAAAAAGACAAGGAACUAAAACGAUGAACCUCUAGGAUUCGUCUGUCUUUCCUUGCUUUUCUCAUGAAACAAACACGUUACUUAAUUCCUAGGUCUUCUUUUGUGGUUUUUUUUUUUUUUUUGGUUUUGUUUUGUUUCUCUCUCUCUCUCUGAAUGUUUGAACUUUGAAGUUCUAAUUAUAUAUUUUUGUUUAUUUUAUGUCUGGUUUGAUUUCCCUACAAGAAAAUCUUUUUACACAACAGCCAAAGUGUUUCACUUUCCUCCUUUGAGGCAAAGGGAACUUUGCGAUCUUUGUCUUGGUUUUCAUAUGAGUUUUUUCCUUUACAGAACAUCCAAGUGUUCCCCUUUUCCUCCUUUUGUUUAGCUUAUAAUUUUAGGGAAGAACAUAGGUGGCGUCUAUUCAGAUUUUGUGAGACACUUUUAAAUUAAUUAUUAAAUAAAAAGAGAAAAAAAUAUUAAUUUAACGUUGAUGGUGUUAUAUUAAAUUUGUAUUGAGAAAUAUGAAUUUAUUUUUAAUUAAUUUAAUUGAUUUUAAUAUUAAAGAAGAUAAUUGAUUUUAACAUUAAAGAAAAAUUUUGAUUUACAUAGAAAAGCAACAUAGUCAGUAAUUGAUUUAACAGAUUUUUUAUAAUCAUUACAAUUUUUUAGUUUUUAACAUGGUUUGAUCAAACAGUUACUAUUUACUCAUUUUUAUCUCUGAACCACAUUUGUGGAUUUAAAAAUGAUUCCACGAUAUUCAAUUAUAAUAAGAUUUCAUUUAGUUACUAAAUCUUAAUUUUUGAUUUUUUUUCUUAUUUCAGUUAAAAAAUAAAUCUAAACAUGAUCCACUCAUCAAUAAUGAAACUCAAAUUCAAAAUAAAAUUAAGAGAAAAUUCACGUAUAGUAUUUACGCACGAAUUAAAAAAACUUUCUCCUUAACUCAAAACCUCAUUUGGCAUUUAUUUUAUGGUUAUGUUGGUAAUUUUCAAAACAACUGAAAAUUGAAAUAUUUAAAAUCAAAUGAUGCAAUUAAAGCCGGAUCUAGAUACGUUGCAGCUUUGCACUUUGCCGAACAUUAAAACAUUUAAAAUGGUGCAAGCCUCCUGCUGGUAAGUUGAAAUGCAACAUAGAUGUGUCGUUUUCCUUGUUCUUCAGGCAACCGGCUGGGAAGCGCUGGUUUGGAACGAAUCGUGGGAGUUUGUUCGUUGCGUUAUAGGUUAUAUGAAACAUGUGGUCGACCCAUUCAUGGCAGAACUUUUUGCAGUGUGCAAGACUCUUUCUUAGCUUCCAUCUUAGCAUGCGGAUAACAUUGUGCUAGAGACUGAUUGCCAACGUCUUUGGUAGUCCUUCACUUGUCGAAAUACCGAUGUUUCAGACCCUGGUUUACUGAUCCAGGACUGUGUUCGUUUAAGUUCCAUAUCUUGCUCUUUGUCCUUUCAUUGGACAAGAGAAUGCGCUAUUAAAGCUGCCCACACUUUGACGUGGGCAACUUUAUCUGAAGCGAACUAUGCGGAUCAAGUUGAUUGUCCUUCUAUUUUUAUUGAAUUUUUGCUAUUGGAUUGUUCUACUAUUUCAACUGAAAUUGAGGCGAGUUAGGAUGGGUGUAUUAGGUAAAUCUAAUGGCUUGGAUAUAAAGUCCCCAUCUUGUUAAUACAGCAGAAUAAGGAAGAGGUCGAGGAGAAGGUGUGGUGGUUGUCAUAGAGGUCGGUUCACCUAGUUGAGGCUACGAGCUGAAGGUUACAAAGAGUGAAGGGGACGAGAGUGUUAAGGCUAGAUGUUGAAGGUAAUUUGCAGAGUGUAGGCUUGGCAACUUGGGAAAGUCGAUCAUUGCUUCAUCGUCUCUAGGGGUAUUUAUAGGCGAGAGUCUCUUGUAGGAUGGUGUUAACAUGUUGAACUUACUAUUAAACUAUCAUUAUGGAACUCGUGGGGUAGAUGUUUUUAAUGGGAUGAGGAUGUGUAUGAUAGGUGUAAUAAGCCAUUUUUGCCCGGGCCCUAAACAAAAAACCAAAUAAAAUAAAAAUAAAAAUAAUUAACAGUCUAAUUUUUUUACAAGCCCAAAAUUACAAGGCCUGAUACGCCCAAAAUAUUUGAAAAUUUUUAGAAAGCCAAAAACCUUAGGGUUUCUAGUGCCGCUGCUCUCGUGCCACGUCAACACACCUCGUCCCGAGACCUAACAUCUUUUCUGCUGCUGUUUCACCAAAGUAGCAAGAGGUUCUCUUCUCUCUUCUGUUGACCAAGUGCCGAACCUGCAAAAGAAGACCAAAAAGAACACAGAAACAGAGCAGAGAAACAGUAGCAGAAACGAAAGCAUAAACAGUAGCAAAUAUAAAAUCAAAUGUACUAUUCAAUUAUAAAAGCUACCACCAUCAAUGUAAUGUUUUACACACACUAGAGUAAUCAAAAAAUAGAAAUCAAAACUUCAAAGGUGAUUUCUUUUUUUUUUUAAUCUGUUAUUUAUUUUUUUUAUUUUUUUUAAAGAAAAAGAAGAUAUAAGAACAAAAUCUUUUACGUUUUUGCCUGCGUCUUGCCCUCCAUCUUGGAAGACCAACGGACCCUUGGGGGUUCGCCGAUUGCUUGCGAUAGAAAUGAGCAAAAACGAAAGGUUCUUUGCUUCUUUUUAUUUUUGAGGGCUUUUUUUGGCCAUUUGAAACCCCAAAAUCGGGGUUCUACUUGAAAAGGGAACAAAAUGUGAGACUUUUAGACUUUCCGGCGACCGUGGAUGGUGGCGCCGUAGCCGGAGACCGGUGGCCGCCACAUUGCCCGAUGGCCGAAGCCAAGGCUGAGCAAAGGGGCUAAAGAGGAAAAAUAAAAAAAAGGCUAAGUUUUUUUUUGAAAGAGGGUUUAAAUGAUAUUUUUAGAGAUAUUUUUGGCAUUUAUAAUGAUAUAAAAUAGCGUCAUUUGGGACUUAAGCAUCAGUUUCCAAAACGACGCCAUUUUGCUUAAGACUCGAAACUCGACCUGAUUUUAAGCUAGGAUCCGCAUGUUUUUCCCCCAGAGGGAUAUUUACGCGUCAGUCCUUCCGCUUUUCGCCCAUUUUCAAUUUAAUCCUGUUCUUUUUUUUUCUUUUUAAUUUUAUCCUGUAAUUUUUGCAUUAUUUGAUUUCAGUCCUCUGUAAAACAGUGCACAUAUGGACAAGGGGAUUAUUUCCUAAUUGGUCCCUGUCCUUCCUUCGCGCAUUCGAUUUUAAUCCCUUAACUCAUUUUAUUGUUUAAUUUGUUUAUUUCAUUAUGAUCUUUACUUUAAAUUUUGUUUAUAUUUCGAUUUAGUCCCUUACUUUCAAUCUUUUGCAUUUUAUUUUCCUUUGUACUUAUUUAUUUGUUCAUAUAUUUCGAUUUAGUCCGUUCUUUACUCACUACUACUACUACUACUACUACUACUACUACUACUAUUGUUAUUAUUAUUAUUAUUAUUAUUUAUGCAUUUUAUUACGAAUUGCACCCUUAAUUCCAUUCAUGUUUUAAUUUGGUCCUCUAUUUUCAAUAUUUUACAAAUUAUUUUCCUCAAUGUUUAUUUAUUUAUUUAUUCCCUUGUCUUUAUUAUAUUUAAAAAUUAGUAUUUUCCUUUUUUUGUGAACUAUUUUGUUAUUAUUAUUAUUGUUAUCAUUGUUAUUAUUUAUUUUACUAUUUACUUUAUUUUUCUUGGAUUGUUAAUAUUGGUAUUAAAGUGAUAUGUAUUAUAUGAUUAUUGCCAUUAUAUGUACUAUGAAUUGCUUAUUAGUACAUUUAUAUUGUUGUCAUUCAUUAGUGCAACAUUUUAUUCAUAUAUUAUUUUUAAUAUUACAUUAAUUCUUAUCCAAAUACACAAAAAGGAAAUUUUCAAAAUAAGACAAUAUUUCAUAUUUGGGAGAUUCGAGAAAUCGUACCCUAACUUACGGGGUUUCGAUUUUCUUGUUGAAAUUAAAUAACCGAAUAUCCUUUUAAAAUUAAAAUACAUGAGAUUUCAAAUAAAAAAUAAAGGCAAACUUAUUCUCAAGUAUUUGAAGUGUCGUGUCCUAACUUACGGAAGUGACAUUUUGUUGCCUUGAGAUGAGAGGGUCUUUAACAUACUUUUCGAUUUAUUCAAGCAAAUUUUAGGUAAAAUUAACAUUAAUCCAAAGAGGGAUCGUAUUUUAAAUUCUUUCAAAAUUUUCAACUUUCGACAUUAAGACAUUAAUUAAUCAAUUAGGUACCAAUUUUGGGCGUUAUGAGGGUGCUAAUCAUUCCUUUGUGCAUAACUGACUCCCGAACCUGUUUCUCAAAGUUUGUAGACCAAAAAUUGUUGUUUUAAUAAAUCAAAGCGCUUAUUAAAACGAUCAAUCAUAAGGUGACCUGAUCACACCUCAUAAAAAAGAAGAUUGGUGACGACUCUCAUUUUUUUUUAAAUAAAAAGUCGACCUUUCAAAAAAAUGAUUUCGACAAUGGGAUAUACCUUGAUGUUCAUUCUAACUUUGAUGAUAUAGAGUAGUUGAACUCAUGUGGUCUUUGAUCCCUAACGACAUCACACUUCUCAAAGAAGCCUAAGGGUCUGGGCAUCAGAUGGUUUGUGUUUGUCCGGAUGGUUGGCCCCUUCCAAUUUGUUGCCGGUUGGUUUGCUGCUCAAGCAAAUUUUCAGUUUGCCUUGUGUUUCCUUGCGAUUGAGGUAUAACAUAUCUAUUUUAAUUUUUCCCUGAUUAAUGAAAUUUAUGAAUUUUUUCCUUAAAAAAAAUUUGUUAGGCUCAAUAUUGAUUUCAUUAUUACACAAUAAAUAUAAACCAUCACACCAAUUAUCAUUUACUUUCACUAAACCACCCAUUGUUAAUUUCUUUACCACUCAAUUCACCGAAGUCUAAUUCUCUAUUCAUAUAAAAAAAAGUAUAAUUGUCAGAUAUUAUAUAAUAAAUAGAAAUAUAGAAUAGACAAUCAUCAUACAAACAAAUUUUUAAUUAGAUAUAACUAAAUUUAAAUUAUUUUUAUCUAAUAAUUUACAAAAAUAUUAGCUUUUAAUGUGACAUGUAUUUUUCUUAUAUUAUAAUAGAAAAUUUUCAAAUAAUAAUUAAAAUUUUUUUAAUAUAUUCAACAUAUAAUAUAGUUUUCCUUUGUUUAAUUAAUGCAAAAUAACAUUGUAGAGGCCCAAAUUUGCCCGGGGCCCAACAACCCCCCAAAAAAAAUAUAUAUAUAUAAUUGUUAACAGUCCAUUUACAAGGCCCGAAUAUCCUAUGGCCCAAACUAAAACCCUAAGCCCAGCCCAAAAAUAUUUAACAUUUUUGGAGGAACCCUAGAGUUCCCUCCCCUUUGCGUCGCGCCGCUCCCCACGUGGUGUCAGCGCGUUCAACGCCUGACCACCCCUGGCACCUCUGUUGCCUCAGCAUAGCACCCUCUGGCCUUGUCCCAUCACCUGCAAAACAAGAACAAAAAGAAAGCAAGACAGACAGCAGAGAAACACGCAAAACAGAAGCGAAACAAGUAGAGAAUAGUAACAAAUCAUUGUAAUCGGCUAUAAAGCCGAAGAGAAAACCAUUGUAAAGGGGGUCUUUUUUUAAAAAAAAUCAGUGUUUUCAAACACUUUUUGAAUAAAAUAUAAGAACAGAUUCAAAUACAAAAACAACAAGCAAGUCAAAAACUGAUUCAAUCCCGUCAAGGUCUCAUUUCUUUUUCUUUUAUUUUCGUCUUUUGAUUACACAUACAUGUUUUCUUUAUUUUUAUUUUUUUAAAAAAAAAACAGAAUAUAUAUUUACAUAUAAAUAUAGCCAAAAAAUAAAAAAAAUAUUACCUUUUUUUAUUUCCGACCACCGUGUACGGUGGCCGGCGUGGCGGACGACGGUGGUCCGAUGACCGAGCCAGAGGGAAUGAGAGAGGGCUUAAAGGGAGCUCUCAGGUUUUUUUGAAGAAAGAAAAGAAAAAAUAAAGGUUUUUUUGCAAAAAUAUGGCCUUUUAUAACACUACCAAAACGACGUCGUUUCAUUCAGCUGCAAAACACCCCGAAACGGUGUCGUUUAGGCGUCGACUCGAAGACCCGACCCGCUCCACAAAGGGAUCAGUGUGUUUCUGCUAAGCGGGAUAAUUGAGCGCGUGGUCCUUCCGCAUUUUUGUUUCUUUUAAUUUAAUCCUUUUUUAUUUCCCUUUUGUUUUUAGAUUUUCCCCUGGAAUUUGCGCUUGUUUCAAAUUAGUCCGCGGUUUAAUAUUUCGUUUUGAUAUUUGGUUUAUUUGUUUCUUAGUCCUCUUUGAUUUGCGCACAUUAUAUUUUAGCCCUUGAUUUUGUUUCAAUGAUUCAUUUUAUUUAUUAAUUCCCCUUUUAGUUUGCAUUUAUUUCAAUUAAGUUUGUUUAUUUGAAUUUAUGUAAUUUCUAUUAAUUUAUUUAUUAUUUAGUUUUUCUUGAGUAUAUGAUUCUGAAUUAUUAUUAUCGAUUUUACAUUUGUCUUAGUAUAUUAUUUUUACUUACAUUUGUACAUAUUUUAAUUGUUUUAUUAUAUAGUUCAUUUAAUUUAAAAAAUUCUCUUUUAUAUUUCUCUGCUUUAAACAUUCAUAUGAUGUUUAUUCUUAAAUCCCUAUUAUUUUUAUAUAUAUUAUUUAUAUUAAACUAUCUUUUUAAUUUAUGUACAUUAUUUACUUAUAUAUACAUGUGUAUACAUUGUCUCGUAUAUUACUAUUACUAUUAUUACUAUCAUGGCUAUUACUUUUUAUUAUGAUCAUAUUUUCUUUUUUGAGCUUAUCCAUUUAUUAUUUUAUUAUUAAUUAAUUUAGCAUUAUUUACUAUUAUUAUUGUUAUUUUUAUUAUUACUACUAUUUUUUUCAUCUUUUAAACUGUUUUAUUUAAUAUUUCAUUUUUUUGUGUUUAUUUGCUUAUCUUCAUUUUUGUUUGUUUUACAAGCUGUUUUAUUAUUCUUCUAUUCAUGUAAUUAUUUUUAUUUACUUGUUGGUCUUCCUACUAUUCUCGUAAAUUUGUAUUUGUUUAAAAUCUCUUCAUAUGUUAUUUAUCUUGAACCAUUUUUUUGUUACUCGUUUUAAAUUUUUUUUCAUAAAUUAUUUCUUUAAAAUUUAUAUUAUUUCAUGUCAAAUGGUUUCAUAUAGUUCUAAUUUAAAUUGUUUUACACUCUAUUGGUUUUAAGUUGUCACAUAUACUGUUUUAAGUCGUUGGCUACCUUAAUUUGUUCCAUGUAUUAUUUCCUUCAUCAUAAUUUACAAUUGUUUCUUAGUUUCUUUUUAUUUCGCCUUCGUGUUUAUUUAUUUUAAUCGUUUAUUAAUUUAGAUUUCAUCAUUGUUAUCAUCGUUGUUCUUAUUUUUUUUGUGUCAUUGUCUUAUGUUAGUUAUUUAUUGUUUGAUUGUUCAAAUCAAUAGUUAAAAAUUAUGUGAUUUGUAACACCCCAAACCCGGCCCAGACGUUAUGACCGGAUCCGACAUGCCACAUCGAAGCGUUCAAAACAUUUUAUAUUGUUGAUCCAGAAAAAAUUACUUAGUGUUUUAAAAGAUAAUUUCAUUAUAAGUUAAAGUGAAUGGAAGCUGUGCACCAGGUAGGAAACCGAAAAAGAGGUGGUGAGUCCAUCGGACUGCUUAAGUACCAAGCUUCCUUCGGAUCCAAUCCUAGACAUGCAUACCGCCAUUGCCACACCUUAACGUCAUGGAUAUUUCUAGGAAACCAAUUUGAUUAAGUCAUUUUUAGGAAAAGUGAUUAAUUUUGGAAAAUACUUUCAUUGCGGAAGCUUUGCUUGUUGUCGUGUUAUUUUGAAAUCAACUGUUGUUUUUGAAAACGCGCCCUAAAGCUAUCCAAUUUCAACAAUUAAUAUAAGUAAUACCUAUCUUAGUAAUACAUAUUAAAACUAUCAAAAAUAAUUAAGCGGCCUUAUUACAUUUAAAAACUCAAAACUUCAAACAUAAAUAAAAGGAUAUCCAGUUCACCAGAAGAAAAUCAAACUUUCAGAACGGGUGGCCACUCCGAAUUCCCUCACAGCUCCAAGCCCACUAUGGUUGGGGAUUUCCUGCGUGGAUGAAAAUAAAAGGGGUGAGUUUGGGGAAACUCAGUGUGUAAGGAAAACCCAUUCAAAGCCCAAGUGAGCUCAAGCCUAUUGGGCCUAAGCCCAUUCAAGUAACAGUGGUACUGGACCAGAGCCCUUUUCAGAUUACAAUAAACUGGGCCUUAGCCCCUCAUUCAGAUAACAGUAUGGCCCAUAGGCCCAUUUCAAAAUACAUGCAACAUCAAUAAAUAUAUGCAAGCCUAUUUGGGGAGACUACUCAACCCACCAACCACUACACUCCACCCGUACCAGCCAUACACUCCAUGUGGGGAAUAGCUCAACCCACCCAGCCCAACACUCCACAGUUGCAACCUUGCUGCUCAGUUAAUAGUAAAUUGAGGCAAAGCUCCAGUACGUGGACAAGCCACUUUUAGUACUUCCUUCGUCAAUAUCCCAAUCCCAUGCAUCAGAUAAUAACAACAUGGCAUGCAGUAAAUAACAACAGUCAAACAUGCAUUUAGGUCAAUUUAACCCUAAGGGUAUUUCAGUAAAUUUGCACCUAGGGGUAUAACAGUAAUUUUUCAUACAUAGGGGUAUUAUAGUAAUUUAGCUGUUUUUAGGGUUUUCCAUGCAUAUUCCUACUUUUCACGUACUAACAGAAUCACGUACCGAGAGUUUUUACCGAAUUGGGCAUGUUGGCCCAUCAUUCCAAUUUUGGCCCAUUAAGCCCAAAAAUAUCAAGGGCACAGAAAUCAUGCACUUUGCAGUCCAAAUUUUGCAGCUUACCAAAAACAUUAAUCGAUUUACCUCACGAGCAUUUGCACACUCGCAAAUCUACAAAAUACAGGUUUUCGGCAUUUCGGCUUUUCGACUUUUGCCGAUCCAGACUAAGAAAGAGGGUGUUAGUUACACACCUGUUUGCGACUAUAUGCUGACGAGAUCCACACACGAACUGCCUACAAUUGGAUUACUAACACGUUAAUCUAACUAUUCAAAUACAAACUACGUAUUAACCCCUUACAAUAUUCGGCCAACCACACCUACAGAUCAUAGUAAGCUUAUAAGAAAUCAAUAAGCAACUCAUUAACAAAUUUUUGUCAAUGUUUACCACAUAAUCAUAAUUUCACUCCCUUUUUCUUAUGGAACAAAAAUUAACUAAAAUUACCGGGUUCUAUCUUAAGCUUGGGCCUUCUAGAGGCACACUAACAUAAUUAAACCAAUGCCAACAUUCACAGGAUUCCCGAAAAUUGGGGCGUUACAACUCUACCCUCCUUAAAGAAAUUUCAUCCUCGAAAUUUACCUAAUCCAAACAGAUGAGGGUAUUGUUGUUGCAUCGUCUCUUCUGGCUCCCAAACUCAGAAGUUUUCCCUUCCUUAACUUGUUGAAAACGAGCGACCAAAGACUCAUCGUUCAACUAUUUUUCCUUAAUCUGAUUCACCCAGGUUGGCCUUACUUACAAUUCAGCCAACAAACUGCAAUCAUCAUACAAACUCAAACGAGCAAACAUUGCUCUCAGAUUAGAUACGAUUCUACGACUUAAAACAUCGGCUACCACAUUAGCCUUGCCUAGGUGAUACUCAAUCGAACAGUCAUAAUCCUUAAGCAACUCAAUCCAUCUCCUUUGCCUAAGGUUCAGCUCCUUCUGAGUCAACAAAUUCUUAAGACUCUUGUGGUCUGUGUAUAUAAUACACCUUUCUUCAUACAAGUAAUGUCUCUAAAUCUUAAGUGCAAAUAUCACUGCUGCCAACUCUAAAUCAUGAGUUAGAUAGUUCCCCUCAUGAGGCUUAAGCUGUCGUGAUGCAUAUGCAACCACCUUACCCUCUUACAUUAACACGUAGCCCAAACCCACGUGUGAUGCGUCACUGUACACAGUAAAAUCCUUCCCAGACUCUGGCUGAAUUAACACAGGUGCUUCAGUCAGAACUUUCUUCAACUUCUCAAAAGCUUCCUGCUGCUUCUCAGUCCAUACAAACGGUACUCCUUUCCUUAUGAGUUUUGUCAAAGGUGCUGCCAUCACAGAAAAACCUUCCACAAACCUUCUGUAGUAUCCUGCUAACCCUAGGAAGCUUCGAAUUUCCAACACCGUCCUAGGUGGCUUCCACUCCAAAAUUGCUUCAAUCUUUUAAGGGUCUACCUUAAUCCCUUCGGCAGAGACCACAUGUCCUAAGAAGGUUACCUCUCUCAACCAAAAUUCACACUUGUUGAACUUCGCAAAGAGUUCCUUCUCCCUUAACACUCGCAGUACUAUACGGAGAUGCUCAUCAUGUUUCGCUUCAGUUUCAGAAUAUACCAGGGUAUCAUCAAUGAAGACGACUACGAAUCGAUCCAAGAAUGGUUGGAACACCCGAUUCAUCAGAUCCAUAAAUGCUGCAGGAGCGUUCGUCAGUCCAAAUGGCAUAACCAAAAACUCGUAAUGACCAUACCGAGUCCUGAAUGUCAUCUUAUGGAUAUCCGCCUCCUUUACCCUUAACUGAUGGUAUCCAGAUCGAAGGUCAAUCUUGGAAAAUACUGAAGCUCCUCCAAGUUGGUCAAAUAAAUCAUCAAUCCUUGGCAGAGGGUAUUUGUUCUUUAUCGUCAGUUUGUUCAACUGGCGGUAAUCGAUGCACAUGCGCAUUGUUCCGUCCUUUUUCUUCACAAAUAGCACCGGUGCUCCCCAUGGAAACACACUUGGCCUAAUGAAGCCCCUAUCCAACAACUCUUGAAUUUGAGCCUUUAACUCCACUAACUCCUUCGGUGCCAUCCUAUACGGUGCGAUGGACACAGGUGCUGCUCCAGGCAACAAAUCUAUUCCAAACUCAACUUCUCGGUUCGGAGGCAAUUUUGGAAGCUCCUCCGGAAAAACAUCUUGGAACUCCUUUAUGGUCCUAACCUUAUCCACUGUCAGUCCCUCCUUUUCCGACUGACUUACAAAUGCCAAAUAGGCCUCACAACCUUUCUGAAUCCACUUUUCGGCUCUUAAUACCGACACCACAUUGGAAAAAUAAUCCAUUCGCUCACCUAUCACCAUAACCUCCUCAUCCUUUGUGGUCCUUAACACCAUUCGUUUAGCAGCACAAUCCAGGGUCGCCUUAUGCUUAAUAAGCCAGUCCAGUCCCAAAAUGAGAUCAAACUCUCCGAACGGUAACUCCAUCAAAUCUCCAGGGAAAAUCUUACAUUGAGUUUCUAAGGGUACAUCCCUAUACAGUUUGUCUACCCUAACCGAGUGACCCAAAGGACUUAGUACAGAUACCCCACUCACAAUCUCCUCAGAGCAGUCCAAGUUGUCCAUAAUCCGUUCUGUGGCCUUCAACCAACAUUCUGCCACAUUCGAGGCUAUACCAGACACGCCCCUAAAGAUCUCUGCUCCUUUAGCCCGAAGUCGUUUAGAAAUAGAUCCCCGAACUCCAUUGCCCGUACUUGCCCCGGCAACCCUUUCCAGAACACGAAGCAUUGCCUGUGACAGGGCAUCAUCCCCGGCACCACGAUCAUGAGACUCUACCUCUGUUGCCGGUGGUACCGGUGCAUCCACCACCGAUAUAUGUCCCGAAGAUAAAAAUCUCGCUCGAGCACUUUCUCGGCCCCAUCCACGGCCUCUUUCACGAACGACUCUUGUACUCAUAUCGUCUUAUCUUGAUUACGAAUUUUUAUGCAUUGAUUCAAUAUUCCAGUGUUUAUUAUAGAUGUUUUAUGAAUCAGAUAGUAAUUCAGAGUUUAUUUUCGCAGAAUCGAAGUCUAGCUACAGUUUCAGUCUCUUAUCAAAUUUUUCUAUGGUUUCAGUAUCAUCCUAUCUAGAGGAUCCUAGCAGGAUUUUAGUACAGACAGAUAAUUCAGAAAAAUAUUCAGAGAAGUUCAGAGAAAUACUUACAGACUUGAGCCGGAGAUUCGGAAUGCCACCUUCUAAUAUCUAAAAUUUGAAAAUCGAGUUUUUCGUAUUCUUUAUAAAAUUUUCGUUUUCAAAAAUCUUUGUUUUUGUAAACCCAUUCCACAGCCGAGUUGUUGCAACCUAGGCUCUGAUACCACUAAAUGUAACACCCCAAACCCGGUCCAGACGUUAUGACCGGAUCCGACAUGCCACAUCGAAGCGUUCAAAACAUUUUAUAUUGUUGAUCCAGAAAAACUUACUUAGUGUUUUAAAAGAUAAUUUCAUUGUAGGUUAAAGUGAAUGGAAGCUGUGCACCAGGUAGGAAGCCGAAAAAGAGGUGGUGAGUCCAUCGGACUGCUUAAGUACCAAGCUCCCUUCGGAUCCAAUCCUAGACAUGCAUACCGCCAUUGCCACACCUUAACGUCAUGGAUAUUUCUAGGAAACCGAUUUGAUUAAGUCAUUUUUAGGAAAAGUGAUUAAUUUUAGAAAAUACUUUCAUUGCGGAAGCUUUGCUUGUUGUCGUGUUAUUCUGAAAUCAACUGUUGUUUUUGAAAAUGCGCCCUAAACCUAUCCAAUUUCAACAAUUAAAAUAAGUAAUACCUAUCUUAGUAAUACAUAUUAAAACCAUCAAAAAUAAUUAAGCGGCCUUAUUACAUUUAAAAACUCAAAACUUCAAACGUAAAUAAAAGGAUAUCCAGUUCACCAGAAGAAAAUCAAACUUUCAGAAUGGGUGGCCACUCCGAAUUCCCUCACAGCUCCAAGCCCACUAUGGUUAGGGAUUUCCUGCGUGGAUGAAAAUAAAAGGGGUGAGUUUGGGGAAACUCAGUGUGUAAGGAAAACCCAUUCAAAGCCCAAGUAAGCUCAAGCCUAUUGGGCCUAAGCCCAUUCAGGUAACAGUGGUACUGGACCAGAGCCCUUUUCAGAUUACAAUAAACUGGGCCUUAGCCCCUCAUUCAGAUAACAGUAUGGCCCAUAGGCCCAUUUCAAAAUACAUGCAACAUCAAUAAAUAUAUGCAAGCCCAUUUGGGGAGACUACUCAACCCACCAACCACUACACUCCACCCGUACCAGCCAUACACUCCAUGUGGGGAAUAGCUCAACCCACCCAGCCCAACACUCCACAGUUGCAGCCUUGCUGCUCAGUUAAUAGUAAAUUGAGGCAAAGCCUCCAGUACGUGGACAAGCCACUUUCAGUACUUCCUCCGUCAAUAUCCCAAUCCCAUGCAUCAGAUAAUAACAACAUGGCAUGCAGUAAAUAACAACAGUCAAACAUGCAUUUAGGUCAAUUUAACCCUAGGGGUAUUUCAGUAAAUUUGCACCUAGGGGUAUAACAGUAAUUUUCAAUACAUAGGGGUAUUAUAGUAAUUUAGCUAUUUUUAGGGUUUUUCAUGCAUAUUCCUACUUUUCACGUACUAACAAAAUCACGUACUGAGGGUUCUUACCGAAUUGGGCCCGUUGGCCCAUCAUUCCAAUUUUGUCCCAUUAAGCCCAAAAAUAUCGAGGGCACAGAAAUCAUGCACUUUGCAGUCCAAAUUUUGCAGCUUACCAAAAACAUUAAUCGAUUUACCUCACGAGCAUUCACACACUCGCAAAUCUACAAAAUACCGGUUUUCGGCAUUUCGGCUUUUCGACUUUUGCCGAUCCAGACUAAGAAAGAGGGUGUUAGUUACACACCUGUUUGCGACUAUAUGCUGACGAGAUCCACACACGAACCGCCUACAAUUGGAUUACUAACACGUUAAUCUAACUAUUCAAAUACAAACUACGUAUUAACCCCUUACAAUAUUCGGCCAACCACACUUACAGAUCAUAGUAAGCUUAUAAGAAAUCAAUAAGCAACUCAUUAACAAAUUUUUGUCAAUGUUUACCACAUAAUCAUAAUUUCACUCCCUUUUUCUUAUGGAACAAAAAUUAACUAAAAUUACCGGGUUCUAUCUUAAGCUUGGGCGUUCUAGAGGCCCACUAACAUAAUUAAACCUAUGCCAACAUUCACAGGAUUCCCGAAAAUUGGGGCGUUACAUGAUUAUUGUGAAUUGUUUUCUUAUUAGUAUAUUCAUAUUUAUCAACAUAAUAAUCUCAUUCGCAUAUUACCAUUCUGAAUAAAAUAAAUACACAUCGUUUUAAACUUCGUAUUUGCUAUUUUUUUAAUAAAAAGAAAAUUCUCUAAUAAAAGUAAUGUUUCGUGUUUGGGAAAUUCGAGAGAUCGUACCCUAACGUGUUGGGUUUUGAUUUUUCUGCUUGAUCCAAAUGAUCGAAUAUCCUUUUGGAAUUAAAAUACAUGAGUAUUAAAAAUCAAAAGACAAGCUUAUUCUCGAUAAUUUAAAAUGUCGUGUCCUAUCGUGUUGGAUGUGAUGUUUAAUUACUUCGAGAUAAGAAGGUCUUUAGCAUCCGCUUCGAUUUAUUCAAAUAUUUUUUGUAAAACGAACAUUCAUAAAAAGGGAUCGCAAAAAUUUGAAACAAGGCAAUAUUUCGUGUUUGGAAAUUUCGCGAAAUCGUGCCCUAUGUGCUGGGUUUCGAUUUAUCGUUUGACCAAACAACCGAAUAUCCUUUUUAAAAUUUCAAUGCAAGAGUUUUGUAAAUCAUGAGAUGAUUUUGUUAUCCAAGGUUCGAAAUGUCGUGUCCUACGUGCUAGAUGUGAUAUUUUAUUUCUUCGGAACAAGAGAAUCUUAAUAUCCACCUCGAGUUAUCCAAACAUUCAUAAAAGGGAUCGUAUUUUAAAAUCUUUUUAAAUUUUGGCAUUGAGACAUUAAUUAAUCAAUUAGGUACCAAUUUUGGGCGUUACGAGGGUGCUAAUCCUUCCUCGUACGUAACUGACUCCCGAACUCGUUUUCUCAAACUUCGUAGACCAAAAUCGUUGUUUUAGUAAAUCAAAAUGUUUUAUUAAAAUGACCAAAUUACUAGGUGAUCCGAUCACACCUAAACAAAAAAAAUUGGUGGCGACUCCCAAUUUUCGUUUCCAUUUUCAAAACCAAAGUCGAUCCCCGUUUUUCAAAAAAAUGGUUUCGACAAACAUUAUUUAAAAUAAUAACUAAUUAACAUAAUUAACUCUAAUAUUAAUUAAGGGAUAAUUAAUAUGCUUAAAAUUUUAUUAAAUAAUAAUUUUGUUUUAUAUCAAUAAAAUUAGCACCACUUUUGUUUACAUAAUUUUUUUUAACUAAUAAUGGUAAAUUAUAAUUAUCAAAACAUUUUUUUCCCUAUAUUGUAUACUUAGAAAUAAUUUUAUUUUAAAAUUAACACAAUUUUUUAAUUAAUAAUUGUAAUUUUAAUUUUAAUUAUUUUAAAUGUAUGAUUAUCAAAACUUCUAUUUUAUUAUAAAUUUUUUAAAUAAUAAUUCUAAAUUAAAUAUUAUAAUUAUUUUUAAAUGUGAAUUUAGUAAUAUGAUGGAAAAUGAAAUAUAUUCUCACCAAUUCAUAAGUUUUUUCAAAUUCAUGUGUUUAUAUAUAUUAUAAAUAUACACAGACAAAUAAAAAAUAAUAUGCUAACAAGUGUUGAAUAUAGUGUUAAGAUAACACAAAUUCAAAUAUUAAAAAUAAUAGUCGAGGUUUCACUAUCUCACUAAUUUAUAUACUAAUCUCAUAAUUAUAAGCUUCAAUUCUUCAACUAUUUGGAACAAGUAAUUAGGGAUAAUUUUAGAGGCGAAAUCCAAAUCAAUAUUCAUUAAUUGAUUGCAUUUUUUUUUCUCUUUUCUCUAAAAUGGACAAAUUGAUUUGUCAAAUCCUUCCACUAAAAUUGAGAUGCUAAAUGGAAUCAUAACAAUUUUAGUCCUUAAAUCUUUUUGUAUUUAUUUGAUUUAGCUUUUACUCUUUUAUUUGAAGUAAAUUUAUUCAAAACUUUUCAUUUAUAUAUAUUGCGCCAAUAAAAAAACUUAAGAAUUAUAAAGAAUCUGAUUUUUUUUUAAUUCAAAAAAACCAUAAAUAAAAUUUAUAUAUCCAAAAAUUUUAAAAAAAAGUGUAAAUAGGCCAAUUUGCUCGGGCCCGAAGAAGAACCCAAAAUAAAAAAUAAUAAACAAAAAAUAUUAACAGUCCAUUAAAUGUCCUGGCCCAAUUACAUGACCCAAGACCCAAAUAACUAACCCAACCCCAAAUAAACCCAAUAGCCCAAUUACAAGCCCAGUUACGAAAUAACCUAACCCAAUACCCCAUGGCCCAAAUACAAUGGCCCAAUACCCAGAACAGGCCCAAACGGCCCAAAAACUAAGCCAAAUUUCGGCAAACCCCAAGGCAAAGGGCUCCUUGCGCCGCAGUCCUCACGAGCGGCCUAACCACAUCGCAUGUGCUCCCUCGCGCCGCAGCCAAGCAACCAGACAACGCCUCCGUACGCUCUGUUGCUCCAACAGCCACGCCCGCGCCUCCGUAUGCUAGCACAGCCCUCGUACUCGUGCCAGCACACUCCGUACCUACGAAGAAACAGACAAAACAACAGCAGCAGCACGAAAACAAAAGAAAGAAAAAUUGUAUUUUUUAUUUUAUUUUGAACAUUCGGCUAUAAAGUCUAUUAUUUUCGAUUGUAAAGGGGUUCCCUCUUUUACGAACAAGCGCAAUAUACGCACACAAAAGAACAAUCGAAAGCAUUCGAAUAGAAAAAAAUUAUUAAAGAAAAGGUGAUUUUUUUUAGUUCUUCUUCUUCUCCGAUUUAGUUCUGAUUCUUUUCUUUCUCCUUGAUUUUCUAUUCGGUGUAUAAUAGAGAUAAAGAAAAAGAGGCUUACCUCCGUUUUUGGUUCCCUCGAAUCCUCGCUCACUUCGUCGCAAUCAGAGUUCGGGUGGUGAUUCUGAGGCUUUUGAGCGGACCCUUGGGUUCAUGGUCGGACGAAGCUGGAUUUAGGCCUUUUGCAUGAUGACCGUCGAUCAAACAUGAAGGUUGGGCGGCAGUUGAAGGGACCUAGGGUUCGGCUGAAGGAAAAAGGGGGGGCUAGGGUUAAUGUAGCUGAAAAGCCAAAUUGUAACCCUUUUAAAGGACUAGAUACAGCGUCGUUUUGAGCCUGAUUCAGUGGCUCCAAAAACGGCGUCGUUUCAUGGCAUGACCCGCACGUGUGACCCAACCCGGGAAGGAUUCGCGUGUUCCCCAUCAAUGGGAAAUUUGUCCAUUUGGUCCUUCCUCCUUGUGCGGUCGUUCAAUCGCAUACCAUUUGUUUUAUUUAUUCUUUUAAUUUAGCCCCGUAAUUUGCGCUCAUUUGCAACUGGAUCUGCGCUUGAGUACUGCGUUUUGGGAGCUGGGUUAUAUCCAGCUUAAGUCCCCACACAUUUGCGCGAAUUACUUGUUGAUCCUGUUUGCGAUUAUUGUUAUUUGUAAAUUAUCCCUGUUAUUUUAGGUUCAAUUUUGAUUUGGUCUUUCACUUGCAUAGUUUGAUAAUUUAAUAUGUGUUUAGUAUUUUUAUAUGCAUUAAUCCAUGUAAAUAAUUUUGUUUGUUUACACUUGUGCAAUUAUUUUGAGUAUUUUUUUUUACGUUGUACGUCCUAUGUCUUUAAAUACUUUAUAUAUAUUUGUAUACACAUCAUUCUCAUAAAAUUUUUACUUUAUAAUAACUAUUAUUUUGGAGUUAACAAUAUUCCUAUCUUCUUCUUUUUUGACAAAAUCAUCAUUUUAAAGUUUUUGUUAUAUUACUUUCAUAUCUUAUUAUAAAGUUUUGUUUAAAUGUUUACAUAUAUAUUGAUGCAUAAAUUAUUUUAAUAGGGUUCUUUAUUUAAAAUACUUCUUGACUAUUGAUCCAUUUAAUAUUUUUAUGUAUAUACGAUAUUAUUUAGGAACUUCGUUUUUGUACUUAUAAAACUAUUGUUUCUUUAUAUUAUGUUAUUCUACUAUUUAUAUAGUAUCUCAUCUAAAUGCUCCAUGAAUAAUGGUAUGUAUAUAAGAUAGAUUAAAUUAAUUUUAGACGCAUUGUCGAUUUCAUACUAUUUUUAUAAUAAAAUUAUUACUAUAUCUAUGAUUUGUAAAUCUAUUAGGUUUCUAAAAUUAUACUUCACUAUACAUUUUUAUAAUCAUUUCAUAUUUUGUACAUAAUCUAAAUCUUUUAUGUUAUAUAAAUUCUCAAUCUUAAACUAAUAUUAUUUAACAAUUUGUAUGCUAUUUGUUUUUAAAAUACUUAUUUUAUAACGCAUAUUUUAAUAAUUACGUAUAUAUUUCUAGUUUGUUUAUUUUCACAAAUAGUUUUAAAUUCAUCAAUCCAUUAAUUCGUAUGUCGUAUAAAUUAUUGGUUCGUUAGAUCGUCAUUGUUUUAAAAUUAUCUUAUACCACAUUGACUUCUAUAUUCCAUUUUGUUUUGUAUAUGAUUUGUUGAUUGAUUUAUAUUGUGCCAUAUUUAUCAUUGUUGUAUAUCAUCCACUCAUUGUUUUAUUAAUUGUUUUGUCAUCCAUGCUUGCGAGUUUGAUUAUCUUUUCUAGAUCAGUUAUGUUUAAUUAUUAGUUUGUUAAUUGAUUGUAUCUCAUAUGUGUCAUUGUCCCAUAUCAUUGUUUUCCGCUUGGCUUAUGAAAUUUGGUUUUGUAAGUUCCAAAUCUUUAAGAUUGAUUCCGUUUUAUUUCAAGUCGAAUUAAUAAGUUUUAAGCUAGUUUUAUAAUUAUUUAUUUAAAAUUCUUUAAAACGAAGGCAAUGUUUGAUAUUUGGCAAUUCGCGGAAUCGUGCCUUAUCGUGCUGGGUUGCAAUUUCUCGUUUGCUCAAAAUAAUCGAAUGUCCCUUUAGAAUUUCACUCAUGUUUUUUAAAAUUCUUCAAAAUAAAGAUAAUGUUCAAUGUUUGGCAAUUCGGGAAUCGUGCCCUAUCGUGCUGGGUUGCGAUUUCUCGUUUGUUCAAAACAAUCAAAUAUUCCUUUGGAAUUUCACUCAUUUCUUUAAAAAUUCUUCAAAACGAGCAUAAUAUUCGAUGUUUGGAAAUUCGGGGAAUCAUGCCCUAUCGUGCUGGGUUGCAAUUUCCCUUUUUUUUAAAAUAAUCGAAUAUUCCUUUGGAAUUCUACUCAUGUUUUCUAAAUGCUAAAGCAAGGCAAUGUUCAAUGUUUAGAAAUUUGAGGAAUCGUGCCCUACCGUGCUGGGUUUCGAUUUUUCGUUGGACUAAAUAAUUGGGCAUCCUUUUGUAAUUUUCAACAUAUAAACUUUUGGAAGUCGAAAUUUAUCGUGUCUUCGAGGGUAAAAAGGAUCGUGUCCUAUCGUGCUGGAUGUGAUGCUGUAUUCCUCCGAAACAAGAGAACUUUGACGACCAACUUGGGCUAUUCAAAUAUUUAUAAAAGGAACCACAUUUCAAAAACAUUUUUAAAUCUUAGACAUAAGGACCGUAUUUAAUCGAUUUGGUACCAAUUUUGGGCGUAAUGAGAGUGCUAACCCUUCCUCAUACGUAACCGACUCCCGGACCUGUUUUCUCAUAUUUACGUAGACCAAAAUCGUUGUUUUAGUAAGCCAAAAUGUUUUAUUAAAAUGACCAAACUUCUUGGUGAUCCAAUCACACCUAAACAAAGAAGAUUGGUGGCGACUCCAUUUCUAUUUUUUAAAGUCGAUCCACGCUUUUUCUUUAAUUAAAAAAAAACGGUUUCGACAAAAAGAUUUCUUCAGAAUUAACUAAUAAAACAUGAAAAUUCUAGAAAUUUCAAAAAUUAUAUAAGAUUUGUUCAAAAUUUAAAAUUUCAUUUUUGUAAAUGCAAAAGAAUAUUUUAAUUAAAAUUUUUUUAAAAUUAAGAAAAUAAUUGAAAAAGCAACUUCAAAAUUCAAGCUAAAGUUAAUAGCACAUGAUUUCUUGUCUACAUGACUUCAUUGUUGGUUGAAUCUAGACAGUUAUAUGGGUCGACACAAUUAAAUUUAAAUUUUUAUGAUAUAAAAAAUAUAAUUUUACUAUUUAAAUAAUCUAUAUCUUUAUAAUGUUUAAAGAAUUAAAUCAAAUCUUUAUAUUUUUUAAGGACUUUACUAAUUUAAAAUAUUAAAAAAUUUAAAAGACUUAAAUAAAAAAAAAUUUCUAUUUUAUGGUGCGCUGGCUUCGGCCGUGUAGAUUGUAGAAUGUGAAGGAAAUAUCUCUUCAGAUGAGAUAGUUAUGAUGUUAAGCCCAUAAAUUUCGAAAUGGAAGCAUCAGCUAGAGUGGGAAGUAGUAGGGUAUGGCGAUUCAGCCACAGGACACCAGCAAAAAUACUCGGUAUUCCACCAUUUUUCAGUUUUGGAGGGUUUGAAAUAAAGAGAAUCUCAACACUUUUCUCGAUUGAAUUUUUAAAAUUUUUGGAGCAUUAAAUCAAAAUUUUAUUAUUUUCAUUCUACUAUGAGAUAAUAUUAAUAAUUAACUUGAAAGAUUAAAAUGAAGGGUAGAAAAAUACCUCAUGAACAUAUUAGGUGCUUCCUUCUCAAUGAUUUUGCGCAGGGGGCUUGGUAUCUAUAUUUGCCAAAAGGCUCUAUCCAUUUCCUUAAGGAGCUGGGGGACUUCUUUAUAAGCAGAUUUCUUUCCAACAAAAUGCUACCUUUUAUCCAUCAAACAAAAAAGUGAUCAAGUCCUCAGAGAGUUUGUCCAUGGAUUUGAGGAAUGAAUGAAGGUUGUUAGGUCCAAUAUGAGAAAGCACAUAGAUACAUAUUGAAGAACUUGAGGGAACCAAUUUCAACCAUUUAGGCCCUUCACCACUGCAUGAUGAUCAAAGAUGAAAUCCCCAUGCAUGCGUGCAUCUGGGGGCAACAUAUUUCUCUAGCUUCCCCAAAGACCAGCAACAGAGAAGGUAAACUAAGAAAAGCUCCCUAUAACAGGUUCGAAACUACUACUUAUUAUUAUUAUUAUUUUGGGGGUUGGAGAUGUAGAAGAAGUUUCAAAGUCAACAAGGAGAACAAGUCCAGGGGAAGAGGAGAGAUGAAUGAGUGAGUCACAAUUUGCCUAUCAUUGACUCAUCAUGUAUCUGACUCGUCUAAAUCUUUUGAGGAAUAUAAAUCUAGAAGGUUAACCAUAAAAGAAUAUAUAUUUCCUUUAGCACGUGAAGUUACUUAUUAUUAUUAUCAAUUCUCAAAUAGAAAUCUCUAUUUAUCAAAUAUUUAUAGAUAUUUAGAAUUAUCUAAUUUUUUUCCUUCUUGUUCUAAUAAUUUUAAAGUUGUGAGUUCUUACACCAUUAAGAAUUAGUUGUAUUAAAUAUCUUCAAACUAUAAAAAAUUACUUGAGUUAAAAUUAGGUUGUUUUAGGGUGAGUUUGGAUGGGCGGUGCGUUUAGUGUAAAAACAGUGAUAGCGGUGAGAUUAAAUACUGUAGUGAUACUGUAGCGUGAGACAAAAAAGUAAGCUAAACGCACUGCACCGCAGUCAAUCGCCCAUCCAAACGAAGCCUUAGUCAUCAUUAUCAUAAUUUUUCUAUUUCUAGUUAGCGGCGAUACUUGUUACCAUCUGGCUACAAUAUAAUUUUAUGUUCUUAAAAAGAAAUAAAGAAAAAAAAAGCAUAAUGAUUUUUUUUACCCUCCAACUUUAAAAAUAAAAAUAAAACAUUUUAGCCCUCCAUUUAUUUUUUUACCAUUUUUAGCCUUUUAACUUGCAUUAUAUGUCAAAUACCCCAAAUUGGAUAGAAAAGUUAACAUUUGUUAACUUUGUUAACGCAAUGCACAUGUAUACCAUAUUAGUAAUUAAUUAUUUUUAAAAAUUAAAAAUUAUUUUUUAUAAUUUUUAUACUUUUCAAAUAAAUUUUUUUUAAAUUUUUAAAUACUAAAAGUGAACCAACUUAAGUGAAAUGAAAUUAAAACAUUUUGAAAUUCAAAAAUCAAUUUAAAUCUAAUGGAAAAUUUGGCUUUUGGUGGUAAGAUUGUGAUAACUACUCAAGUUCCAAUUUUAUUUUAUGUAACUCAUAUUUAUGUUUUAUUAGAUUUAUUUUAACUUAAAUUUGGUAACAUGUGAAUUUUAGAGUAAUAUGUGAAUUGCAUCUAAAAUUAUUUUAGGUAAUGUCCGAUUUGUUCUUUGUAAUAAGUACUAGUCCAAAUUAUUGUUUUUGUAAGUGUUAAUAAAUAUAAUUGUAUUUAUAUUAUUAAAAAAUAAUUUUGAAUUUUGAAUUAUAAUAUAAUAAUGCUUGUUGAGUGCAAAUAAUGAAUAGAGAUUCCUUAUAAGAUUUUUUUAUUACACGUUUCAUUUACACACAAAUGAUAUGUCACUUAUAAAACUGUCAAUCAGUGAUUCGAAGUUCAAACUAAAUACAUCAAAACUAGUCUCCUGUUUUCCUCUGGUAUUGAACAAAAACCCAAACUACUAUCCUGAACCCCCCAUGUUUCUCUACUUUACAAUCCACCAAAUAUUGUUGCACUUAGUAUUAUAGGAUCUGCACUUGUCUUGCUCUUUGUCUUUUCCCGACAUAUUUUGUUCACUUUUUUUGUAACUCUUAAGAAUUGAACCUGGGAUGACAAUAUAAACAGUUUCUAGUAAAAAAUAAAAAGUGAACGAUUUUAAUUAAAAUGAAAUUCAUAAUUUAAAUACUAAUUAAAACAUUUUGCAAUUAAAAAUCAACUCAAAACUAAUGAAAUUUGGCCUUUGUUGGUAAGGUUGUGACCUUGAGACAUUAAGUACCCAAAUUUGAGUUUUAUCUUAUGUAAAUAAUACAUAAAUUUCAUUAGAUUUAUUCUAACUUAAAUCUUGUAAUGUGUGACUUGUAUCUAAAAUUAUUUUAGGUGAUGUUUGAUUUGUUCUUUGUAAUAAUUAACUCUGUUUAUAGUGCUCUAUAUUAUUGUUUUUGUAACCAUCAAUAAAUAUAAGGGGUUGGCUAAAAAAAUACCCCCAACAUACUAAAAAAAAUCCUAAUGCUCAUUUUCCGUGUAAUUGAUUACAGCAUUUCUCAUUUUAUUAGAUGAGUGUCUUUCCCAACGAGUCUUUUUAUUAAUACAAUAAUUAGGGCUAAGAUCUUAAAUUAAUGUGGUCCAAAAAAUUAAUUAAUACAUUUUCUAAAUAUCUUCAUUUUCAACAUCUUAAAUUAGUUAGUGUAAUCAAUUCAAUCCAAAAAAUUAGAGUCAACAUAUUAAAAAACAAGAAAAAUUAAUUUUGUUGUAAUUAAUAUAAUAAAUAGGCAGAGUUAUAUAUAUAUAUAUGUUUAUUUUGAUGAACAUUAACAACACCCUAAUGUAAACUCAUAUUAUUAUUAACAAAAUUAAGUAAGGGCUAGUUCUUCAUUGCUUUUGAAAAGUGCUUUUGAGAAGUUCUAUGGAGAAGUGCUUUUGAGAAGUGCUUUAAAAAAAUUUAGUGUUUGAUAUUGCUGUCAAAAAGUACUUUUGAAAAGUAAAAUGUCUAUUUUAGACAUGAUAUUAUAAAGUAACAAAUAUGUAUUUAAAUAAUGUUCAAAUUAGUUAAUAUUAUGAUAUUUUAGUAAAAAUAUAAAAAAUAAUUUAUUAUAACUUAUUGUUAAUAUUUUAAUAUAUAAUAUUAAUUUUAAAUAUUUCUAAGUAAUUAAUAUUAAUUAUUUAUUAAAUUUAAUUAGAAUAUAUAAACUAUAUUUAAAUAUUUAAAUAUAAUAAUUAAAUAUUUGUAAUUAGAUAUUGACACAAUUGUAUUAUUUUAAAAAAUAUUUUUUAUUUUUAAUUAAUGCUUUUAACACAUUUGUAAAACUCAUAUUAAAUAACCAAGGAAGAGAACACAAAAUAAUAGCAUCAAACACAUUUUAAGUCAAAAAGUAAGGUUAAAAAGGUAAAAUAAUAGCCAAAAGUGCUUUUUGGCUGAAAAAGCUAAAAUUUACUGCUUUUUCAUCUCUAAAAAAGCUCAUCCCGAAAAUUAAAAAAGUUGCCCCAAUGAUAUGUGUUCUUCAUUGCUUUUAAGAGAAAAGCACUUUUUUUAGAAAAAGUCCAUCCCAAAAGCAAUGAAGAACACACCCUAAGUCCUUCUCACUACACUCUAUUAUUUGUAAUUUUAUUUUUUAUAAAUUUGUUCUAAACUGUUUUCUAUAAAAAUCUAUUUUUCUAAUUUUUUUCCUUUUUUUAUUUAUUAAUUCUUGUAUAAAUUAAAAUCUGUUUUAAAUUUUUAGAACUAUUGAUUUUUUCGUCAUAAUUUGUAGUGUUCAACAAAAGAUGUCGAAUUUUUACGGAAGUAACCUAAAUGAAGGCAAUGAGAUCUCUAUCGUGAAAUCAUCAUUUUUUACCGAUCGGGCAUAAUAUUUAUCAUGAUGUUAAUAUUUUUUUAUAUUCAUAACAUUUAAUAUUUGUUAACAAAAUUAUUUAAAUUUUAGGUGUUCGAGUCUCGUGAAGAGCUGAUGCAAUGGGUGCAAAACACGGCAUUCUCUCUUGGUUAUAUCAUCGUCAUGAGAAGAUCAAAAGCAAAGGAAAAUGGUGUGGUGUCUUACGUCACACUUAUUUGUGACCGUGGCGGUGAAUACAAAUUUAAAGAAUCAAGUAAAAAGUAUGGCACCAAAAAGACCAACUGUAAAUUCUGAUUGGUAGGUUCGUAUUUAAAACAAUAUGAUGGGUGGACGUUGAGGGUGAUAUGUGAUCAGCAUAACCAUCCACCUGCACAACAUAUGGAGGGACAUGCUUAUGCAAGGUGGUUGAAAAAAAGGAAAAAAAAAUUGUUGGUUGAUUUGACGACUAAGAAUGUUACACCACGUGACAUAUUAUCGACACUGAAGUAGCAUGACGAGAAUAACAUUUCUACACUAAAAAUCAUAUACAAUGCACGGCAAAAGCUUCGCUUGUCCUAGAAUGUCGGUAAAACUCCGAUACAGGUUCUUAUGUUGCUUUUGAAUGAUAAACAAUUUUUUACUGAGUUUUCAGUAAAUAAUAUUUCAAAUGAAUUGGAAAAUCUAUUCUUCAUUCAUCCACGAUCAUUGGAUAUAUGGCGUGCAUUUUCGCAUGUUUUGAUUGUAGACGCAACGUACAAAACGAACAAAUAUGAUCUGCCUUUUGUUCAGAUUAUUGGCGUGACUUCAACCAACAAGACAUUUAGUAUAGCUUUUGCCUUUAUCAUUAACAAAAAGGAGGAGAACUAUAAUAGGGCAUUAACAUGUCUAAAGUUGACACUAGAGGAGUGCAUGUACCCACGUGUUAUUGUGAUGGAUAGAGAGUUGUCUCUGAUAAAUGCAUGCCAACAAGUUUUCCUCGAUGCCACUCGGUUACAAUACAGAUGGCACAUUACUAAAAAUAUUAAAAAGCAUUGUAGGCAGUCUAUCAAGUCGCAACAUGAGUGAGACUCCUUUCGUGCUAUGUGGACUGUACUCGUUGAAUCUCCAAUGUGGAUAUUGUACACCGAAAACUACAGAAAACUCCAAUCAAUGUUGAGCGAAUAUCCAGAUACAAGCCUCGUUAUUCUAUAAAUAAUUGUUUAUAGUUUUAGAAGACUUUUUAUACAUAACUAACAUUUAUAUAAAUUCAGGUGUUUUAAAAUAUCUAGAUCAAGUGUGGUUAAGCAAAUAUAAGAAAAUAUUUGUGUCGGUUUGGAUUGAUCGACAUCUCAACUUUGGAGAACGAACUACGAAUAGAGUUGAGAGCCAACAUGCAAAGCUAAAGAAAUACCUUUGUGCAAAAAAUUCUUCUCUAGAUAAAUUUGUUGGUUGUAUCGAUCAUGUAAGGCCCAAAUUUUGCCCGGGGCUCAAUAAACCAAAUAAAUAAAUACAAUACCCAAUUACAGCCCAAAUAUUAAAACCCUAAAAGCCCAAUUAGCCCACAACCUUAACUAAUUUUCAGUAAAAAGAAAAAAAGAAAAAAAAACCUAGCCACCUCCACUUGCUCCACUUACACCUGCAAAAGCCAAAAGAAGAAAAAACAAAAAAGGGGCAGAAAAGAAGCAAGAAAACAAGGAAAUAGAUAAUAGCAAAUCCAUGGUAUUUCGGCUAUAAAGCCUGAAAUCUCAGAUUUUUUUUGGGUACAAAAACAAGAAUAUUAUAAAAAGAGGGGAGAUUUUUUUUUUGAAAAAAAAAAGAGAUUGAAGAAAAAAAAGUGUAAUCUCUCUGAAGAUUUUUCUUAAAAAAAAACAGCAAGCAAUACAAAAAAAAAGAUAAUAACAAAGCCAACAAAAAAAAGAAGUGCAAACCGGCUUAAGUUUUUUUCUUUUCUUUUUUAUUUUAUUAUUCGAAUCCAUCUAUUCUUAUUCAUGUAUUAAAAUAUAUCAAUGUAUAUAUAUAAGAAAUAUAUAAAAAAAACCUUUUUGAAAUUUUCGGCCACCACUCACGGUGGCCGACGACGGUGGCCGAUGGCGGCGGAUGGCGGCGGACGGAGCCGGAGUUUGGUCUGAGGGAGAAGGCCUUGAGAGAGUUUGAGAGAAAGGGGUUAGUUUUUUUGUAUGAAAUGGGAAAAAUGAGUUUUUUUUAGGAAUUUUGACUUAUAUAGCCCCAUCAAAACGACAUCGUUUUGGGUUUAAGCCACUAAUGCCAAAACGACAUCGUUUUGGCUCUUAACCUAUGGCCGACCCGCGACCCGACCCGCUCCAACUUCAGGAUCCGCGUGUUUUCAUUGGAGGGGCUAUUUGCGCGUUUAGCCCCUUCGCUUUUUAUUACUUUGCAAUUAAAUUAUUUUUUAUUUUUAAUUUGGCACCAAAAUUUGUCGCAAUUUUCAAUUUAAUCCUAGCUGAUGCUGUGCAUUUUAUAAAGGGGGUUAUUGCACUUUAGGCCCUCUGUUGUUUCACGCGCAUUUAAAUAGGUCCUUUUCUUUUCUUUUCUUUUUAAAUUUGCCAAAAAACUUCGUUUUUAAUUCGAAUUUAGUCUCUUUUUUAAUUUAAGUUGAUUUUUAUAUUAUCUUUGCUACUUUAAUUUUUAAUAUUAGUUCCAAUAAUAUUAUAUAUAUGCUUUUAAAUAUACUCUUUUAUUUUCUUUUAUUAUAAAUAUUAUUACUUUAUUUUCUUUACGUUAUUAUUAUAUCUUAUCGUUUUUUUAUCAUAUCAUUAUUAUUUUUCAUUUACACAUUAUUUAUAUUAUUUUCAUGAUUAUUAUUGUGUUUAUUUUUACUACUAUUAUUGUAUUUAUUAUUAGUAUUAGUAUUAUAAUUACUAUUAUCAUACUUAUAAGUAUAUAUAUUUAUAUGUAAAGUUAUCAAUGAUUAUUUUAAUAUUAUCAUCAUCUUAAUAUUAAUAUGUACUUAUUUUUAACAUAUAUAUAUAUAUAUAUGUAUGUAUAUAUUUAUGAAGUAUUAUUAAUAAUUGUUUUGUAACAUUAUUAUUAUUAUUUCUAAUGUGUAUGUAUUAUAUAUAUUUUUAAUACUAUAUUAUGUAUAUAUUAUAUUAUAUAUAUGUAUUUAUUAUAUUUUUAUGUAUAUAUUUUUAAUAUCACAUUAUUCAUAUGUUUUUUUUAUAUAUUAUCCCAUGUAAAUACUUUCAAUACUACAUUAUGCAUAUAUUUUUGUCUCUAUUAUAUAUAUACUUUUAAUAUUCAAUACUAUUAUUAUGAAUAUGUUUUUGGUAUACGUAUGUAUAUAUAUAUUUUUUUCUUUUUUCAUUUAUUAUUAUCAUUAUUUUCUACGUUAUAUUAUUAUUAUUAUUAUUAUCAUUAUUAUUAUUAUUAUUAUUAUUAUUAUUAUUAUUAUUAUCAUUAUCGUUUUCAUUGUCAUUGCCAUUUUUGUUGUUCCAUGUUUUAUUCAUUUUCAUUUAUUCGUUAAUUUGCUUAUGUCUUCGAUCAUUUCAUUUUCGUCAUGCAUUUGUUUAUAUUUACAUAUUACUAGUCUUGCUAUUACUUCAUCUUUUAUAAUUACUUAUAUUAUCGUUUUUGACACUGUUGCACCUAUUAUGUUAUUAUUCAUAUUAAUAUUAUAAUUUGCUUUUAUGUUUUACUAUAAAUCACGUUAUUUUUCUUACUCAAUAUAUUAAAACAAUUCUUUCAUAAAAGUAAUAUUCCGUAUUAGGUAAUUCGAGAUAAUCGUACCCUAACUUACUGGGUUUCAAUUUUUCUUAUUUAACCUAAAUAAUGGAAUAUUCCUUUUAAUCACAAUGUGAGUUUAAAAAAAAUGUUUAUUUUUGGAGAUACAAGGUAUGGUGCCCUAACUUACCGGGUAUGACAUGUUGUUACCUCGAAAUAAGAUUUUUCGCAAAUAAAGGCAAUACUCGGUGUUUGAUGAUUCGAGAAUCAUACCUUAUCGUGCUGGGUUGUGAUUUCUCGUUUGCUCAAAAACAAUCGAAUAUUCCUUUAGGUUUUCACCCAUGCUUAUUAAAAACCUUUCAAAACAAAGGAUGUUCGAUGAUUGGAUAUUUGAGAAUCGUAUCCUAUCGUGUUGGGUUGCGCUUUUUCAUUUAUUCUAAGCAAUCGAAGAUCCCUUUGAAGUUUCAUCCACGUUUUCUAAAAACCCUUUAAAAUGAAAGAAGUGUUUGAUGUUUAGGCAGUUCGGGGAAUAGUGCCCUAUCGUACUGGGUUGCAAUCUCCCGUCUGACCGAAAUAAUCAAAUAUCUCUCCGGGAUUUCACUCGUAUUUUCCAAAGUGAGGAAAUGAUCAAUGUUUGGGAAUUCGAAGAAUCGUGCCCUAUUGUGCUGGGUUUCGAUUUUUCGUUGGACUAAAUAGUUGAGCAUCCUUUCGUGAUUUUCGAAUUAUAAAUUUCCGGACAUCGAAACAAGAAGAUUUUUGACAAUUAACUCGGGUUAUUCAAAUUUUAUUAAAAAAAGCCACAUUUCAAAAACAUUUUUAAUUUUAGACAUAAGGACAGUAUUUAAUCGAUUUGGUGCCAAUUUUGGGCGUAGUGAGGGUGCUAAUCCUUCCUCAUACGUAAUCGACUCCCAAGCUCGUUUUUUAAAAUUUUUGUUGACCAAAAUUGUUGUUUUAGUAAAUCAUAAAUGUUUUAUUAAAAUAACCAAAUUUUUAGGUGAUCCGAUCACACCAAAACAAAAGAUCGGUGGCGACUCCAUGUAUUUGUUUUUCAAAAGUCGAUUACCUUUUUUUUAAAAAUUUUAAAAUUUUUAAAUCGAGGAAUGGUUUCGACAGCUUGGCGACUCCACUGAGGACAUUUGAGAGUCGAGCCAUAAAAAUCAAUCAUUUACUGUCUUUUUGUUGAAAACUAAAAAUUUACUUUAAAAAUUAUAUAUCUUUUGAUUGCAUUUGAUUGUGUGAUUGUUUUAGUACGGGUCUUGUAAAAAAACACUACAUUUCAUUGCAUGACCACUAUGGUCACACCUUCUAAGUGGGAGUAAGAAACUACGCUUUCGUGAGGUUUUCACCUCCGCAUGGGCUAGUGGAUUGCUUCCGGGGUACAUCCGUACCUAUGAUUUCGUGAGAUUUUCAUCUCCACAUGGUCAUAGGGAAAUGUAUCCUUCUGAACCGAACUCGAUCUAUAUGAGCCUAUAAUGGGUGAGGAUUGAGGAAUCUGCUAGUUCGGGUACCUUAUCUCUAGAACUAAACCGCAUUUAAUAAACCUUAGGAACCAUCCUUGGAUGAAGCCGCGUCAAGCCUUAGUACUUACCCGUAUAUGCGUCAUAAUUAUCGUUUAUGUGCUUGCAUUCUAUCGCUAUUAUUUGACACUAACCGGUGUUUUGUUUUGUUUUGUUUUUUUUUGCAUAACAUUGUAUACUAAAGGAGGCGUUAAUCUGUAUUCAAUUACUAAGUUAGAAAAUUUGACAUGGAGAAUGAAUUUCUUAGUAAGAUCGAGGAUAAUACGACCGUUCGUGCAUGGUCGGAGAGGCUACAAUCAGAGAGAGGGGAUAGCUUGGUAGAAGGGUAUGUAUCGGAGCUACAAGAUUUCACUCGCGUCAAUGUAGUACAGAACGAGCUGCAAGAGUUGAGAGACAUUUGGGCUAGUUGGAAUGAAGGAAUCAAGCAAUUGUUUUACCAAAAUUAUGGUGACGUAUCCUACCUGCUAGACAUUAAAGUGGAUAAGAAUUUGUUCCGAGCCUUGGUGCAGUUUUGGAAUUCUGCGUACAAGUGUUUCACUUUUGGGGAAGUGGAUUUGGUACCUACCAUGGAGGAAUACACUACUUUGCUCAGGUGUCCCAAAAUUCAGGUCCGAAAGACUUAUGCUCGGGUUUUUAGUAGUCAGACUUUCGUGAAGAAACUGAUGAGCAUUUCUGGGAUGAGCGAGCCUUGGGUCACUAUUCAGAUUCAACAAAAAGGAGAUAACGAAUGUAUCCAUUGGGAGAAUUUGCGAGAUUUGAUCUUGACACAUCCAGAUGAAAGAAAGAGGGUUGAUAUAUUUGCCUUAAGCAUCUACGGAUUAGUGAUCUUUCUAAGGCUUUGAGGCACGUGGACGAGGCGGUCAUUGACUUGUUUGAUCGCCUUGAAAAAGGAAUCACACCGGUGCCGGUAAUAUUGGCAGAAACGUUCAGAUCUUUGAGCUCAUGUCGAAAGACAGGCAAGGGGCGAUUCAUUGGAUGUGCACAAUUAUUGAUGGCAUGGUUACACGAGCACUUUUGGAAGGUAGACAAAGUUUCCUAUCGAGUCUUCUCCGAGGGUUAUUUCCCAUUGAAAGAAGAAUCAGCUAUAUAGAGGAGAAGUGGAUGGACAUUCUUCAGAACCUCAAGGAGGGGGAUAUCAAGUGGAGAGCUUAUUGGAUGGUUCCUGACGAGAUCAUGUACCGAUGUGGUAACUUCGAUUGGGUGCCAUUGUUAGGAAUUUGGGGAGCUACUGGGUAUACUCCACUGUUAGCUUUGAGGCAAUAUAAGUCGAGGCAAUUUGUACCGACGACCUAUGGGCUUACUCAGAGUGAAUUCUCAUUUAAAGGUGCUCAUUAUAAGAAGAGAGUUCGGGAGUUAUCGGAUGCUUGGAAGUAAACUUGUUGGAUGAAGAGGUUAGCCGUCAGUUCCAUGGUAACACCCGAGUAUAGCGAGUGGUUUAAGAAGAGGAUUAAUAAUAAUAUUCCUAGGCCAAGCUUGUAGAAUGCUCGACCUAUCGGGUAACAAUUACAAAUCGCCCCAUCAGAAUUGGAAAUUAUAAGGCAAGAUUUCGAGAAGAAGAGUUCGAAGCUCAGGAAGAAGAUCGAACAGUUAGAAGAAGAGAAGAUGCAUCUAAGGUUAGACGCUGAUGUUCAGAGGUCAGAGGCUGAGAAAUGGAGAAAAGGAAAAACUAAGGCCGAAGAAGACCUAAACAGCUUGAAGACAGACUACAAGAAGCUGCGCCUAUCUAUGAGGACUGCGGGUUUAGGUAAGACUUCCGAACAAUGGUGCCACGAAAUUCGAGAAGAAAAAUCUAAUACCGAUCGGUGGGAAAGAAAAUUUCGAGAAGCUCAGGCACGAAACGAAGAUUUGGAGAAGAGUCUGUCGAAGAGCAGAAAUGAGUGAGGUGAACUAAGGGCUAGAGUGACAGAACUCGAGAAGUCUCUGCAUCAGUACUGAAACCGCAACACCGCAAUAGAGCUAAGGGCAAGCUUGAGCUAGAUAGAAGAGAUGAAAGGAAGAAUAGGAGAGUUAGAGGCAUCACUGCAGAACUGUGAGAUGCGGAUCCAGUUUUUCGAGGCAAACGAGGAUCGUUGGAAAGAGCAGCUUCACCAUGCGCAAGACCAAGUCAGAAACAGAGAUUACCUUAUGGGGGAAGCCAUAACCCAAAUUCGAGAGGCAGUAGACUACUUGCAAACUUUAGCGGUUCAAGUGGACAUACUGAGCGUGAAGUAUGAGUUGGAGUCGGAUCGCGGACAAGAGCUGGCCUCGUUGCUUAGAAAAAUUAGGACUUUAAGUGUUAGAGCAAAAUUUUAUUGGUAAUUCGACUUUAUGUAAAAGAUUUUAUUUUCGAGUGAAAUUUUCUAAGGGCAAUUGAAUCAAAAUUGAUGCCUCCUUUACAUUCAUGCAUUUGCAUUACAUCAUAUCAUUAUGCAUUAAAGUCCAUAAGAGUUUUCUAAUUAAUUAAUUAAAAAUUAUUUCAGUAACCUGGAAACUAACGAAAACCAACCAACUACGCACUCCUACGGUACAAGAAAAAAAUCAAUGGAUAAGAGACUCGAGAAAUUGGAGCAAAUGCAAAAGGACAUGCAAGAACAAAUGCAGUCUCAGAUGGAAGAGCAGCUAGCCAAGAUUCAACGAGAGAUGAAGGAGCAAAUGAUGGAGUCCUAGAGAGAGAUGAUGUCCCAGUUAUCCAAAUUGCUGUUGGGAGGAAUAGAUAAGGGAAAAGGCCCCAUGGACCAAGUUGAGGAAAAGAAUGAAGAUCUCUAAUACCCCCUGGCUUUACUCUGACGCAUGUAUCGAUGAAGCCCGAGAUUAACCUACAAAAACCAUCGGUCACAAUCAUACCCCAGCAAGUUCAGGCUGAAGCUUCAAUUCCGAUGAACUUCCAAGUCGGCUCAGGCACUAACUUUGUCAACAACCCGAACUAUCCGCCCGUUCUCGACUUGGAUGAAGUUGCUGAAGAGGAAAAGGUGAGGAUGGAUUCGCAAAAAUAAUUGGAAGAACGUUGUAGAUGGCUCGAGGAAAAAUUCAAAGCCAUGGAAAGCGCGGAUCAUCAUCAAGGGAUUGAUGCCAAGGAUCUGAGUCUGGUCUCAGAUUUAGUCCUCCUCCCUAAAUUCAAAAUGCAUGAAUUUGAGAAAUACAAUGGAACAAGUUGCCCUGAAGCACACAUCACCAUGUUCUGCAGGCGAAUGACGGGAUAUGUUAACAAUGACCAGCUACUAAUCAACUGCUUUCAAGAUAGUCUGGUUGGAGUGGCGUCUAAGUGGUAUAAUCAACUAAGCCGAGCCAAGAUUAACUCAUGGAAGGACCUGGCUCAGGCCUUUAUGAAGCAAUACAAUCAUGUGACGGACAUGACCCCCGAUAGAAUCACUCUCCAGAAUAUGGAAAAAAAGUCAAAUGAAAGCUUCAGACAGUAUGCACAAAGGUGGAGAGAGGUGGCCAUACAAGUUCAGCCGCUACUUCUAGGAAAGGAGACGACAAUGCUCUUUAUCAACACCUUGAAAGCCCCUUUUAUCACCUAUAUGUUAGGAAGCUCCAUAAAAAGCUUCUCCGACAAAGUGAUGACGGAGGAAAUGAUCGAGAAUGCUGUGAGGAGCAGCAAAAUAGAGUCGAGAAAGAAUAGCAGAAAGUCGACCCCAAGGAAAAUGGACAAUGAAGUGAACAACACGAGCACAUUCAACAAGGGGCAGUCCAAGUCAAUUACCGUGAAUCAACCCAAAACGGUGACUACCAAUCAACAAAGCUCUGUAAGACAAGAAUCCAAUUCGAGGAAGAACACAGAAAGGCCACAAUUCACCCCUAUACCCAUGACAUAUAGGGAGUUGUACCAGAACCUGUUUAACGCUCAUGUAGUAUCCCAUUUCUACCUAGAGCCACUGCAACCCCCGUAUCCCAAAUGGUAUGACACAAAUGCCCAAUGUGAAUACCACGCGGGAAUUACCGGGUACUCAAUCGAAAAUUGCACUGCAUUCAAGAAAGUAGUCGAAAGACUCAUUAAGGUGGGGAUUGUGAGAUUUGACGACCUAGCCACGCCCAAUGUAGCAGGAAACCCACUCCCCAAUCAUACCGACCAAGGAGUGAAUGGGAUAAGUGAAGGCUUGAAUAAGAAGACCAAAUAUGAUGUGGCAGAAGUCAGGACCCCGUUGAGACGGGUAUGGAAGGAGAUGGCCAAGAGAGGAUUGAUUGUGUUGGACUCGAGGGAAGAAUCCAAAGAAGAGAAAAACUACUGUGAGUUUCACGGCAAGGUGGGGCAUGAAAUUGAAUUCUAUGAAGAGACCGAAAACCCCAUAGAGGAAGAUAUAUGUGCAUCGGAGGGAGAAUCAACGGCACAAAAUCGAACACCUAACUAUCCCGUAGUGAUUAUUUCGAGACCCAAAAAUAAUGAAGCCGGAGUACAAAUGCCACCGAGGGUCAUAAUCCAAAGACCUGCAGUUUUCCCUUACAAAGACAACAAAAAGGUCCCAUAGAAUUAUGAUUGCAGUGUGAUGAUGCCGGGAAAGGAGAGCCCGAUUGACGCUUCAAGAGGGGACCAAGGCAAGGGUUUUUAUACACGUAGCGGGAGGUGUUACGAUACGGCGAAUGAGGAGGUGCAGCCUACAAAAAGAAAAGCCCAGGUGGUUGAGGAAAUGAAGGGAAAAGCAACCAAACCUAUUAAUGAGCCAGUUAACGAAGAGGAGGCCAAGGAGUUUUUAAAAUUCCUAAAGCAUAGUGAAUACAGCGUGGUGGAACAGCUACGUAAACAAGCAGCCCGUAUUUCGGUGUUGGCCUUACUUCUAAGCUCGGAAGUUCAUCGUAGCGUGUUAAUGAAGGUCUUAAACGAGAUAUAUGUUGCCAAUGACAUCUCCAUUAACAAGCUGGACCGUUUCGUGAACAACAUAAGUACCGACAAUUAUAUCUUCUUUAAUGACGACGAGAUACCACCCGAGGGCAUGGGGUCGACUAAAGCUCUGCAUAUUACCACGCGCUGUAAAGGGUACACGCUGCCAAGCGUACUGAUUGACAAUGGGUCAGCUUUGAAUGUCCUGCCUUUGACCACGCUGAAUAGAUUACCUAUAGACAGCUCUCACAUGAAGGAGUGCCAGAACAUCGUAAAAGCAUUUGAUGGCACGGAGAGAAAGGUGAUGGGCAGAAUCGAGGUACCUCUUCAGAUUGGGUCAAACAUAUAUGAGGUGAAUUUCCUCGUAAUGGACAUCAAGCCCUCAUACAAUUACUUGUUGGGAAGGCCUUGGAUACAUUCGGCUGGGGCAAUACCUUCCUCGUUGCAUCAGAAAUUGAAGCUAGUAUCGGAAGGGAGAUUGAUAAAGAUCAAGGCUGAGGAGGAUAUUAUUGCAACUGUGAGCAAUAAUGCACCCUAUUUGGGGACAGAUGACGAAGCAAUUGAAUGCUCAUUUCGAUCUUUGAAAUUUUUUAAUGCGAUGUUCAUUGCCGAUGGAAGAAAAAUUUCGGUGCCAAAAUUUUCCAAAAUCACGAGAAUGAGCCUCCAGCUGACGAUCGGAAGAG